GUGGGUUGUUUUUGGGACCUUCCGCCGCCCAAAUGGGGGUUAAGAAGCGAAGCAAUUCUCAUCUCUCUGCAUUCGCAACUUGGGCAGUAGAGGAAGGCAAAGAAACAAGGGCUUUCACUAGGGUUGGCCAGCUAAACCAACGAGAGCUCUCUUGUCGCCUCUCUUCUCUAAUUUCUUGCCUAGUUCCUCAGGUGGGCAAAUAUAUAGUCGAUGUAGGGUAAAAUGGUCAAUUUAGAUUAUCCUCCGGCUCUCCAAUCUGACGGCUGUGACCAGCUUGAUGGAAGGAUUACGUGUCAAGAUCGUCGAUGGGUACUAACUGAAGCGUUCGGAUUAUGUGAAUGAUUGGGCGAGACACGUGUGCGGCACAUGCGGUAAACGAGUAGAGGUAAGCGAGUAAAACACUUUGAAACCAACUUGUUGUGUUAUCGAAAUUACCUUUUUGUCCUUCUGAGCCGAUGGCAGCAUCAUCUAGGUAUUUUCUCCAAAUCCAGAUUCCAUCUAGGUAAAAGCGUGGGAGAUUUGUAGAUGUGAAGUUGAAGGCGCGGGAUUAUAGGACCAAGACACCAUUUUCUUUUUUAUAUAAAAUAGAAGUUAGUAUUAUUAAUAAAUCAGUUAAAAAUCGUCUAUUUUGACAUAAUUGGUUCUGCCUUUUUGAUAUAGAAUAAGAUAUUAGUUCAGUAUUGAAUUAUUUAUAGGGUUAAAAACACAAAAGCUCCCUGUGGUAUAGUUAUUACACAUAAAAACUCCUUGUGGUUUCAAAUCAUACCUAUCGAUACCCCAUGGUUUGAAAGAAAGUGCAUUUUCGACGGAAAUCGUUAAAGUAAACGCGAUUAUCAACCACGCACUGAAAAGGAGCGUGGUUGCUUCGGAAAAUGGGUUUUUAACUCAAAGUUUGAGCUGAUGUACCUCUUGUGCCUUUGACAACUUAUUAAACCUUCAAGCCAAUCAGCUUCUUCGGCAUUUUGCAGCAACCCAGCUUCUUUGACCGAAGAAUUGCUCAAGCUCUCGUGCCUCCUUAAGAUCGAGGAGGAAAAUCUGCAGGCUCUUCACUUCCUUGUAUUUCCUUCGAUUUUUUCAGCAAAUCUUCACUUUCUUGUAUUCCUGUCGCUGUCGGAUGAUAGAGAUGAAACUGUACCUGGAAAUCGGGAUUAAAGUGAUGCCUCUCACCCAGGGGCGGAUUUACAGUGGGGGCACUGGGGGCACGGGCCCCCACUGCCCUCCUUAAAUUCCUAUAAUACUCCUAUAAUUUUAAUACAAUUUUAAUGGUGCCCCCAGAAUUUUUUAAAAAAAAUAUGAAAGAAUGGGCCACAAAAUUUAUAUCAUUCACUUUCCUCUCCUAAGGACCAAAUAUCAAUUAUAUUAGUCAUUACUUUUGGUCCCCACUCUCCAAGUUCCCUUUACUCCUGUGGUCCCCCAUUUCACUUCACAACCCACGACUCCUCUUCUUCCACACCCAACUAACUACUCUUUCUUUUUAUUACUUCAUCCAAUCAUCAUUAAUCAUUUACUUCCUUUGUCCCCAUUCCCCAAUUUUCUUUUCCUCUUUUGCCUCUUGGUUGUCCCCACUGAAAAUGGUCUCUCCCAUCAAAUAGUCCGACCCUGGUUUUCCUGUCAUGAAAAUGGUGUUGUUGACUACUUCAAACAGUGUUCCAUUAGAGGAGUAGGCUUUUUGAAAACCAAGACCUGCUUUCUUCAGUUCAACCGCAAGAAACCAGUCCUUGAAGAUGACUUCUUUCCAAUUAAAUAACGUGAUACAGGGCACAAAGGAAGUAAAGGGACCUGAGUCUGCCACAGUGCCACUGAUUUGCAACUCUUUUCACCAAUUUUGGGAGACCAUUGAAAUCAGGUUUUAAACAAUUAUUUCUUCUUAUUAUUAUUUUAAAUUUGUUUGCAAAUAUAUUUCUAGAGCAUGAGAUUAUUACUGUUUUAGAGAAAUUUGAAAAUUGAUUAGUUAAUGUAAUAACUAAUAAAUGGGUUAUUUGAUAUUUGAUAAAUAUUUUAACUUGUGGAAUGGUGAUUUUAUAGAUUUAUAAUUUAUUUUUUAUUUUCCAUGAUUAGUUUCUUAUUUGGAGUUAAUGUAAUGAUGAAUAGAGGGCAUUUGACAUAUAUUUUAACUUUUAAAUUAUUCUUAUAUGGAUCCUUUUGUCUAAUUAACUUGAUUAGGUUCAUAUAUUCUAAUUAAUGAUUUGAUAUAGUAAUGAAUGAAUAAGUUGUGAUUUGAUAUAGUAAUGAUAUGUUGUGAUUAAUGAUUUAAUAAAUAAUUUUAACUUGUAAAAUAGUUCUUGGAUAGAUUAUUAGAUUUUAUUGUACAUUUAAUAUUUUAAUUGGAUUAGUAUCUUAUAUAUUGAUUUUAAUUUCUUUAGCUAUGGAGAGAUAUUUCAAGAGGAAAUCAAUGGAAAAAGAGCCAUCUAAUAAAGAAGAAGCCAAGGAUAAUGAAGGUGCAAAAAAUGACAAUAAAAGAAGUUUUUAAAUAAAAUUAUUAUUACAUUAAUAAUUUUGAGUUUGUCUUUUUAUGUUUUUCAUGGAAUAUACAUAUCAAUUGUACUUGUUAGUGAAUUUAUUUAUUUUUUGCUCAAAAAAUUAAAAAAAGAGUAGAUAAAAAAUUUUAGUAUUAUUUGUGCCCCCACUAAGAUUUUUUUCUGGCUCCGCCCCUGCUCUCACCUUCCAUUCCCUGGGACUAGAUAGCCAUAAAUGGGCAUGCAGCCAUAGAAGCUCCGGUGCAGCAGCUCUCUAGCUGCAUUGAACCCUCGAAGUGAAUACCUCUCCUCGAUCCAUAAAAAAAAAAACGGAAUCCCGGGCGAUUCGAGCGAGUAGGCCCCGGCGGAGCCCGCAGCCUUUCAUUAAGCCGCCCUCAACAUCUGAGAUACCGAAUCAAAGUGAUCGCCUCUGCAGGUCUAUCAUCCGCUUCCCUGGCUGCAUGCCUUAUCUCUCUCUCGCUCUCCAUUCAACUACCAGACAAGCAAGGAAGGAAAUUCAUUACUUCCCUUCUUCUCCCUAUGGUCGAGCCAGCCAGCCUAACUUCGGUAUGAAAAAAGGAGUUCCGCCAAUGUGUUUUGAUUUAUUCCUCAUGACUUUCCUUUUACCCCUAUGAGGAAGACUGGAGCUGGCACUCAUACUAGCAAGGAUUUCUUCCUACUUUGAUAAGAACGCGAGGGCAAUUGUCAAUUUUUCGCGAGGGCACUAAUUCCUUCACCAAUUUUUCGCUUAUAUUGUUAGGGCAUUUAUGUCUUUUCACUGACCUCCGUUUCCUUUAACGAUUUCCGUCGAGAAUGCACUUUAUUUCAAAUAAUAGGGUACCGAUAGGUAUGAUUUGAAACCACAAGAGAUUUUUAUGUGUAAUAGAUAUACCACAGGGUACUUUUAUGUUUUUAACCCUUAUUUAUAAUAAUAUAGAAUAAGAUAUUAUUAUAUUUUCUUUUCUUUUAAUAAAAAAAGUUUAAAUUUUUCUGUUAAAAUCUUCUAAAAUUUUGAAAUUUAUAAUCGAUUCAGUCACCAUGCUUUAUAUGUACAUAAUAUUUAUAUUAAGGCACAGAAUAGGAAAAAAAAAUUAGUAUUAUAUUAGUAAUACAUAUAAUAUGAUGCAAUUGUAGUCCAAGAAAAAGAUGACAAUUACAGAAGUGCCGCCACGUCUACGAUGUGGGUGGAAUUGAGGUGGGGCAACAUCGUCAACGUCUAAAGUUUGUGCAAUUUUGGGAACGUAUGAUGGCAGAGGUUGAAUGAGGAUGUAUGUGACCAUGCUGGCUAGUUUAAUCGUAAAAGCAUCAAAGUUCUCUUUGACCCAAAAAAAAUAAAUAAAUAAAUAAAGGACAACCUUAAUGGAAGAAAGUAGUACUUAUAAUUUUAUAAAUUUCAUUUACAGAUUGUUUGGGUCAAAAAUAGUUGCGAAUUUGACUGGUUUUAUAGUUAGUGUUAUACAAGUCAACGAACAAUUCAUUGGCGAAAUUUCAAAAGCUGAAUUGUUCAAUGAAUUGUGAGAUGAUAUUCAAAUUCAUGGUGUUGUCGUAUCAAAUUCUUUUCUAAACUUUUUCGAUCCGUUGCUAGCACCAUUGUGAAACCUGUAAUUAAUUUUUGGGAUAAUUUCAGAAACCUCCCCUGAAGUUUCUGACAAAGUUCCUGUGAGGUUUGAAAAAUUACAUAUACCUCCGUUGUCAUUUAAAAUGAUAAUACUAUCCUUAAAUAUUUUAAUGAAAUUCUGUUGUUUGAUAUGCUUAUAUUUAGAAUGACUUUAAAAUAAUUUUUUUCAUUCUUUUUCCUUUUUAUUUUAAUUUUUUACCAAUAAAAUUAUAAAAUUACCACUAUUAGUACAUGCUUCUGUGAUUAACCGAGCAAAAUUAGAAUUAACCAUUUGAUAUCAAGAACAUGGCCUUUAACCAUGUUGGGCUGCAAACUUGGAAAGCAAACAUUUGUUGGCUUAGUGUACAGCAUGUAGCAGGUAUGGAGGAGGAACAUAGUAUCUGAAGCUAGUUAAUCAUGAUUUGCUUGAUAUAGAUGUCGAGUAUAGAAGAUCCGGAGCCAUUAAUUAAGGUUUAUGUUGAUAUGUUCUUCAUUUUGCCUGGGCAUUCUUUUUUUUUCUUCUUUUACUUCUUCAGGGAGAGGGGCUGGCUGAGGUACGGACAGGGAAGAGUGAAUAACCUUUGGCUGCAGUUCAAUUUGUGUUCGAUUUUCACCAUUUAAAAGUUACACAAGGCACAAGUAGCGUCAAAGUAAGCAAGUACAACAAAAAGCAUGUAAUGACUUGAGAAAUUGAAAUAUCAAAGAUUUGGGGAUUCAACUUCUGAUUUCCCUGCGCAACAGGUAAGGCACAAAAGACAGAACAAGUUACAGAAAUAGCCAAACGAAGUUGCACGAAUCCAGGACCUAGUGGACUAGUAUUGGCAUAUGAACAAAGAAAAUUUGAAGGAAAGCAAGGUAUCAAUUUAUCAUUCCCUGUCUUACAUGCAUGGCUGCAAAUAUAAACGACGAUGGUCCAAAUGGUCCACCGCAGUGCGCUGCAGAUUAUGUCUCUCGCAAGUGUCAUGCUGCCCUCUACUAACUUGCACCAGGGACCAGAAUCUAGAAGUGAAUACUUUGUUACAGAAGAAAGAACGACGAACGCAUAAAAAGUGAGGAUGAGAGACAUUGCCAAUUCUACUCGUAAUCUUGCGAGUUCUUAUUUAUUGUCCGCCAUUGUGCUUCAAUCAUCUAUGAAAAUGCUUCCAAACCAUCAAAAAGUUUGUGAAGAAACAGAAUGGAAAUAUUUGAAUGGAAACCAUGCUACUGCACAACAGAACGUCGUACAUUUUGCGUUUUAACUCAGAAAAUGAAAGAGAGACGAGUUUCUUCAAGUGCGGGUGGUACGAAGAGAAUUUUGAACUCAAGAAGAAAAACCUGUGCACAUAAAUUAGGUCCUCCUCCCACUAAAAUGAGAAGGCAAAUAAGAAACAUGGAAACAUUUCAAUGGAAUCCAUACUACUGUACAACCUCUUAAUGGAAGCAAGCACAGAGCUCAUAACAAAAAUUAACAGAUAGGUAAAUUUGCCAAGAAGUGAACUUUUCAUUUUUUGUAAAUUUUUGGCUCAAUCUCUAUGAAACAGGUUCAAUGUCCUUCAGGAGCCCUACUACUUGUUGCAUACUUGGUCGCUUUGAGGGAAGGUCAGCAGUGCACAAAUAUCCAAUCUUCAGAGCUUCCCCCAUUUGAGUCUCUAGUCCAGUACCAUGGAUUUUUGGAUCAAUAGCUCUUGACCCUACAUUCUUCCUCACUAAUCCUCUCACCCAACUAACUAAAGUUGCUUCCUUUUCAUCUGGAUAAUCAUCGUCUACAGGCUUUUUUCCAGUGAUCAGCUCAAAAAGAAUGACUCCAAAUCCAUAGACAUCAGACUUAGGUGUUGGAUUCUUAGGGGAUCCAAUCUGUGGGUCAAGAAAUUCUGGCGGCACAUAUCCUGCAGACCCACGAGCAAUCUCAUCCUCCAGACCGUUGCCAAAAAUUUUAGCAAGUCCGAAAUCAGAUAAUCUUGGUUCCAAAUUCAGAUCAAGAUAGACACUGCUUGCUUUGACAUCUCGAUGUAUAAUAGGAGGAGAACAGCCGUGGUGGAGAAAUGCCAGCGCACGUGCUGUGCCAAGUGCAAUUUUGUACCUAAAUCUCCAAGUUGUUAACAAUCCUUCGGAGCCAAUGUUUUGAAUGGAAUUGUUUUCAUCUUCUUCCCACGUGUCUGUGCUCCAGUCUUCUGUAGCUUGAACCCCAAGUGGGAGGUCAUGAAGCAAAUUUUGCAAGUUUCCAUUCUCCAUAUAGUCAUAUAUAGCAAUCCUUUGCUCUCCAGCCAAGCAGUAUCCAGUCAAUGGGACCAGAUUGGAUGUUUUAUUCGACCAAGAUACUCAAGCUCUCUAGCAGCCUCUUGGUCAGUCAUGGUGGAUCCAUGAACCAAAACUUUGACAGCUACAUGAAUCCCACCAGACAAGAAUCCUCUAUACACUGGUCCAAACUUACCUUCAGCCAGCAAUGUGCCACGGUCAAAAUGAGAAGUUGCAGACAAGAGGUCUGCAAAUGUGAAAUUCAACAGAGGCUUUUCAAAUAUAACUACUGGGACAGAUGUUGCUUGCUUAACAUCGGCAACCCAAGUGGUUGAAUCCGUCUGGAAUGAAAAGGGGCCAGAUAUAUUCUGUUCUUCUUUGUAAGAAUUCUGUUUCACUUCCCACAUUCUGGUUUUCCUUCGACAACCAAAGGCUAAAAACAGCAAUCCCAAAAGCAAGAAGACCAUGGAGAUGGUUAACACCACGGCAAGCUUGAGGCCCCGAUGCUUUUGAGUUCUUCUCUUGAAAAGAUCAGGAUUUGCAGCAAUUGGACAGCUGUUCAAUGAGCCGAUGAAAGCUGAAUGAGGUUUCAGGGGGAAUUGUGAUGCACAAAGGGUAAGGUUGUUGUAAGAGAAAUUAAACCUCUCCAUCCAUGGUAGCUUGUCUAUGAGCUUCAUUGGAUGUCACCACUUAAAUUGUUAUAGGAAAGAUCUAGUACUUGGAGUUUUUGGAUGCUUAAAAGAGGAAUAUGGCCACUAAGAUGGUUCCUAGAGAGAUCAAGUGUCUUCAGAUUACUCAACAUCGAAAUUUCACCAGGCAUUUCGCCAAUCAAAUUACUUGCAGACAAAUUCAGAUACUCUAAACCAGAAAGCAUACCAAUGUGCAGCAACUGUUCUUUGGAAAAUCUGUUGUGUGCAAGAUUAAGGUGUCUGAGAUUCUGAGCUUCAUUUAAGUCGUUGAAAAACUCUCCACUAAGCUGAUUCUCAGAUAAAUCCACAUAAACCAAGCGAGACAAGCUGAAACUGGAGACAGAAUUUACCUGAGAAAUGUGACCUUGAAACUGAUUUCUGCUCAAAUCAAGCACUUCCAAUGGCCCCUCAAAAAGACCAACAACUGAACCUUGAAAAUAGUUUCCUGAAAUAUUGAGAUAGGUAAUUGAUGUCAGCCCCAAAAAAUCUGAUUCUUUUCCAGUGAAGCCAUUUCCAGCAAUGUUCAAAUAUCUCAACAUUGGAAAUGAAGCACCAAAACCAUCACGAAGAGAACCAUUGAGCUUGUUCCCCGAAAGAUCAAGCGAAACCAAAGAACGGCAUUGCAGGAUCCCCAGAGGCAUGCUAAACUCAAACCCAUUUCGGUCGAGUUUUAGAACUUGUAAGCUUCCAAGGGAGCUUAUAGCUUCAGGGAUACUGCCAGAAAAUUGGUUAGAAGAAAGGUCCAAGAUUUCAAGUUGGCCAAAAUUACCAAUGUUGCUAGGAAGGUCCCCUGAAAGAUAGUUAAAUGAAAGAUUAAGGCUCUUGAGUGAACCUAAACUCCAAAAAUCAGAAGGCAAACCAGUGAUUUUAUUAUUGCUCAGAUCCAAAGAUUCAAGCUUUACAAGUUUGCCAAUGGUAGAAUCAGGGAUUACACCAGAAAGACCCCACCCUGAAGCUACCAACUUGACAACAUUUUCUUCAUUGGCAGCACAAAAGACACCAGGCCAUGAACAAAAGGGGGCAGAAAAGUUGUAGAUAUCGGAAGAAUUUAAACCCAUUUUCUGCAAGAAAUCAGAGACAAAGGAUUCAUCUGUAUUGGGUUGCUGACAAACCAAAGGCCUGAAGAACAGUGUUAGAAUAAAAAAAGAGCUAAAAAAACUAAAACCCAUUUGGAAAUGAGGCCUUAAACUAGCAACCAAGAAACAGAAAAAAAAAAAGAAAAACACACAGCAGAAUUCCCCCAAAGUCACUUCAAACGACUAAUCUUUUUUAGCCUUUCUGCAGCAUAAAGGGCAGUGAAAGAUCACUUUUUUUCUGACUUCUGGAACACCAACAUUAAUUCCAUAACCACUCCCCAACCUCUCAACAGAAACUCCAGUGAGGAAGUGGUAUUCAGCUUUCAAGGGAAUAUUACCACUGGGCUAGAGGAACCAACCACUUUUGCCUCAACUUUGUGGUGGUCUUUUUGUGCCCAUAACCCCAGAAAGUGCAGUGAGCAGCACAUGACUGGAGACUCUUUAUCAAGAACAAAAAUGGGAUUUUAUUAUUGUUUUUCCUGCGAGAGGGAACAAAAGUUGUAAGUGUAUGGGGAUGGUCUUGAGAGAACGAACGUGAGCAUCGUUUCUUCUGGGCUUGCAGUUUCACUCAAUUACAAGGGGGACAGAAAACCACCACUGAAAGCGGUUUUGUUAAAGUCAAAAGCAAGACUGACUCACACAAUUUUCCCAAAAGAAACAAAUAUCAAACACUGAAAGAAAUUUGCCAGACUACCUUAAAACAAGCGAGAGUGAACUCAGUGAAAUGGGGCUUUGUUUAUUGGGAGGAGAAAAUUGAUAGCGCUGUACGGCUGUAUGGAGUGGUGAGAAGUUGGGCUUAAUAAAUGACAAAGGAUUGAAAGAAACGUCUUUUUGGUUGGUGGAAUUUAUCAAAGGGCCGUUGGCAAAUGAUUCAAUUAUUUUUUUUUCCCACAUUUCUGAUAAGAACAAUGCAUUGAUUCUGCAUUUAAGAUAGUGGUAUCUUUUUUCCAUAAUAAAUCCCAUCAAUUAGUACCUUUUGGUGAAGUAAUUUUGGGGAGUCAAUAAAGAUAUGGCGAAAAGGACAAAAUGAAACUACUUUUCAUUGAUAUAUCUACCAGUUAGAAUUCUUUACAAUUUUUGUUAGGCAAGCAUAAUUUUAGAAUUGUAGAUAUUUUUUAGACAAAUUGCAAAUACCACUGUAUUAUCUAAUUAGAUAACAAGUACAAAAUUUUGGGUUGUUUACCUUCCAAAACAAUUCCCCAUUUUUUUAUGGAUAUAAUGGGGAAAGUUAAUCACAAAAAAUCUGUUUCCAAUCUGAGUGUAUAGCAUUUACGAUUCGCCAUGUGAGUGCUGAUUAUUUUAGCCCCCAAAUAGAAGAAGAUAUUCUUUUUUCUGUCAAUAGAUAGAAACACACAUCCAAUUAAAUUAUAAACACUUGGGAGGUUAAUGGUUAGGAGCCAAUUAAGAGUAAUAUAAGGGAACUCACAAGAAACCCAAUUAGAUUAGAAGAAGAUAUUCAAUUCAUUCAAUUAUGAGAAUUAUUAGCACAGAUUGUUUGUACUGUACUGUACUGUAUAACAUGUUUGGUUGGUCGUUUUGUUCAUGAACCAUUAUGUAUCAAAAUGUGAUUGUUCUUCUUUACUUGAUUUUUGGUACAAUACUUUAUAUGAAAGGGACAAGGGGCAGAAACGGUUGCACCUGCAAUCUUGCAAUCGUUCCUGGCGGUUUGAUCAUUUUUAACAGCGCGUAACUUUGAUUAUACACAGAGUAAUUUUAUUUUCACAAUGUGUAAUUUUAGUACAAAAUUUUAUGAGCCUCACACACAGUGUGAAAAUCGAUAUAUAACUAGUAACGUGGAUCGCACAUUUUUUUGAUCAAAUCUUAACCCUUAACAGCUUAGAGACGGUCCACCUAAUGACCGUCCUGCCCCUUAUCCAUAUGAAAGGUAGAGAACAUAGAGAACAUAAUAGUGAAGUGGGCGGGCAGUUGUUUUGGUUGACUUCUAAGUUCUGCCCGUGAUAUUUUUCCUCGAGAUAUGUAUUAUAUAAUUUAUGGCAAGGUUGGCCCUGAUGGACUAAAGUCUAAAAGAAGAUAUGUUUCUUGGAAAUGUGAAUGAAUUCCAAAUUCAGGUUAAUUCCUAGAUCAGGAAAUUAUACCCUUUUGCAAUUGUUCAUAACCAUUUUUUGAGAAAGUGGAAGUAAUUUGCUUCUGUUUUCCAACUUGGAUUUUUACCCUCUUCCAUCAGCAUUUGAUGGAAAUUGCGCCAGCAGAUUAGGUCAGGGGACCAGUUGCAAUUGGGGUCGCCCCAGCAGAACCGUUUGCUUGGUGGACCAUGUUUGACAAAAGUGGUGCUUUGUGUUUUAUAUGUCGCUGCAUCGUGCAAGUUAAGAAACCAGACAGAAAUGCAAGGAAAUUUUGAUUUGUCAGUUUUUGAAAAAUAAGAUUUUCAAAUAGAAUGUCACAGUGAUAUAGAUAAAAAUAAUUAUAAAAUAUUAAAAAUAAUAUCAAAAAUACCAAAAACACAGAAAAUAAUCUCAUAAACAAUCUCAUCUAUAGUAAAAAAUUUUCACUUAUAUUACUACAGUAAAAUAUUUUAAAAACAUAUUAAAAAAAAACUAAUCCUCCUUGAAAUUAAAAUAUGAGCAAUUUGAAAUUUUGUUAUAAUUCACCAAAAGACACUACUGUCCUCCUUGAAACAAAUCAACCAACAAUAGUGUAUGCAAAUGUACUAGGGUUAACUGGUUAUCAUGAUUCUAAUAGUUUUUGCAACUCAAUCCAUCCAUAUACUUUACACACCGUUUAACUAAAAAAUAAGAACAUUUUUCAAUCGUCUUUUUAUUUUACGUAUACCAAAUUAUUAUAAUAUAUAUAUAUAUAUAUAUAUUUACAAAAUUUUUAGAAAAUAACAAUCCAAACUGGCUCUUGAAUAUCUUAAACGUCUCUACAAGAUUUCAAAUCCUGUGGUUCACAAAUCCUUUGAUAUCAAAUAUCUGUGAGAAUAAUCCAUCCUUUUGUGGGAAACUGGAAAUCCCUCAAGCUACGACCAACAACACAUUCAAGUCAAUAUCGUGAUCUUGAUAAGCCCUAAAGUUGUCUCGUAUAUACCAAUCUAUUCAGUCCUUAUGGGCCCCAAGAAGUGAUCACCGAUCAUAAUCUAUAUUAUUAUUCCAACCAUUGAUCAUUCGUGGACAGAUAAUUAACCUUAUUAAGAUCUCAUGAUUAAUCAUAUGAAAAUCAAAUUGAUCAUAUGACGCACUUGUCCAUAAACAAUGAGUAAUCACCUCUAAUCAAACAAGAGAUUGGACAAUGCCAACCCCCGUUCCAAGUGUUGUGUGGAUGUGAGUGUGUGAGAGAGAAAUUGGUUGGUUUUUUUUUUUUUUCUUUUGGUUGAGCACGCCAAGGCCGACAAGAGAUGAAGUGGGGGUGGUGUUUUAAUGAUUUGCAUUGAUUGAGGAAGCUUGAGAAGUGAGAACGAAGAAGAAACCAAUAAAUCAAGAAAUCAAACCGGCAGCACAGCUAAUGAUCAAGGUCAUGUCAUUUGGUCAUGUGCACAAAUGCAAAUGCCAGCAAACUUUUAUUCUUCAAACUCUUAGUAUUAAUAAUGUUUCUUUUCAACGUCUACUCCAGUCAACUAAAACCGGCUGUAGCUUUCUGAGUUAAUAGUUUAGAGCUGGCUUGGAAACAUAUUUGAAAGAUACCCAUAAAUUGAUCAAAGAAAAGGGUGUAUGUACUAUGUAGUGUUUUUCUCGUUCUCUAGAAGUGGUCUCUGUCAUUAACACAUAUUCUACAUUAUCAACGACGUCGGUGAUUGAUUAUUCUCUUUAAUUUUGUGACGAAAUCAAUCAGGCGAUAAUGGGUUCACGUAAUUUUUUUCAUCACAAACAUCCACACAUACAUAGCUCCGAUUAAUGUUAAUUGGAUUCUGAGAGAGACAAAUAAAGUUGCAUAUGAACUCAGAUUUUUUGCGAAAACCGCGAAAUUUUGUGACACAUGAGCUCGCAUUUUUUGCGAAAUCUCUGAUGAAUCUCUUUAGAAUUUCUCUCCUACUUUUGUCGAGCAAUUCAUGUUGGACAAUUUUUAAAAUAAUGAAAUUUCUCUUUUAUUAAAAAAAAUCAAAGAUACUUGAUGUGCCUUUCCUUGUAUGUGCCCCCAAAAUUUUUACCUAUUACCUCAUUCGUGAGUAGCCGAAGUUAAUAUCCUAGUUGAAAAUUGUUGACUCAAUGGAAUAGUUUAGUAAGCUACUUGAUGCAUUUGAACUUAGUGAUUAAAAGGUUGCAUACACAAUUUGACAAUUAAAAGGAGAAUCCAUAGAUUUAACAUGGGUUUAUUCAAUAGCCGGCCGAACCCAAAAAGGUAUUUGAUCAGGGUCUAAUCUGACAUCUAAAAGUCAAGAGGUCUUUUUAAUUUACUCAACAGGGUCCAACUUAAACACUUGUUUAUGUGAAUCGUACCCACCGGGGUUAAUAUUAUCAUAAGCCUGACUACAGAAUUUUGUGUUGGGGGGAUAAUGCUGAAUAUUUAGACAGUGGUUUGGUUUGACCUUCUCGUUUGCUUGUCUUCAACUAAUACACAAUUAAUUGGUGGUUUCAGGCAAAACUAGUAAAUAAUCUAUCAUUAUGGUGUCCUACUCCUACCAUGAGAAAUAUGUCACCGUUUUGCAUCACUAUCCCGCACCAGCAAUAAAAUAGUCAGUAUUGAUAACUUGGAAUUAGCUCUCUCUUGUAAUGAUUGAAAUGCACUUUUCUGAAAUACUAUUAGUGUUUGGAUACCCAAAUUAUCUCAAAUAAUAUUGCGCUUGCAUCAUAAACACGUUUUCCAAUCUACCUUUUUAUAUUCCCAAUCACCUUUUUAUCUCACAUACAUCACAUCACAAAAAGUGUUACAGUAAUUAUUCCAAAUAAUAUUUCAAAUAAUACACUAUCCAAACAAUUGAAUAAAAAUUAACUCAUUCCAAAAAAAAAAAAAAAAAAAACUCUGUGAGAUGCAAUGUACUCGUCUCUAAGAGUUCGAGCCCUGUGCUUUUGCCUUUUUGUGCUUGGUUUUUCGUUGAAAACACAUUCUCUCUGUGGCAGUUGCAUCUGCCUGCAUGUUUAUGUCCAGUUAUAUUUCCUUUCUGUCUUACUAUACUAGUAGUACAUUUUAUGCAUGUAAAAGCAAAUGCUAGCAUUCCAGAACAUUUGUAAUCAUUUUCGAAAGAAAGUCCCUUUAAUUUGAUGAAGCAAAACGCUUGCCUAGAAAGCAAUUAGGAAUAUAUGAUAAUGAUGGCAGCAGUAAAUAUUCAUGUCGUGGCACCAUGAUUGCUUCCACAUUAUUUCCUUUUCAAGAUCAUUAAAAGUAUCGAAAUUUAGAUGUUUAUUGUGACUUGGGUAUAUUUAUUUUGAAUCUCUGGGCAUAAAAUGUUAAAAAAGAGUAACAUUUAGUAUCUAAUCAUCACUUCUCAUUACUAGCUGGUUUCAUUCUACCUCUAUGUUAGUUAUUCUGGGUAAUUUAUUCCUAACCCUUGAUGAGAUUAAACCUGACCUCAAAGAAUACUACAUAUAUAUACUGUAUAUGUUGUGAACUUCAAUCUUGAUUCUUACAGCUUUUACUGUAAAGUUGCUUAGCCAUCAUAAUGAGUAUCACAGAGUCCAGCGCAAGCAAGACUGGAUGGUUAAUGGUUGGACAUAAGAAACCUAUGACUUGGUGAGCAGAAUAAUUCCUUCCACUUCAGCAAUUAAUCCAACAUCUUCAUCAACCACGUUUUGAGCUGGAUCGGAGUAGCAAAUUAAUGGAUGUGCUUUAAAGCUGGAGUAGCAAGCACGUUUCAUCAUCGAGGUAGCCUUAAUUAGAGUGGGACUGUUUCAGUCUUCACAGAGACAAAAUGUAAAGGUGAAAAUGGUAUGGAAGGAAGACAAGUCUGGAAUGGAAGGAUGUUCCCUGCCUUCAUUAUUGCUAUUGCGUGAGAGUUUCUACUUUCUACUCUUAUCAAUUAUUACUGCCACAUCCACAUGCAUGUAAUUAACAUCUCCACUUCACAUUUGUGAUGGUUAUAAGCAAUUAGUCCACAACUUUUUUUUUUCCUUUUUUUGGUUUCGUAAUGACACAUCUAACCUAGCUACUCUUAUUCCUACUCUAAUCUAUUUUAGGGGUGGCCCAACUGAGGCACAUCCAGCCUUAGGGUGUGAAUCGAAAUCAAAAUUAGUAAUUCAAAACUUUGAAAUCAGAAUUUUUCAGAACCGAAUUCAAUUUCAAAUUCACCAACUCCGAAUUCGAAUUCGUUCCAAAUUCAAUUCGAAAUUCGAUAAAUUCCAAUUUCACCGAAUUUAGGAAUAUAAAAUUUUUAUUAUUAUAUAAAUGUUAUAUUACAUAUAUAUAUUAUGUGUGUAUAUAUAUAUAUGAAAAAUGAAUUUGAAAUCGAAAUAGGAAUUUUGAAUCACCAAAUUCAGGAAUAUAAAAAUUAUUAUAAUAAUAUAAAUGUUAUAUUACAUAUAUAAUAUAUAUGUGAAAAAUGAAUUUGAAAUAGAAAUAGGAAUUCUGAAUUCCGAUUUAAAAAAUCCCAUUAUCGAAUUUGAACCAAAUUUGCAUAAUUCGAAAUCGAAAAAUCCGAUUUCAGUUCCGAAUUGAAUUACCAAUUUCGAAAAUUUUUCAAUUUUGCACACAACUAUCUAGCCUAACCUGUUUCUACUCCUGCUGCUCUAACCUAAGUUGAUUCUAAAUUCAAUUCGAAUUCAGUUGGUAAAUCGAAAUUUUUCAAUUUUGCACACUCUUAUCUAACCUAGUCUACUUCUAAUCUAGCCUACUCUAGGGGGUAGUCCAAAUGAACCACAUAUAGUGGUACAUUGAUGGGAGGUAAGAUUUGAACCCUUGAUCUCUUACCUCACAAUACUGGUUAAUUAAUCUAUAACUUAAUGUCAAAAGAAAUGUGCAUGCACAAUAAAGCAAGUUCAUUAGAAACGAAGGAAAUACGAUGAAAACAACAAAGUUUACAAUAAAGUAACUAUGUAUAAUGUUGUGAAAUACAGGGGAAAUGACGAGAGUAAAACUAAAGUACCUUGAAAUGGCAGUACUUCUUAUUCAACAGGUUCUAAGCGUUGGAACGUGAGACUUGAUCUCUUUGGUAGUGUUUAAUUUUCUUUACGGCUAAUUACAGCAGUUUCCUAAUGAAUGCGAGUCAUCUGCACUUUUCAACUUUGGAUGCAAACAAUACACUAGGCACUUUACUCUUGGAAGAACAUUUUAUUUACAUUUCCAAGUUCUAACCAAGAAACCGUUGACCAAUUUGACCUUCGAAUUUGUGUACAAUUCUACCCUCCAUAUGAUGACCCAAAGAAUUUUGUCUUCUUGACCAACUCGUCAAUUGACCCAGUUGUGUUGCACCUUUGAAAUUGAAACUUGAACUGCAGCAGCUAUCAAUAGCAAAAUCGCAUAACUAUUUAAAUUUGGUAUUUUUUAAUCGAAAUGACCAAACAGAAUAGCAUCAAUUUUUAAUGAAAAAUCUAUCAAAACAAUAACUUAUAAAGCGGAACCAUACUUUAUUGCUAAAUCUAAUUUCAUAGGAUCUUACUGGCUGUUGCGUUGUAACAUGCUCCAAUUAGUAGUUAAAAAAAAAAAAGAAAAAAGAGUAACGAGUCAUAAUGCGUUUUCUCUAUAUAUUUCACUGAGAACACUUUCUAAUGCAUCUUUCGUUUGCUUAUCGUGGCUCAAUUCUGUUUUUUUUUUCCCCCAUUUUUAUACACAAUAAAUAUUUUCAAUUCUUAUGCUUUUAGUCUUUCUAUUUUCUUUUAAUAACAAAAAUAGUCCUACACCAAACUUACUUUUGAAAGAAUUUUAAAGGGGACCCAACAUUUUUUUCUGAAGGAGGAAGUUAAACUCUACAUCUAGUUCAGAGCAGUGCAAUUCUGCUACUUUGGAUUUAACAUGAUUUGAACUUCCAAUCUAUCAACCUGACAAAACGAGUCCAGUUUUAAAUGCUGGAACUGAAACCAAAAGUCUAAAGUGACUCAAAACGAGAAGUCUAAAGUGCCUAUUUUGUGCAUUUAGGAAGAGAGAGAGAGUGCAAAUGACCCUGACAGAGACAAAAAGUGUAAUUAACCAUCUGUUUCGGUAGACAUGUCGCUCAAUCCUCUACUGUUUAGCGGAAACUCAUCCGCACGUACACCUUAGAAUUGGUAAAUGCUGCUGUGACUAGUGAUUGCUUCUCCGAAACUAAUAAUGACAUGGUGAUUUUUAGUCAAUAUGUGAUGUAGGAAAGAGAUUAGUCCGUUUACUUUUCCAUGACAAUCGUACUUCUCUUAACCAAAGCCCAAAGACUUUUCGGCAUUGUUUUUACUAACCCUCAUGUGACAAUCGUACUUGCUUCCAGCAAUUCGGUCAUUUGCUCUUUGUCGUUGUCUUGCUUAUUGACUUGCCCACCCAAGUACACAUGUCGCUGGCCCAGUUCCCCAUUUCUGUCUAGCGUCCGCAGGACACAAGCAAGUCCAUCAGCACUCCAUUGCAAGAAAUUUCUCCACAGCUAGUUGAUUCCUCCUGGUCUCCACGCGAACAAAAUCUCUACACUUUAGCUUUUGGCAAAUUGUUAAAACUUACUCAGGUUUAAGCAAGCAAUUUUUGUAUUGUAAAUCAAACAAGCAGAUGAAAAAUAACACACUACUCUUACAAGAGAACGCCGAGGAUCAAUCAGUAAACAAAACUUCAUGGAGAAAGAAAGGCUGGUCAAUACUCAGCAUCUAUCUCCAGAUAAAUUGCAGAGUCAGCUGUAAACCAGGUAGCCUGGCAGGUCACCCACACGACUAAACACUUGGAGCUCAAGCAAGUCCCAAAAUACACAUAUUUUGCCAACUGCCAAAACCGAUGAUGAAAACUACAUUUAUCGGGUGGGGAAAAAGAAGAAUAGCGUUCACAAAAAAAAAAAUUUGGUCCAUAACGAUUUCGACCACACCCUCAGCUCUGGCCAGCAACAAUCGUUACAGAAAAAUGCAGACAUGCCACUCACUAUACGAGGAACUCUCUUCAAUUCGACAAAUUCUAGACUUUAUGCUUGCGAGUCAUCAUAUCCUGAAUGGUUGGUUUGCAGAGCUGCAUCGGUCCAACUUUGCUUUCUUUGAUUUUGCCUUGUGCGUCGCAAUUUCUUGGAAAGGAUUGAUUCCAUCAAAUGUGAGCUUGGAGCUUCUAACCUUCUUCCUUUUUCCCUUGUCGUAUUCCUCAUCCCUGCAAAAGUAUAGAUGAUUUGAAAUGGAGACUGCAAUAAGAGAUCAUUCCAUACAAGAAAAACACCUAAAAGAACAAGUAGGCCUGAAACUUUUAUUUGGUUAAUAAGCCCAAUUUACUUUAAAUGUAUCACGACAGAAAGAGCAGAGAAUUUCGACUCUUCUAUAGCUGGUCUCACAAUUUAAACAGUAGGAAUAUUGGGCUCCCAAGGCAAAAGGAGUGGAACGAACUGAGGAAUUCACUGACAAUUCAUGGGUGGUAGCCAAAGCAGCCAGCAGCAUCCAAUCCAGAUUUUAACAAAUUAAGCUGCAUACUUCUUUUUAAUGAUGUGAACCUUGGUAUUGUAAUUUAAAAAUUAGAAAAAAGUACUAAACACAAAUAUCUCAGUAACUUAUAUUCAACUCACCAGUCAUCCCCAAUAUAACCAAUUCUAAGAUUUUCUGCGCCUCUGGAUUCUAGAAUAUCAUCAGAACUUUCAACACCAUCCCAACGUGCAACUGUAAUCAAUCAAAUCAAAAGACAAGUGAUAAUCAGUGCUCCAGCAGGGAGUCCAUGGACAAAAACUAGAUUGAGCUAAAAUACCCUAAAAAGACAAAAUUAUGCAGGUACUCACCAGUUGUCUCUUCCAAACCUCUAGCAGGAAUCCGUAUCAAACCAUUCUCCACCUUUUCAAUUUUCUUGUGUGCGGAGCCACAUGAUUUUCCAUUAUCUGAUAACUCUCGCGCCCGAUGUGGAAUAAUAACUCUUGCUUGGUUGUGCAUCUGUCAAGGGAACUUUCUCAUGUUGACCAACUUCAUCCCUACGUGGGACGACCUUCACAACCCUUAGAAGUUCACCAUUGUUUGAAGGACUCUUCAAACCUAGAACCUUAUCUUUCUCAUCUGCACUAGAUCUGAGCCUCCUAGGAGGGUAAGCUGAACAGCUUAUAGUUUUGCAGUCCUCAGAAGUAGAUGGCCCGAGAUCUGACAGGAUACGACUCCCAUCCAGUUUUUUUGGCAACAAUGUUUGGCCCUGUUUUUCUUCUUUCUCCGUCCCAAGGCUGCUCCUAAAAUGAUGUUUCUGCUAAGAUGCUUGGUUGUAACAACAAGCUUCAAAGGCUUCCUCUUUACUAAAUGCAGCCUGUCAUUAAGGGACUUUUCGCAAAGCAAGUGUUUUGGUGCUGGUUUUCUGCGUGCUAGAUCUUUGCUAUCACGAGCCUUUCGAACACCUACCUCAGCUACACCAGUAUUGUCAGGGAAACAUCCAACCUACAGAAGAUUUGGUUAGAUGUGCAGCAAGAGGGGGAGGGGAAGGCCUAGAAUAAGUGGCUGUCUUUGUAGCUUUGUUUAUUGACUAUGCUGGCCAAGUAAAAAUUUGUCACUUAUCUCCAGAUAUGUUAAUUAUCAAAUCAGAAAUGACAAUAUAUAUGGGAAAGAUGCUUGAAAUAGUGUGACAUUCUGCAGAUACAACUGGGCAAGUCAGAUGGCAUAUAUGCAAUUCCAAGAAAGCAGGUAAGAAAAAGAAAUAAAAGCUAAUCACCAUGUUUUCUCAUAAUCUAAGCAAAUCAAGUACCUUUCCAGCAUUAGUCUCCAAAGAAACACAUGUAUCUUGAGGAGGUCUAUGGAGGACAUUGCCAUUAGGUGGUCUGUCAACCGCAUUACUGGAUCUUUACCAGCACUCACUUUAAUAUUUCCAUUAGUUGGUAUGACCGCAGAAUCAGUCUCGUUCUUUCCAGCAGAACUUUGGGAGCCAUUGAUGUCUUCUUGCUUAACAAUAGCAGUAGUCAGUUCUAUGCCACUGCUACUGCCCGAGUUACUAGAAUUCCCAAGAUUAACAAAGCCAUCAGAUCCCUUAGAAGAUGGAAGUGAUUGCACCAAGCAAUCUCCACCAUUUAUAUUUGAUCUGGAAAGGCCAUCCACAGGUGGCACCUUCAGUAAAUUUGCGGCAGGACGGUCUUUCUUUAAGCAUGAUUCUUCAGGAGCUGUUGGGCCAUUAAUUUUCUGAGCAGGAUCCUUUUUCAUUUGAUUUUGGCUUAUGAUGUUAGGAUUCACUACAUCUUUCUGAGCAGCAAUAGCAGAAAAGGAAUCAUUCAACUUUCCCCCAACUGCUCCGUUCGGGACAUUUUCCUCGAUCCUUGAUGAAAAUUAGGAUACGUUUUCCUUCCAAAUGUAUUUAUAACCAUACUUUCUUUAUGUACUGCAUCGACAACUUUCUUAGGUGUGGAAUACAUUCCAUCUCGAACAUAAAACAACAUAUAAGCCUUCUGCUCCAAAACCCUCCUCUCACUAACUUGAACAACCUGUAAUUCACGGUGCAUCAGUUUACAAUGCAGAGAAGCCAAAAUUUAUCUAUUCUGCACAAACAUGUGCAAUAGACGACCUAACAAGUAAAAAUGGAAAAUAAUCCAAUGAUGCAUCAUGUGACGGAGGGCAUAUAAAACUACAAUAGGCAACUGGACAUGGUUAUCUCCACCAACAUGUGAACAUAGCAAAUCAAGACAAUUACAUUGCACCACAAUUUAAACUGAGAUAGAGGAAUUUGGCAAGAAUUCCGCUUUCCUUAGAAAGAGUUGAUCGUCUAAUGUGACAAGGAGGAAGUCUUUUUUAUCACAAUUCUCUUAAAAAAAGUUAGCUCUUUUGAAACUCUUGAUCUUGAAGCUCAAUUGAGACUCUGAUGCUUAAAAGAAUUUUAAAACUGUGUACCAGAUCAAGCAUUCCAAGUUCCAUUCAUUAGGUCCUUAAAUUCAUUCCGUAACUGUUCUGAAACUAAAAGCAUUAAACAGUUAUGUUACCAUAAUGCAGCAUUAACUGUUCCAUUUAUUGACUGACAUGGUCUGACCGCAUGAAUUGCCCAGCCCGUUGCAAAGAUCCACCACUUUCUCUGUGUGGACAGACUGAAGCUACUAGAAUUUGAUUUAUUGGGAAUCAGAUUUAUAGGUUGUAAGUUGCAUUUGCCAGCAAAACCACAAACCAAAAUGCAACAUUAAAGAAAGCAACCCAUAAUGAAGAAAACCGUGCUGCUUGGAUUCCACCAAGUUCACCUCUUUAAAGACUGAGUCAUAAAGACCAAAAAAUAAUAAUCUAUGAGUUGAACAGAUUUGACCAGCUAGUUCAUGUUAUGAAGCUGGGGAGGACCAAUCAUGCAAUAAUAGCAAACCCCAAACAAAUCAUUCAGCAACCCUGAUUCAUGCAAUAUGUUUCCUGUUCUUUUUAGCACAUUGAACACCCAAAAGUUCCAAACUGCCCACCAUCCAAAGGAGGUUUCAAAAUUAAAAUAAAAAAGGUGCAUCUCCAAAUAUCUGCUUUGGUACAGUUACUUCAAUUUCCCACCAAAGAAAAUAACACGUCCACCAGCUCUGUCAAUCAAUUUUCAGGUCAUACACAAUUAAUGUGGAAAUUUAUAGCACUAAUAAGACCUUAAUCCAACAAGGAAAGAGAUCCACAAAUACUAGGAGAAAUGAUAGGUCCUAAGUUCUGUAUUUGGCAGAAGAAACUGAUGACAAAAUUGAUACAUCCUGAUACCUGGUUGUCAUCAAGAGAGUACCACGUGCCACUUGAUGUCCGAACAAAGCAGUAGUAAUGACCACAAUGAGUGCUCCAACCAGCAUGAACCAGAACACCAUAGAGAGUAUAUUUCAAUUCCCCAUCCUGCAAUGAAUUAAGAAAAGAAAGCAAUAGUUAACAAUGGAAAACCCAAGAUAUACAAAAAAACAACGGAACCAUACACAAAGUGAAAAUGUGUUGAUGUAGACAUGCAAAAGCAUUUCAAGCUUUUUCAUUUUCUAAACACUAAUAGCAGAACACAUGCACUAGGCUGGCUUUACUCAUCUAUGAUUAGAAAUAGCACUGAACUGUACAAUUCAGCAUCUCAAUAUUCAUCUCAUUCAGCAUCACCCUUCAAAAUAAAAAUUGUGGAAUGUCUAUCAUGCAAAAGAUAAUUGAUAACCCAUCAUAAGAACAGAAAUCACACCUAUAACCUAGUAACAUUUUUGGUUUCAUGGAAUCAGUCGAAGAGUUUAAAACAUUUAAUCCCUCUGUCCCAUAUAUAUUCGGCCUUCUUGUAAUUUAGUCUAAAUGUACGAAAGGCUCAAAACAUUUGAUAAGUGCAUGAUCUUUGUUGGUAAACAGCGGAAAAUAGUUUUGGAAUAAUUGUAGAAGGAUAUAUAGCCAAUAGAAACAGGAAAAUAGUAGAAAUCAGUAAAAUAAGAUCACCAAAAGACGUUUUUGGAAACAGUUUCAUAUUACCAUGGCAUGCAAAAACAGGAAAGUAACUUCAACAAUACAAAAAUUAAGCAGCAAUAGAGCACAAACAGUAACCACAGCAAGAAGUUAAAGAUGCAAUAUCUGCUCAACAUGCUUUUUCCUUGUUAUUACUUCAAACUAUUAAGAGUGUAACACUCCUUAAAAUGCUUUUGUAAUUUGUUGAGUGCAUUAACUUAUUCACUCCAUGUCACAUAUUUAGGCACAAGAUACGCCUGAGAAAAGAACAGAUAAAAACUUAUAUAUAGACAUUUUAGUGGAAGUAUACAACAUUCUCGGACUAUAUGCUUACUACUCUUAGAAAGUAUCUACUACUUACAUAUGGACCAGUCACGAAAGGUUUUAAGUCCAAUGAAGGGCCAAACUCAACUUUUCUGUCAAUCUUCUGGCCAGGCAUAUGAGAACCAAAACGCUUCAAGUGGAUUGCAAGGACAUUGGGUGCCUUGUAAACAGUCAGCUGCUUAAGAGCCUUGACUUUUUGCUUGCAUUGUUGGCACUGAUAUUGCCUCUCCCCUCCAUCUAACUGCUCUUUGGCAGUAAAAUAAGCUAGUGCCUUGUAUAAUGAGUCUGCCUUCAUUAUCUCAAGACUUAAAUCCAAGAAUGGAUCAAACUUGUUUGAGCAAAACGAACACUGCAUGCAUUUCACCUGUAAAAAUAUAAGAAGACUAAUAAACCUUCUGGUACUCAUAUACUCAAAAACACAAUCAAAUCUUGAUCUUUCAGCAUCAAAAAUUUUUUAAAAAAAUUAUCAUGUUUCCCAAAGUGAGACUGACUCUCUGAUUCUCUCUGUAGCCAAUUAUCUAAUACCCUAAGCAAAAAAGGAGCUAAGCAAGACAUAUUUACCUGACUACAAAGGCGACCACCAAAUAUCUUAUGGACCAAACUUUUCUCGUAAGCACUGGGUGAUCGCUGGGCACUCCAGAAGGCAAGCAGCAUUUGUGCAUCGAUUCUAAUAAAUUGACCAUGUACUCAUGAGCAUCCUCUUGUCUAGCAUUUCUAAAGUUCCGAGAUAUGCCUAAAUAACUGUCAAGGAUCCAAACUCAACUCAAAAAUCCAGAGCCUGAAAUUCCACUACAGUGAGGAGAAUGCCAAAUUAAAGGCGUAUAGUAAUUUCAAGUUGGAUAACAGACAAGUUUUAAUGUAAAAGAAGGAACAAAGAGCCAAAAAAAAAGUAGAAACUAAGAUCACCAACGAUGCUAAAAAGUCAAGACAAACAGUAUCAAACUGCUAUAACAGGAAACUUAUUGAACUAAAUUGAGAUAAGAUGAUAUUACAAGCCGAUGAAGAAAAACCUACAACAUCACAAGAAGUCUAGCGAACACAUUAUAAGCAAAAAAUUCAGGAUACACCGCAAGUUUGAUACAAGAUCUUUCGGAGCCAAUACCGUUCCUGUCGAUUCCAGAGCUCGGCUCACAUGUUUCUGAAUGGCACAUAAAGCACAAAACCCAGCAAUAUGACCUUCAUAGCAUCAUGUCAAAGAUGCAAAAAAUCAGAAUCCAAUGAUUGACCUUUUUGAAAGUGAACGCCAGAUGUAAAACAGGGCUCAAGAAAAAUAUAAGCCACCAAAAUGAGCCAUGAGAAGGAAAAAAAAUGAUGAACCAGAAAGAACUAAUGCAGACAAGCACUACAAGUCAGCAAGCAUGUUUGUUGUAGGAUCGCCAAACAUUCAGUUAACAUGAUUUAUUAUAUUUGGCCAUAGAUCUAAGAGAUGCUACGGUUCAAAAGAAUUGAUAGCGCAAAUGACAAGAAAAGUGCAAGUAGAGAAAUUAGGAUGAAUUUUUACAAAAAGAGAAAGACGAAAGACUCAGUCUAGCUCUGCCAGAAGUUAUACGCAUCACAUAGAAAAUCACACAAGAAGACUCAAGAAGCUGCAGAACAACAAUUAUCACAAAGUGCAAGAAGACUCAAGAUGGUAAUUUGCACUGUCUACGUCUCAUCCUUAGGCAUUCCUUGAACAUCAAACAAUUCUAACAUAUUCUUGGUAUUAAUUCACUACAUCCCUCAUUGUCAUACCUUCCAUUUUUACCUGGAACCAUAUUCAAUCAUUUAAUUGUUCAUAACUCUGUGUCUCUUUCACUUUAGGUUUUACAAGCACAUCUGAGGUGUCCGUCGAGUUAUCUCACCUUCAGAUAUCUUUUUCCGCAGAUGAUAAAACAGCACAUAUCAAAAUACAUCAUUCAGAAUAAAAUAACAAACAUAAUCAGGAAUUCCUCAUACACACAUUCUAUAUGCUUCAUGUUGGUUAUCGUAUGAUAAAGAAAAUGUAAGAAAAAGAGAGAGUGUCUCACAGGAUAUUUUAUGCCGACCACUUUGUAAAUAAGCUGCCAAGGGCUCAGUGUAUGUCAGACACUGUAAUACAGAAUUGAGAAAACAAGUAUUUCCAAGAUUUUGCAAGCCAGCACCCUGUCAUUAAUCAUAGUUACACUCCAUUAUACCAUGAUUCCAAAUGCUAAACAAAAUAGAAAAAUAAUACCAAUAAAUAUACUCACGAUAUCCCGAUUUCAGGUGAGUGUAAUUCAUGAUUUGUGUAUAACAUCAACAAACUUUCACGCUAACAAGAACCACCUACUCAGAAGAAUCAAUGAUGAAAAUAGGUUUAACACGUACCACUGAUAUGAUUGACGAAAUUUAAAAAGUUACACUAUAGUGCAUGAAUAUUGCAGAGUGAAAAGGCCAAAUGUACACACUUUAUAAUACACACUUGUAUGAAUUUUCCUUUUCCAACCUCGGCAAAGAGAUGCACAAACAAGAAUUCAAAUUUGCAAUUCGAGGUUUACUAGAGGCUUGCCAUAUAAGAACUUCAUUGUUUCACCAAUCCAGCUUAUGCUAAGUUUCCACUCAUUAGAAAGUCUAAAUGCUUAGCAUCAGUUACAAUAAAUUUCCGAUACAUAAACAGAACCCAGAGCUUCAAAUUUUUUCAAACAAAAAAAAAAAACAACACAAAGUUAUUUAAAACCCGUAAGUUAUUCUACUAUAACUAGCUAACUAAUGCUUUCUAGAGAUACAAAAGUUUCCAGAAAAAAAUCAUAGCUCAAUCAAACAGCAAAAAAACACAUUACUGGAUAAAAAUGAAAAUAGAAAUGGAAAAAUGUAAACUUUAUUUAGAAAACAAAUAAAAAGUCUUACAAUUCUCCUGAAAGUGAUUGUAAAGCUAAGCUCCGGAUCCAACCCACUAUGAUUCUCCAAGGAAGACUCGGAGGGGCCUUCCCGUACCCGGACCAAGUUUUGUGGGACUCCGAUUUUAAACUGGCAUUCGAAUUACGCGGGUUUAAGGUCACCAGCUUAAACCCAUUUCCACUGUUUCCUCCAUCACUGAACCCAUUGAACGACUUUCUCGCCAAAUGAAAUUCAAUUCUCCGAUGAAACAACGCCGCAUUCGAAUUCGAAGCAUCUGACGUUGUAACCGACUCCUUUUCCGGAUCCUCAACUGACCUGACCGACAAAGAAUUUAUCAUCGUCUCCGCCGCCAUCAUCAAAUCAAUAAAACCUCAAACAAAAAAGCUCUAUAUACAUAGAAAAAAAUCCAAUAUAUAUAGACUGAUUUCUUCUCUCUCUACAGAAUCAAAGAAUUAUAUGUUAUACGUUUCUGGGGGUGUGAUAGUGUGUGAGAAAGAAAAAUAGAGCGGUUCUGGGUUUCGACUGGAGCUUGCUAAAACAGCUUAAAACCCUACACAUGGGAGUAUGUCGGGCGAGUGUAAAACUGGCCGUGGGCGGCGAGUCGCAGGGGAUUACUUUUAGUCUCGAUAUGAUACUUGUUCGAAGCGGUGGGAUCUGGUGUGGUAAGGUGUAAAUUUAGAAAAGGGUUUGAUUGGACGGAGGUUGACUGAAGGGCGUAAUGGUCAUUUUACAUUGGAAAUACUGACAGCUGCAGGAGAUGGAUUUGCGCUUGCGGUGGUUAAUUGAUUGGUCGAUGGCUUGAUUCUGUGGAAUCUAAUCAAGCAGGUCGAGUUGCCGCGGUGCUUUUGAUUUUGGUGGUGGGAAAUUGAGAUGGCAGCUCUAGUGGGACCCUGCAGGAGAUUCAUGCUAUUUUUUUUUUUGUCAAACGCAUUCAUGCUAAAUUUGGAUUACAGGAAAUUUUACCAAUACAGAUAUUUUCCCUUAAAAAUUAAAGAAAACGAGUAGUCAAGUUGUACGUUUUAAAAUAUUUGUCUUUUUAAAGAUCAAAAUUCAAAAGCAACAAUUACGCUGUUCUUUGCUGAGGGUUAAUUUCACUUAAUGGCCAUUUACCCAUCGCGUAGAAAAUUGAAUGAUAAUUUGCAUAUCCCAAUUAAAGGGAGGAGAAUAAGUGUCCUAAGGAAAAAAAAAAAGAGAGAAACAAAUUAGCCAUAUCUUUAAAUAGUUACUAAAAGAAGAGCAUACAUAUAGUGUGUUUGGACAGUCAAUUAUUUGGCCAAAUAUAUUUGCUGACAUCACCAUUACAAUUUUCAAUACACCUUUUUAUCUUCCCAAUUACCUUUUUAUCUCACAUACAUCACAUCACAAAAAGUGCUACAGUAAAAAUAUUUCAAAUAACUUACAAUCCAAACACACUCAUAGUUACUCUGAAUACAUUCAAAUUGAUUUCGAUAGUUGCUUGUUGUUUAUUUUUUCGUGUGAAAUGUCAACUUUUAAUUGAUUUUAAGUUUGAUACUCUUUUAUGGUUUAUUGAGUAUACCUGAGGGAGGUGAAUAACCUCUCCUCUCCAAACAUGAUAUUUUUGUGUGAGACCAAAAACAGGAAAAAAUAUUUGGAAAAAGUAAAAAAUAUUUUAAGAUUCGAUGAGUGUGCAGUAGCUGAAGCCAUGAACAAAGCAGGCGGAAUGGCUCUUUUAUGGAAAGAAGAAGUGACAAUAAAAGAGAUUCUGAUGUCUGCCUUUACCAUUGAGGCACAUGUGGAGGACCAAGAAGCUAACAUUGACUGGUGGUUCAUUGGUCUUUAUGCGAGCUGUGAUAACCAGGUGAGAGGUUAGCAAUGGAAAGUGAUACAGAACAGAAAAUGACUAUGGGGAGAAAGGUGGAUAAUAGCUGGUGACUUUAAUGAUAUCGUCUCAAAUGAUGAAAAAUGGAGUGGAAAUUGGAGGGAUGAAAGAAGCUUUAAGGAUUUUAAAGAGUUCAUCAAUGGAAACCAGAUGAUUGAUAUUGGAUUUGAAGGUCACCCGUGGACAUGGUGUAACAACUGGGAUGUUGAAGGUGAAAUUAAACAAAGGUUGGACAGGGGGCUAUGCAAUUAUUCAUGGUAUCAGACUUUCGAUCAAGUCAAGUGCAGACAUAUGGAGACCUACGCUUCAGAUCACAGCAUGAUCAUGAUAGACACACGUCCAAGGCCAGGUAAGAGGAAUAAGAGAUUCUAUUUUGAAAAGAGAUGGCUAAAAAGAGAGGACAUUCGAGAGGUUAUCAGGACUGCAUGGGAAUUGCAAACUGAAGGAUCAAGAAUGUUCCAAGUGACAAAAAAAAUUAGGAACUGCAGAGUGGCUCUACUGAAAUGGAAAAAUUCCUUCCAAGCAAACUCAAGAGGAAAGAUAGAUCAGAUUAAGAGGCAAAUGAGCGAGCUAAAGGAAAGCGAUAUCAGUGCCAGGAAAGGCAGCAUAGCCAUGCUAAAGGGGAAACUAAAGGAAGCUUAUAGGGAAGAGGAAGUGUAUUGGUCACAUAAAUCAAGAAUACAGUGGCUCAGGGAGGGUGACAAGAACACAAAAUUCUUCCAUGCAACUGUGAAAGGAAGGAGGAGGAGAAAUAGGAUGAAUAAGUUGCAAAGAGAAGAUGGAUCAUGGACUGAGAGUGAGGACGAGCUCAGCUAUGAGAUUGCCGACUAUUAUAGGAAACUCUUGACCAGCAGUGGAGAGGGGGACUUAACUGAGGUACUUGAGGGUAUAUCAAACACUAUCACAGUGGAAAUGAAUGAAAACCUCAUUAAACCUGUGGAGGAAGAGGAGAUUAAAUUUGCUCUUUUCUCAAUGAGUCCUGAAAAGGCCCCUGGGGCUGAUGGUAUGUCGCCAAUCUUUUUCCAAAAAUUCUGGGACAUCAUCAAAAAGGAUGUAGUAAAUGCAGUCCAAACUUUUUUUCACAAUGGUCAUCUCUUAAAAAAUGUCAAUCAUACGGUGAUCACUCUCAUACCUAAAGUGUUGAAUCCCACAUCUCUGAAUCAAUAUAGACCCAUAAGCCUUUGUAACACCGUGUAUAAAAUCAUUGCUAAAAUCUUAGCAAAUAGGCUUAAAAAUGUCUUGCAUUGUUGCAUUUGCAAAAACCAAUCAGCCUUCAUCCCUGGUAGGCAAAUUUUGGACAACAUUAUACUUUCUCAUGAAUAUUUGCACUACCUAAAAAAUAAAAGGCAAGGUAAGGAUGGGUUCAUGGCUGUGAAGCUGGACAUGUCCAAAACUUAUGACAGAGUAGAAUAGAGCUUCUUGGAUUCAAUGAUGGCCAAAAUGGGAUUCCACUACAAAUGGAGAAACUGGAUUAUGGAAUGUGUACGGAUAGUAGCCUACUCUUUUUCUAUAAAUGGGGAUGUUAAAGAAUAUGUUAUCCUAGGAGGAGGCAUCAGACAAGGGAUCCCCUAUCCCCCUAUCUUUUUCUCCUUUGUUCAGAAGGGUUCUCAAGCCUUCUCAGACAGGCAGCAGGGAACAAGAGGAUAUCAGGAAUGAGAAUUUGCAGGCAGGGACCAAGUCUUACUCAUUUGUUCUUUGCAGAUGAUUCCCUAAUCUUCUGCAAAGCAAACGAGCAGCAAGCAACAGAACUGAUGAGGGUGCUGCAAGUGUACGCAACUGGCUCAGGUCAACUGAUAAACCUUGACAAGUCCUCCAUACUCUUCAGCAAAAAUAUGUGUCCACAUAAGAAGCAUCAGAUCUGCCAAAUUAUGGGAAACAUGCAACAGGUAAACCAAGGCAAGUACAUGGGGCUACCAAUGGUGGUUACUAGAACAAAGGAACAGAUUUUUGGUUUCAUACGAACAAACAUACAGCAUAGGAUCCUCAAGUGGAAGAAUAGACUUUUAAGUGCAGCUGGAAAAGAGACAAUGCUCAAGUCGGUAUCCAUGGCUAUGCCCACAUACACCAUGUCGUGCUUCAAAAUACCAAAAAGACUAUGUAAAGAUAUCAGCUCUCUCAUGUCUAACUACUGGUGAGGGGAAGCAAAUGGUAAGAACAAGGUUCACUGGUGCUCCUGGAAGAAACUAACUCAGGAUAAGGAAAGGGGGGGCUGGGUUUCAAGGAGUUAGAAGCUUUCAACAGGGCUUUGCUGGGUAAACAGGUGUGGAGGAUUCUUACAAAUCCAAAUCUCCUUGUCAGUAAAGUUAUGAAGGCCAAAUAUUUUCCCAGGAGCUCCAUAUUUGAGUGCAAAAUUCCAAACAAUGCAUCUUGGAUAUGGAGGGGCCUAAUGGCAGCAAGGAAAGUAGUGAAACAAGGGGUUAGAAAGAGAGUAAGCAACGGGAGGAGCACACAAAUAUGGGAAGACAGAUGGAUCCCAGAUGCUACCAAUGGAAGAGUGACAACUAUGAAACAAUGGGAUAGCAGACUGCAUAAGGUGGAAGACCUGAUAAUUCAGAAGAGAUGGAACAGAAACUUGGUAUUCCAGUAUUUUAAUAAAGAGGACGCAGAACGAAUCCUGAGCAUUCCAAUAAGUCUCGCAGGAAGAGAGGAUAGCUAUUUCUGGAUACACGGUGAAGAUGGAAGAUACUCAGUCAGUUCUGGGUACAAGGUGUUGGUAUCCAAUAAAGAAAGGUCACAAGAAGAAAGUCAGAGGGAGGUAUCUACAAGCUGGGGGAAACAAACUCACAAGAUGUGGAAAGUAAUGUGGAGACUCAAGCUCAAACACAAGCUGAAGAUAUUUCUAUGAAAAUGUUUGAAUAACGCACUGCCUGUGAGGGAGCUAAUCAAUGGCAGAACCAAAAGCAAGUGACCCCAUUUGCAGAAGGUGUGGGGAAGAAGUAGAGACGGUAGAGCAUUUGCUACUGAACUACAGAGAAACAAAACAUAUCUGGCACAUUGCCCCAAUCCAAUAGGACGGUAUGCAAGAACAUCACGGCUGUUUCAAAAGAUGGUGGAUCUCUGUCAUCGAGGCAAGGCAUAGGAUAGCAGGAUUGCAACAUUUGGCCUUAACUGUCAACAUUCUUUGGCAGAUUUGGAAGGCUAGAAAUGACAUGAAAUUUAUGGGGAAAGUUCAUUAGCCCUGGAAGAUUAUAAAGAAAGCACAUGAGGAAUGGCUACAAUUUGAUGAAGUAGCAAAGAAGGAAGCUAGGAUGAGCACAGGAGAAACAUCAAAUCACAACAAUGAAAACCAGCAAUUAGAGCCGGAAGAGGGAACUGUGAAAAUGAGAGUUGCGGCAACAAGACAACAGACAAACCUAUCUUAGGCAUUGGAAUCACUUCAGCUGAAGGGAACCAAGAACCAAUGAUAGGAUGGACGCUAAAGGAAAGAAGCUCAGGGGUACAGCUAGUGGACGACGCAGUAGCAUUAAAGUUGGCUAUGUGCAAAGCAAUUACAUUGCACCAAAGGAAAGUACAAUUCCAAGUGAAGAACACGCAACUCCUCAAUCAUAUUCGAACUCUGAAGGCAAGUGACAGCAGAAUAGCUACGCUGGUGGAAGACAUUGUACAGUUGAAAGGGUUGUUUCAUAUGUGCUCCUUUUGUCUAGCUAGUAGUGAUAAAAAUUAUUUAAGCUCUAGUAUCAGCAUAUAUGCCUUAGGCAUCACAAUUGAUGAGGAAUUGGUGUUUCCUCAGUGUUAAGCACACUGGUUGUAAAGUCAAUUCGAGUUUUUGCUCGCACUUGUAUAUCUUUGAAAGUAAUAUAAUCAAAUAUCGUUUCGAAAAAAAAAGAGUAUACCUAUGUAGUGAAAAUCGGGAAACAGAGAAGCCAUUAUGCUCCAUAAAUUUAUAGAAAAAAAAUUCGAGUAAAGAUUCUUCAUAAAACUUUUAAAGAAUAAAUCUUAUAUAUACCGAUAUAUUAUUACCAUUGAAUCUAUGACAUAUAUAAAAAAAAUAAAUUUCAAAUUCAAUUUAAUUUUUACAUAAUUAUCAUUCAUCAAAUGCUGACAGUGUAUAUAUCGUCAGUGCAUGAAAAAUUAAUCCAUUUUUAAAAAGCACUGUAAUCUUUUGUUGGGCCUCAUUUGUAAUCUGAAUAUUGCGAUGUUAUUUGAGUUCAUUCUAAUACAAAGUAUAACAGUAGUGUUAACCGCAGGAAGCAAAGUGCCGACUUGUUUCCCGCAAAGGGAAAUCAACCGGGAAAAUAGUUGAAGCUUCUUCGUUGAUGGUAUCUUGAAAGGACAAAAAUUGUCCUUCCAAAAGAAAUCGGUCCCUGGCCAACCAUAUUUGCCACAAAAUACAGGCCGAUAAAAUGACUGCUUCCUUAGGAGCUACAUGAAUCAAACCACACCCUAAAAGAGCACAAAGAACAAUGGAAUAAUAGCAUAGAAACGUGAAAAGCACGUUCCAAGCCCAUGGCAGGCAAAAUUUAAGAUUUGACUAGUAAUCGCACCAAACCAAAAGCUAUCUUUUUCAAUAAAGAAACAAAUUGGUUUCACAGAAAUGAGACCGUAAUUGCAUUAGCCAGCAGAUCAAACCAUGAAUAAAGGAUGGGAUCAACCAUUUACUUGAAUUUCUGAAUCAGGGAAAAGGGAUUAGAAGGGCCAAAAAUCCAAAAAUGCUGAGCUAAGAUAUAACUGCAUAAAAGUUAACCUACACCAUCCCAUUUCGUUUCCUCUAACCCCUUUGUGAAAACCCCCUUUUGGUUGGGAAGAGGGGGGGGGGGGUUGGGGGAGAAGAUGAAUAAAGGGGAGAAAAUAAGCUAAAACACACUCCAAUAAUGAACUCAAAGACAAGCUAUAGCUCAAGCUAAAACACACUCCACGAAUAAAAAAAAUGAGCUUCUGAUACAUCAAGUGAGAAAAAAUAUGCCUCUACUUCAUCAUUUUGUAAGAAAUAGCAAGUCAAGAUUGGAUGGUACUUGUGGUUAUUGAAUGCAUCAGUACUCUGUACUCUGUCAUAUAAUAAGUUACAAUAAUCUGCACUUACACUACAGGACCUAGCAUUGAAAUGCAUUUGGCUGGACAUUUCAACAGAAGGGACUGUGACUUAUGCAUAACCAUGAUAUGCUACUGGAAGAAUAUCCUUCAGACAUAUAAUCAAUUAAACGUGGUUAAGAGGUCUCUCAACAAGGGCCGAGCUUUGGGGUUCCCAAACUUGUAUUGCCAGUCACAAUUAAUACAUUUACCAUCUCAGGAAACCUUCACGGAGCAGCCUUAAGUACCACCUCCAAACAUUAAUCUUUCAAACCCUGGUGUAUUUACAAGAAAAGAAUGCUGUAAUGGUCUUCAAACCCUAGUAUAUUUACAAGAAAUCAUGCUGCAAUGGCCUUAUCACCAGUGCCAAUAAGGAGGAAAUUCAAUUAAGUCAGUACAUUAAUAUCUUAACACACUAUUCUGAUAUAGCUUAAGCCCACUCUAGAAUAAACCUGGCAUGUAUCCAGCUUAACAUCAUUAGAGGGUGAAUGAUUGCAACGAUAUUCAUUCUAUCUACCGAGACACAUUGAUUCUUCCAUCACCUGUGCCUGAGUAUGAUAGCUUGCUGUAGGCUUUUGGUUGUCAUUUGAUUUUACCACAACUAACAUUGUCCUAGCAAGAUAGGAAUCUUCAUUGUCCAAAUUAUGUAACUUCUACCAUGAAGUCUUCAUGGUUUGGACUUAAUAAUAGUUCUCUGAUUUCCUUGCUCAAAUUGUUUGUAACCAACACUACAUCAUCAUAUUGGGGAUGACAAACGUGGCCUCUGAAAAAUGUCAUGAUUGUUCCAUGCAAUUCAAUGAAACUCCAACCUGGAACCUUUUUCAAACCAAGAGAUUUCAUCUGGCCCCAAGCUUCACCUACACCAUCCCAAUCGGCCAUUGAAGCAUAGUUGUGUGCCAAUUGCACAUAUUUUCCAGGAUCUACAGGCUUCAGAAGUGAAAUUUCUUUUGCAACAGUAUCAGCAAGCUCCGUCUUUCUUUUUGUUCGACAUGCAUCAAGUAUAAUGCCCAAAACAUCAGCCAUUGGUUCAGGAAACAUUUUCUUAUAAAAGUCAUAGGCAUCUUCUACCCUACCUGCUCGGCAAAGGAGAUCAACAAUGCACCCAUUGUGCUCAAAUUCAGGUUCAAUCCGGAAAUCAUUUAUCAUAGACUCAAACAACCUUAUUCCCUGGUCAAUAAGCCCAUUAUGGCUGCAGGCAUAGAGAAUGGAUAAGAAAAUAGUAGGGUUUGGCUUGAAUCCAUCUCGCAGACACCUUGAGUACAUCUCCAAAGCAGUUUCUCCUUGGCCAUGACUACCAUAACCCGCAAUAAUUGUACUCCACGAAACAAUGUCAUGCUGUGGCAUGUUAUCAAAACACUUCCUAGCAAUAGCCAAGUUACCGCAUUUACAAUACAUAUCAACCAAAGCUGUGUCAAUCCUAAUGCAUGGCCCAAGACAGCUUCUAAUGACAAAGGUGUGAAUCCACUUCCCUUGCUGGUAUGCCCCUAUAGAAGCACAAGCUUGAAGAAGACAGACAACACUGACUGAAUCAGGCUUUAUAAGAGCUGUUCUCAUUUCAUUAAACAAACAGAACGCUUCUCUUAAUUUCCCAUUUUGAGCAUUAGCAGCAACAAUUGCAUUCCAGGAUACAACAUCUCUUUCCUGCAUCAUCUGAAAAACCACAAAACUUUGAUCUAGGUAGCCACACUUCGCAUACAUAGUAACAAGUGCAUUUUGGAAAGGAACAUCAACAGCUAUAUUUUGCCUCAUGAUAUAGCCAUGAAGUGAAGUCCCCAGCUUAUAUGACACCAACUGAGCACAAGCUGCAAUAGCACUCGCCAAUGUAGCACUGGAUGGCAUCACUCCAGAAAUUAACAUCAGCCUAAAGACUUCCAAUGCUUUAUCAGCACGCUCAUUCUGUACAAGCCCUGAUAUCAUUGUUGUCCACAUAACCACAUCCUUUUCUUUUGCUGUGUCAAAAAUUCUGUGCGCAUCGUUCACAUUGCUUUGUUUCAGAUACAUUCCCAUCAAUGCGGUUUCAACAUGGGCACUUGAUCCAAGACCAGCAGAGAGUAUCUGUCCAUGUACUGCUUUUCCCAAUCUGAUAUUAUCCUCUUUAGCAAUUGUAGGAAUCAAUGAUGUAAAAGUCUGUUGAUCAGGUUCCAUACCAGAAAUUCUCAUCCUAUCUAAAAGCUCUAAAAUCUCACUCAUAUUCCCAACUAAAGCAUAAACUGAAAUCAAAGAAUUCCAUGAAACAAGAUCUUUGUCGUUCAUUAAUUCAAACAAGUUUCUAGCAUCUUCUACUCUUCCACAUUUCCCAUACACGUUCAACAUGCCAUUGAUCAGAGCUACGUUAAACUCAAGUCCACACUUCACCACUGAAGGAUGUAAACAUUUCAGCUGAUCACUCUCUGAAAUCCCAGAAAGCAUAUUUAGAACAGUAACAGCGCUGGGUUUUAUUCCUUCAUAUUGCAUUUUUUUAUACAUAAAGAACGCAGAAUCAAUAUCACCAGCUCGUGAAUAACUCCCGACGAUAGCAGUCCACGGAACAAUAUCUCUCACAGGCAUUGCAUCAAACACUUUUCGAGCACUGCUAAUAUGUCCUAAUUUUGAAUAUAAAGUUAUCAAAGAAGUUGCAAUAUAAGGAUCUGAAGAGAACCCAUUAACGAUAACAUGUUGGUGGAAACAGAGUCCUUGAGAUUGAAGGUUAAGCGCAGUGCAGGCUUUAAGGAGACUCGAAUAAGUAAAGGAGUCUGGAGCAACACAGGAUUUCAGCAUUGAUAUAUAAGUCCAGAGAACUUGGUGGGGUUCUCCUACCGAGGAAAGCCGGUUUAGUUUCGAGUUAAAUGACUUGGUAGCUGCAGUUGCCGUGGCGGAGGGUGGAAGUUGUAGGGGUGGCGGUGGCAUUAAAGUACGAAAAAUAUGGGGUCUAACUUUGUUGUUCAUCUUUUCUGGUAUAAACUUGGAUCAGCAGACGGCUUCAUAGUUACCCUCCAUUGGAAUUUAUACCUUCAAAAGAAAAGCAUGAUACUCGAGACUACAAAAAACUUGAGACACAAUAAUAACUUUAUAAUUGCAAUAUCCAAAUUUUUGAGGUUAAGGUGAUUGAUCGUGUAGAACUGAACCUCAUUUCUUUCAGUUCCCCCAAGGUUGAGUUGUUAUUCAUUAAAAGUACAACGCCCAGAAAAAAUUUCAAGCUAAAUAAAGUGAAUCACUCAUCUGGGAGAAACCUCGGAAACAAAAGUGACAACUAGAAAAUGGUAGACUCAGUGAGUAAAAGAACAGAUUUUUAUUGUAUCCGCCCUCAAACAAAACAUCUUUCAGCCGACGACUGAGCAGACAAUUUCCUUGCAGUCAAAACAAAGUGCAGCAAUGGAGCUGGACGAGCAUGUUUCAACUGAAUUGAUUGAUAUUGGACCAACGAUUAAAAUAUUCACAUCUUGACUAGGUAGGCUUUGCUAUCCCAAUUUGUUCAUUUCCAGUUCUUUAUAAAAUCCCUCUUACAUGACAUGAUUAUUAGUACUUUUUCUAAGCGAAACUGUAUGAAUAUUUGCAUCUUCAUUUAAAGAAGCAAGAAAUCAUACAGGACAUGUAAAUAAUCUAUUUUUUAUGCAAAUGAAGGUCGUAAUCGUAAUGAAAUAAGGUGUGAUUUAUCCUCAGAAAAAACAAGCCCAAGGAACCAUGAUUUAUUUUUUUCUGGUUUGCGUUGCGUUUGUCGCACUACUUUUUUAUAUAGUCAUAACCUUCCGAGUCUAAAAUCAGGGAGUGAGUGACCAACUUGUCAAAGAUAAAUAUGCUAUAGGAAAGAAUUGCACUUUCCCCCCAACCCACUAGGCCAAGAGCUCAAAUCCCCACGUACAAUUAGAAAAAUCGGGAGCUCGGACAUUUGCAGGCUAAAAAAAUUCAGAAGAAGUUGUACACUAAUACACCCUUUGUAAGAAUCUCUCUCUCAUGAGAGCUCCUUUCUCUCUCUAGUAGAGAACUUUUCCCCCUCGUGGGUGGUUAAACAACUUUAGCCUCCAAAAUUUAAAUUUCCCAUAGUUUGGCUGGCCAUAUCUCCUCACAUUGCGAGCCAUAAUCUUAAGUGAUCUGUUCGCGGUGAUUAACAAUGGAUAAUUUUCAGGAUUCAAUCACUUUGAUUCUGGUUUUGAUCUGUGGUACCUGAGUUUUCCUAUUCGUAGGAGUCUUAUAGCGGUAGCAUCUUAUUAACCUUUAAUUGCGAAGCUCGGCUUGCGUUAGGUUGUGCUCAGAUCUUUUUUAGUAGUUUUGUUUCUUUCUCUAGUACUCGUGUCUAUUCAGAUUCAGUGAUACUCUUUGCUGUUGAUUUCGGUUUUCAAUUUCUAGUGGUAGAUCGUCUGCUUUCUGGUAGCCGUUUCUGCUAACUGUUUUUGCUGUUUUUCUAGCUUCAUCUUGGAACUGGAGAGCUGAAGUUCGUGGCCUGUGAUUUGCGGCGAGGUUCCCUGGGUAUUGCAUCAAUGGCUGAGGAGCUGGAAGACGUGUUGAGGAAUUUGAUUUGUCAGAAAAGGAGGUGGCAUGCAUUCAAAUUGAAGGGGAAGAUACUUUCCAGGAGUGGAGAUCUGUCGGAUGAGCAUUAUUGGCAAAGUGAUUGGGGAAAAGUGGCAAAUAUCACAGGUAUUAAGAGCUUUACCAGUAAUAUGUGGUGUUUGCCAAGAACGUGAAGGUUGUAGAAAUAGGAGUUAAUUUGUUUCAGUUUAUAUUCAUAAAUCAGAAUGAUAUGGAUAGAAUUUUAAAUGGAGGCCAUGGGUGUAUGAUAAUUUACCUCUUCUUGUUAUCCCUUGGAAGGAGGGAAUUGAAAAAGAUGCUAAAGCUUUUAGUAAAACUUGGAUUUGGGUGCAGAUCUGGAAUCUCCCAAUUCAUUGGAUAACUAAAGAAAUUGGUCGUAAAUAGGAGGAGUUUUUGACUCAGUUAAAGAGGUCAUCAUUCCUAAUGGUGGGGGUAAAGAUGGUAAGCACUUGAAAAUCUUAGUGGAAAUUGAUAUUGAACAACCAUUGCUAAGGGGAACUACGGUUAGGAUGAAUGGGGCAAUGAAAUGGAUUGAGUUUAGGUAUGAGAGAUGUCCUGAUUUCUGUUAUUAUUGCGGGAAGUUGGGGCAUAAUGAGAAAAAUUGUAAAAUGAAAGGCAACUAUCUGGAUAGGGAAACACAAUUUGGAGCCUGGAUGCGAGUUAGUAAUGCUAGGAGUCCAAAAAAACAAAAUAAAACAUAUUCAAAAUAUGAAGGGGAUGCUGGAGAGUUUAUUAGGACUAAGGGUAAUGGGAAUGUGGUUAACAACUUAUUUUUGACAUGGGGGGGAGGUGAGGACACCUGGAAUGGGCAAGAGGGGAAUGGAAGUGCGAGCAAUACAAUGUGUAAGGAAAUCCUCCCAGAUGAUGAUGCUGUUGAACAACACAGGACACUCUGUGUGGGGAAUGAGGGAGGAGAGGGAGUGGGGGGACAGGUAGGGGAUAAGGAAUCAGGUAAACACCUGAAGUUGGGAGGGGAGUCCUCAGAUUUCAAUAUAGAAGGGGAGGGGAGCUGAGUUAUGGUGAGGGGAGAAUGGAACAAUUGGAGAAGGCAGAGGAUGACACUAUAUGGAUUGAUGGGGGGCAGGAGGAGAAAAGGAUGAGUAAGAGCAAGGGAAGGGAGGAGGGAAAAGGAAAGGGUACUGGGAAAUAUAAGGGUAGUAGGGGAUGGAGGAGGUUGGUGCAGGAAGUGGGAAGGAGAGUGUUUGGGAGAUAAAAACUCUGGAAUGGAGAUAGAGAAGGAUUCUGGGAAAAGGAAACAGGGGGACACACAUGGGAAGGAGAAUUAUGGGGAGCUGGUGAGGGGGGAUCAGAAAAAGCUUAAGGGGAUGGAAGGGGUUGUAGGUAGAGAGGAUCUUCUGAAGGUGGUGGAGCCCAAUCUUAAUGGGGCUCCCAACCCUCAAUGAGAGCUGUGGUGUGGAACUGUCGAGGUGCUGGGAGCCCCUUGACAGUUUCCCAACUUGAGGAGGUUGUGAGACUCCACUCCCCUGAGGUAAUUUUCUUAGCUAAAACUAAAAAUAAAAAAGAUGUUAUGAUUAAGAUGAAGAGGAGAUUGAAGUAUGACAGUCUGUUUGUUGUUGAACCCAGAGGUAAGGCUGGAGGCUUGGCUGUACUUUGGAGAAAGGAGAUAGAAAUUAGGAGAGUUUUGUCCACUGAGUUUACUAUAGAGCUUAAUGUGGUAGGGAAAGGGAAUGAGGCAUAUUGGUGGUUUAUUGGGGUCUAUGCUAGUAGUACUGAUCAGGUAAGAGCACAUCAGUGGAAAGUUAUAGAAAAUAAAUCAACUAUAUGGGGUUCGAAUUGGAUCCUAGCAGGGGAUAUGAAUGAUAUUAUGUCUGGGGAUGAGAAAUGGGGUAGGAAGCUGAGAAGUGAGAAUAGUUUUAGAGAUUUUAGGAAAUUUGUUAAUGACAACCAGUUGAUAGAUAUAGGUUAUGAGGGGAUCCCCUGGACCUGGUGUAAUAAUUGGGAGGAGGAUGGGGAGGUCAAGGAAAGGUUAGAUAGAAUUCUGUGCAGUUGGGAUUGGAGAAGGGAGCAUGGAGCAUGGUAAAGCUAAGUGUGUGCACUUGCAGAAUGAGGCUUCUGACCACUGUAUGUUGCUCUUGGAUACUGAGCCAAAGCACAGAAAGUGGAAACAUAGGUUUUCCUUUGAUAAAAAUUGGGUGCAGCAUAAGGAGGUUAGGGGCAUUAUUGCUUCAGCAUGGGGGAAACAGCAGAGGGGGUCUAGGGGUUUUAGGCUAAAACAGAAAAUUAAAGAGUGUAGGAUGGCAUUGUUACAGUGGAGGAGGCAUUACAAUGCCAAUGUUAAAACACAAAUAUGGAGGAUAAAGAAGGAAAUAACUGAGGUUCAUAGGGGACAGCAGGAAGAUAAAAAGGGUAGGUUGAGUACCCUGAAAAAACAACUCACUGAGGCUUACAGGCAGGAAGAAACUUACUGGGGGCAAAAAGCCAGAGUGCAAUGGUUGAGGGAGGGGGACAGGAAUACUAAGUAUUUCCAUACGGUGGUAGAGAGGAGAAGGAAAAGGAACAAUAUAUCUACUCUGCAAAGGGAGAAUGGUACUUGGUGUGAAUCUGAGGGGGAGGUGAGAGAUGAAAUUAAUGUGUAUUUUGAGAAACUCUUCACAUCCAGUAAUCCAAGACAGGUUGAUGCAAUACUCAGUGGUAUUCCUCAGGUAAUCAUAGCUCAGAUGAAUAACAAGCUCACCAAACCAGUCUCUGAGAUGAAAGUCAGGAAAGCUGUUUUUUCCUUACAUCCCAAUAAGGCCCCCGGACCUGAUGGUAUGACCCCCUUUUUCUUUCAGCAUUUCUGGGAUGUAAUUAAAAAUGAUCUUAUAGCAGCCAUAUCUAGCUUCUUUCAUUCUGGUCAUUUACUGAAGGCUAUUAAUGAGACUAUUAUCACCUUAAUUCCAAAAGUUAAAGCUCCUAUUUCUGUGUCCCAAUAUAGGCCCAUCAGUUUAUGUAAUGUUGUGUAUAGAAUCAUUUCUAAGAUCCUGGUUAAUAGAUUGAAACCUUUUCUGCAACACUGCAUUAGUGGUAAUCAGUCUACUUUUAUUCCUGGCAGACAAAUCAUUGAUAAUAUUGUGAUUGCUCAUGAAAGUAUUCAUUGUUUAAAUCAUAGACGAACUGGAUCUAAUGAGUUUAUGGCUCUUAAACUAGAUAUGGCUAAAGCCUAUGACAGAGUAAAAUGACCUUGUGUAGUCAAGAUAAUGGAAAAAAUGGAUUUCUGUCAGAUUUGGAUAAACUGAAUCUUUAAAUGUAUGUCUUCUGUUGUAUAUUCUUUUAAUGUGAAUGGUGAGAAGAUAGGUUUGGUUAAGCCUUCAAGAGGUAUAAGGCAGGGGGACCCACUAUCCCCAUAUCUAUUUUUACUGGUGUCUGAGGGCUCUCUAGCUUGCUGAAGCAAGCAUUGAGCAACCAUUGUCUGACUGGAUUAAAGAUUGCCAAAGCCAGUCCUGCUAUUUCCCACUUGUUUUUUGCAGAUGACACCCUUAUCUUCUGUAGAGCCAGCAUUAAGGAGCUGAACAAGUGAAGAGGAUCUUGGAGUUGUAUGAAGCAGCAUCAGGACAAAAGAUUAACACAGAUAAGUCAUCUAUGUUCUUCAACAAAAACACUGAGGAAAGCAAUAAGGCAGAGAUCCUCAAAUUAUUGGGAGGAAUGAAGCAGGUGGACCAGAGUAAGUAUCUUGGGCUACCAAUGGUGAUUGGCAGAUCUAAAAGACAAGUCUUCAAUUAUAUCAAGGAAAAAGUGAUGGGGAAGAUCAAAGGGUGGAAAGAAAAGCUGUUGAGCCAGGCUGGGAAGAAGUGCUGCUAAAGUCUGUGAUACUAGCAAUGCCUGCCUAUGCUAUGAGUUGCUGCAAGCUGCCUAAGAGCUUAUGUUAGGAUAUAAGUGGUGAAAUGGCUCGCUUUUGGUAAGGGGAGAGUGAGGGGAAGAGAAAGACUCACUGGGUGAGGUGGGGGAAGUUGGCUGAAAUAAAAGGGAAAGGAGGUUUAGGCUUUAGGGACUUGCUGGAUUUUAAUAGUGCCAUGCUAGCUAAGAUGUUAUGGAGAAUUCUGACACAACCCAAUCUGCUAUUAAGCAAGGUGUUAAAGGGGAAAUACUUCAAAGGGGAAGCAAUUUGGAAGACACAGAUAAAGGCAGGGGACUCUUGGAUAUGGAAGAGCAUUAUGAGUGCAAGGGAGGUGAUGGAAAGAGUGGUUAGGAAGAAAGUUGGAGAUGGCACAACUGUGGAUAUCUGGAAAGAUAGGUGGAUCCCAGGUGAAGGUACGAGUAUGGUGGCCACUCCAAUGCCUGCAGGUUGUAAAAUCCUAAAGGUACAUGAACUAAUUCAGAACGGAAAGUGGAACAGAGCAAUGAUGGAAACUCUACUUAGUGAGGAAGACUGCAGGAAGAUAGAAGGAAUUCCAAUUAGUUUAUGUGCAGGAAGGAUAAGUUGGUGUGGCCAUUUACAAAAUCUGGGCAGUAUUCUGUCAAAAAGGAUAUAUGCUGGCCAGAGAAAUGAGAGGGGAAUGGAGAAGGAAGGAACAACAUGAGACUAGUAAUAGUAGGAAUGAACCUAAUUCUAAAGCUUGGAAGGUGCUGUGGGGUUUAGGUAUUAAACAUAAACUGAAACAUUUUAUAUGGAGAUGUUUACAUGAUGUAUUACCAGUCAAUGUGGUGAUCAAAAGGAGAAUUGGUAGUAGGAGGAUAAAUGCAGGUGCUGUGGGGAGGGACAGAAACCUUGGAGCAUAUGUUCUUCUUUUGUAGACAUUCUGAAAUAUAUGGAAGGCAGCUCCAAUUAAUUAGGAUGGCUUAAAGAGUUGGAGCAUAUGUUCUUCUUUUGUAGACAUUCUGAAAAUAUAUGGCAGCUCCAAUUAAUUGGGAUAGGCUUAAAGAGUUUAGGCAUAGUUUUUGGCAUUGGUGGAAUAGCUUGAUGGAUGCACAAGACAGAAUAGAAGGGAAGAACACAUUGCUUUGACUGUGAACAUACUUUGGCAGAUAUGAAAAUCAAAGACCAAGUACAGUUCAAUGAGAUGAGCAACUACCCGGGAGAACAGCAGGUAAGGCUGUGCAGGAGUGGGCUGAACAUAAUGAGGUGAGGUAUGGGGCUGAUAAUAAGGAGGUAAUGGAGAAAGAACAGGGGCAGGGAUUAGCAGAUGGUAUCCACCCCCUCAGGGCUUUAUAAAACUAAACACUGAUGCAGCCUUGGGUUGAAGGAUAGGAGGAUUGGGUGGGGAGUAGUGGCCAGAAGGGAGGAUGGGGAGAUUGUAGGGGUUUGGGCAGGGAGGAGAGCAGAAAUGGUAUCCCAGCAGUUGAGGAUUCCUUAGCUAUCAGAAAAGCUGUGAUAAAGGCUAAACUAUGUGGCUGGAACAAAGUAGAGAUACAAUCUGAUUGUAAAUCCCUCCCUCUCGAUUCUAUUAAAUUUAUUAUUUACAACGAGAAGUUCCCUCAUAAUAUAGUUGUCUCUAGAUGGAUGUUAGCUUUGUUCGUUAUGUUAGGCAUCACGAGUAGGGGUGAGAAUCGAAUUUGAAUUCAGUAGGUUGAAAUCGGUAAUUUUCGGUAAAUGAUUCUGGAAAUAUUCAACUUAAUUCGCAUUCGAAAUAGAAAAUAUCAAAUCCGAAUUCAAUUCAAAAAACAGAAAGUUACCGAUUUAACCGAAUUCCAGGAAACUGCUUCUUUGACCAUUUUCAUCAGCAAACAGCACGUUACCAUAACAAGGCAAAUGCCCAAUUAGAAACCAUAAAGCAGAGCCAAAUAUCAAAAAGAAAGCACACGUUAUCUCAUGAUUACUGAAAAUUGGUUUGUCUGCCUACUUUCUUUUUUAUCAAUCCCAUUGCCAAAUUUCUUAAGCCUUACAUCCGUUUUACUACCUCAUCAUUUUAGGAAACCCAAGAGCUGGCCAGUGGAUAUACAUUACAGAAGUCAAUUGCCAUUGAUGAAGACUGCCCCUCCUCCUCUCUUCCUCUGAUGAUUAAUAUUUCUGUCCUCACUUGAAAGACAAAAAAUAGGAAACAAACAAAGAACUAAAGAAUCCAUGUCUAACCUCUUAUUCAAUGAGCAGUUCUAAUUUUUAACCAAACCUUUAAAUGGACCGGCUGGAGGAGGUGUGACUUGCGAGGAGCCGGCUGGAGGAGGCUUAGCUGCUUAGGGUUUCUAUCUUCAGUUGAGAAACCAGAAACAGAAAGCAGAAAGCAAAAGCAAGCAGAACGAGAAACGGACAAAGUUAGGGGUGAGCCUUCUGUAAUUGAGGAGAGGAGAGGAGAAACUCAGAAACAGCUUAGGCUUUAGAUUCAGUGGGCGGUGGCGCAAAGGAACGAGAGAAAAAGGAGAGCAGAAAUAGUGAAAUUAGAAAGUGUACUAAUUAGGGUACUGAAAUUGGAACAUAGAUCCGGACAUAUUAUUUCCUAUUUAACUUUAUUCGGAAUUUCAAAUUUGAAAACGGUAAUAUUUUACCGCUUUACAGAAAUAAAUUCGAUUCGGUAAAUUCGAAUUCAAAAACUCCAAAACCAUUUUUUAUCCUAAUUCGAUUCUUACUAAUUCGAUAUCACCGAUUUACCGAUUGAAUUACCGACUUCGAAUUAUCAAAUUUAAAUCGAUUUUGCGUAAUUCGAUAAUUACCGUAAUUGCUCACCCUAAUCACGACUCCGUUUUACUUGAUCUAACCCCCGUUACUAAGGAGGUUAGGUAGGAAAACGCCUAAUCCCCGAGAUUAUAUCGGGCUCGCUUUUAAUUUCAAGAGGAUCCCUUGCAAUGCGGUUUCUCCGGAUGGAUUCGAAACUUUAUUUGUCCUUCAAAAAAAAAAAACUUUAUUUGUCAUGCUGGGUGCCCUGUACAAGGCUGUUUUUCUGGCUAACCUUUCCACAGUAAGUGCUGAAUAAUGACCUAAAAAACUCCCUUAACAUUGGGCCAUGCAUUUGAGUGCUUGAGGCCCACAGAAAGAGCAACCCAGUCCAUACUCCAUGGGUCCAAAUUACUAACAAAAUGAAUAAAAAAAAGAGAAAAAUGCAAAUCCAUGUGGAAUCCCAUUAGCUGCCCAAAUAACUGACGACCAAUUAGAUCUUCUUCAGGGCAUGUCGGCCCGGUUGGGUACAUUUGUUCCCUGGGAGUGGAGGUCUCUUCAACUUCUUCGCCGGAAGUUUUAUAUAAGCAUGAAUUUCAUCGGCUUCAUUUUCUUCUUUGGUCCUAUGAAUUUCGCAGUUGGAUGUGCAAUUCGUGUGAUUCUGAAUUUAGAACCCUCAUAAUAAUUUUUUUUUUUAUUUCAGAAACUCUUUGAAAAAUAUAUCAAUUGAAGAAAGAAGAUGCAUAAUUGCAUAUAUAUAUGUGUGUGCGCGCGCGCGUGCUUUUUUUUGGAUUUCUGUUUUUGAGAAUGAAGUUGCAUAUAUUGAGUAAUUCAUUUAGAGCAAGCUUUUAGAGGCUGUGAAUUUGCAAGAAUUCUUUCCUUUUUUAGAGCAUUUUUUUUUUUACAAGAAAACUCGCAGCCGCUACCUGAGAGUGCAUAUUAGAUAAAUCCUGUGUCGUGCAAUACCCGCCAAUCACAUCUGUGUGACAUAUAGGUGUUUCAAAAGAGGUAUCAACCCGGAUUGUUUUGAAUUCCAUUUACUACUAAAUUCACAUCCCAAGCUUAAAGCGCUUUUCUUGUGGGGGUGGUUAACUUCGUUGGAUUGGGAUGUGAUGGUUGUCCAAGACAAGAAUUUAGGUGUUGUAGUAGACAUUUGCAGGUCUUCUACGCAAGAAAACCAUCGGUUGUCUUUUUCUUUAAUACCUGACGCAGUGACCAGAGACACCAGUCUCUACGAUUAAGGCUUCGAAAUAUAUGGAAAGUCGUAUGGAUCAAUUUAUAUGUAUUUGGUUUUGCUAACAUGCCUUCAAAGCUCAAAUGUGAUAAAUUUUGUAUAACAUUUUGUGUGCAAAAUAGUCACUGGUGAUUUUGUUACGUGUUGUACGACUAAUAGAUAUUGAUGUUAAAAAUUUAGCAAUGAAGAUACAUGGCAAUGAAGAACAUUAUAUAUAUAUAUAUAUAUCUUUGAGUUUAGGAACAUCAAAACAAUAAUAAAUGUCUUCUAAUAGGUCCAACACUUUUGUAAAAGGUAACGAGUAUGUUAUUUUAAUAGUUUAGCUAAUUCAAUGGACAACAAAAAGGGAAUUUCAUAAUUUUUUUUAGGUGUGUAUAAAAUGGCCAACUCUUUUUUAAAAAUCUUCAAAUUAUAUUAGCUCAAUAAUGAAUUUCCUUAAAGUGAGGGGGCAAUUGCCCAUUCUCACCUACUUGUUGCUCUUAAUUAUGUGUCAUUAACUUGAAAAAAAAAAAAAAAGAGAGAAGUGGAUAGUUAUAAAAUUACCUUGAAUUAAAUUAUAUGGAGGUUAUUGUUUUAGCAAAUAUUUUGCAUGGGAAUAUUUGGACGAUUUUGUCCUUUAGCAACAGGGAUAUAACAUUGGUGUUUAAAAAUUAAUAAGAAUGGAUAAAUACCAAAGUCAUUGUUGUGACAUUAUAAUAGUUAAGUUAUAUUAGAUAAAUCAGUUUAUGUAAUUUAAUUAAAUGGAUUUAAUUACUCGAAAAAAUCUACAAAUUCGUUACUUGUGUCUAAUAAAAGUGUACAAAUUUUUGUAGGAAGCUAAAAGAUUUUUUUUUUUUCCUUUUGUGACAACUGAAAGAGUCUUUCCAUCUCUUACUAACACGAAGUCGUACCAAAGCAUCGACAAGACUGUGUCAUCUAAGCAAUAAAUUAAGUAGGAUAAGUAAGUUUACAUGACAUGGUGAUAUUGAUUUACAGGCAUACCAACCAAGAUUCUUCUAUAAUGACACAAUACUUAAUCUUUCAGAAAUACUAGUAUGAGUCUAAACUUUUCAUUGCAAAAACAUGAACCACAUCUUUAAUUUUACUAAACAAAAACGUAAGAAGUUGCCAACAAGCAAAGUGAGAAAACUGUAUAUAUCCUGUGUUUUUCUGACUUUUAAGAUAUAUAUAUAUAUAUAUAUUUUUUUUUUUUUCAUUUCUUGAUCCUUCUAUCAUUGUCAUCUGUUAUCCAUCCAACUCAAAAAUCACUUUCGGUCCCGUAGACUGUAAGGCCAUCCUGUUUGAGAUCCCCAUUCUUGACGUUCAAUACUCAAAAGCAGCAGAAUUUCCUUUUUCUACAUGACUUGGAACUUUAAGAAAAGCAUAAGCUAGAACCCAACACUGAAGUGAACAACUAUAUAUAUAUAUAUAUAUAUAUAUAUAUAUAUACACAUAUAUAUAUUCUCAUUUAUUUUAUAAUCUCUGUUGUUAAGACGGGAUUAAAAAAAAAAAGGAGAGAGGAAACUACCACUAGAACGAUGUGUAGGCAAAUUGAAUUCACGGAUUCUUAAUAAAAUUUCCGUAUUCUUUUAAUGUUGGAUCGAAUUUUCAGUAUCCUUGAGUUUCAAAAUCUCUUAGGACUCUAAAAUCCUUAAAACAAAAUGGGACACUUUAGAACCCUUGCAUUUUUCAUUCUUGCGAUUAUCCAUGACACUUGCAUCAUUUCAUGUGUGUUCUUGAGGACCGCACGCCAAAUCUUACAAGUAGCAAAGAACAACAAAGCAGAAUCCCAGAAUUCAUCUUCCUGAAAUUUCAAUCUCCUGCCAAACAUGUGGUAGAAGUUCUUUGAUUUUCAGUCCCCGGGGAAAGAAAGAUCCUUGCACUAUAUAGUGAGAAAAUCUUGCACUAGUAUUUAAAAGUAAGCUAAAUCAGGAUGUGACACCACACGAUUGAGCUAAGAAUGAUGAAAAUGAAGCAAUUCAGUGCAGUUGGGCAGUGUGAUAUGGUUGUUUUCGUGCUUGGAGUUCACGGCAACAUUCAAUGAUGAUCUCAAGAAGUUGAAGCAAAUUAGAUUGCAUUUUCCCUAAACUGUAUAAUCGUCAAUCAUAAUUCUUAACAACUCUUUGUUGGGUCUUGCUGCACUAAUGAACUCUAGUGCUCCACUGCUAAUAGCCUAACAGGAACGUUGCCAUAAGUGAUGGUUUACAAAUGAAUUAGGUUUUUAAAAAGUUUUUUCGUUUAUACAAAGUCAUUUUGUUAAAAAUUGUUUUUUUUUUUCUAAAAAGCUCUUCAAAUCAAAGUUUUGUUUCUCCACACACCUUUUAUUUUAACCUCACGCAUAUCACAUCUCAUAAAUUAAUAUGUUACAAUAAUAUUCUAAAAAAUGCAUCAAAAAAAAGAACGCAAUUGAAAUGAAAAAGAAGAUUUGAACAAUGCCUUAUCAACAUUGAGUAGAAUACAAGAAAUUUGGCUGGUUUUACUACUGAGUUUCUUUCUUAACGAAAAAACGAACCAUAUUAGUUCACUUCUCCUCUUUAUUUCCGAAUAGAAAUUUACUUCGUCCUUUUUCUCAAAAUAACCAUACGACAUACUAAAUUAGCAUCAUUUUACUUCUUAGUUUUUCUUUCCCUUUCCCUUCUAACCAUUUAUUCCAAUCUCAGCUUCAAGUCAGAUAUGCUCUUAUCUUAUCCACUGUAAAUACUAACUUGUGAAGGUAUACAAAUUCCCAAGCCACCACCUAGCUUGGCGGGCUCCCACCAAAAUGACACGUUUGAGUGGUUUACUUCAAAAAAUUCAGGCGAGUGUGUUGUGCAUCCGUUUGGUCCGAUGGUAAUUCAAUCCCCUCCGGUCAUUGGUAUACAAAUUCCCACCCAAACUUUUUACCCACCCUUCAUGAUGGCUGAAAAAGAAAGCAAGUUGUUUUUCAAAAAAAAAAAAAAAAAAUCCUAUUCGACAUUGGUAUAAGUUGCCAUUCUUUUUCUUUACUUUGAUACUUUCUGCUUGACCUUCCAGAAGAAGCAAGGAAUCCGGUCAUUCACCAAAAUAAUCCAAGCAUAUCAGCAUGCAAUAUGAAUAAUUCCAUUGAUGUUUGCAUGUGGGCUAUUAACCUGUAAGUUUUUAUUUGAAGACAGCCUAGAACAUACAAAACAGGAAGAGAAAUAAAAGAUGAGAAACUGUAAUUUACAAAAAAAAAAAAGAAAAAAAAAAAAAAGAAAAAAGAAACCUAACCUCUCUCUAUAGCAUCUGUCCCAAAUAUUUUGUGGUUUAGUUUUCAAAUACUCCACUAUCUAAAUGACUAAUAAUUUUCUUGACAUAUCUCCACCAAAAAAAAAAAAAACCUUCAUAAUUCCCUCAACUAUAAAUCCAUGUCAAUUUAUUCCUACAGGGAAAUGAUUGAAAAUUGGGUGCAAGUUGCCUAAACCCAGGACACGGUAUUUGUGUAGGUGUAGAUCCAACACCAGACAGAUCUCUGCUGACUUAACCAACACAACCAACCAAUGACCUUAAAAUGAACUGCCUCCAAAGAUAAACCAAACUAAGCAUCCUCUAAAUUAACCAUCCGAUGAAAAUCUUGAUUUAUCGAUGGUCCAGAAUAAAGGAGAAAAAUGGACCCCACUCCAAGAUCAUAAGAUUAUGCAGACUUUGGUGGUACUAAAUUAGUACUAUAUAUUUCUGAAGUCUUCAGACCCCAGGAACGUGUAAAGAGUAAAGACUGGCAAAGGCAGAAAAGAGAGAGAGAGAGAGAGAGAGAGAGAGAGGAGAGAAGAAAGAAAACAUUUUUAAAACACGGAAAAAGCUAAGAAAGAGAUACACAGGAAAGAAGAGAUCAAAACAGAGUCAAAUUUUUGAAUGCCAACCGCUCCAAUCCUCCAAUUCCACUUCAUCAAUGCCCACCAUCGCAAAAUCCCACCUUUAAAUACCUCCAUUUUUUCAAAACCCAUGUUUUAGUUUCUCAAGUUGUGAUCAUAUAUUUCCUCUAUCAAUCACCAUAUAUCCCCAAGUUUUUCCCUGUUCUUUUGGCUUUUGUACUAGCAGCAUGACGGCUUUGAACAAGAAUCAGUCAAGACGCUGCCUUUUUCUCCUCAAAAUCUGAUCCCAUGUGUUGUGACAGCUUCAGUUGAAUCCGUGUCUCUUACUUUAUCUUUGCCUGCUAAUAUAUUUCCCCUUCUGUUAUUGAUAGAAAUUUAGGGUCAUUUGAAUUCAAAAUUUUACACUAUUCUGCCUGUUUCUUCCUAGAAUCAACAAAAUUCUGUUGAUUUUGAGGAAUCACAAUCCCUUUCUAUUCAGUUCCCGUAUGUUCCUCUGAGAGUUCCUUAAUUCGUGUUAAGAAGAUUCAAUUUUGAUUCCAAGUUUCUGUCUUUUUUGUUUGUUCCCUUCAAGUUCCCAAUAGGGUCAGUCCAGAUUUCUUGCGGAAAUUGAACCAUGGGAAUUCAGAAGGAUAGGGUGAGAUUUAAUGUUGGUGGAAAAAUCUUUGACACUUCAGCCACAACCCUGGCGAAUGCUGGCCGAAAUUCUCUCUUUGGAGCUAUGUUUGAUGAGAAUUGGGACCUCCAAUCUGGUCAUUCCACCACGGAGCACUUCAUUGAUCGAAAUCCAGACUAUUUUGCAGUUCUUCUUGACCUUCUCAGGACAGGGGAAUUGUAUCUUCCGUCAAACAUGUCUGAGAAACAGUUAUACAGAGAGGCUCUGUUUUAUGGCAUUUUGGACCACGUCAGGUCUGCUAAGUGGGGUCCGUUCGAUGGAAACAGGCUCCGAUUAGCCCGGUCAGUAACUGGCCGGGCACCGGGCGAUGGGACUGCUAUCAGGGCUGGUCCAGAUGGUGGCUGUUGUGUGGCUCAUGGUAGCAUGGUUCAUGUGUAUGAUUGGAUGCUUGAAGUGCAUCCUCCUAUUAAUCUUGAUUAUCAAAGAGUCAAUGAUGCAGGUUGGAUUGAUCCUGAGAGCAUUGUAAUCAGUGCUUGUGAGAGGUUUGGUACGGGAGAUGGAGGCAUGGGAUUGUUCAGUGCAUCCACGGGGAACGAAGGUAUAAAUUUCAUGUUAGUCAUGAAAAUCAAGUUAAGAGUUACACUGCUGGUGCAUUGAGUUUUAGUCCAGAUUAUAAGUUGUUUUCUAGUUGUAAAGGUAGGAGCAAUGAGUAUGGGAUUGGUGUUUGGGACCAAGUGACGGGGAAGCAGAUUGACUUUUUCUAUGAGCCACCUGGAUGGUCACUCGGUGAAGCAGACAAACUACAAUGGUUACAUGGUAACAACUGCUUGUUGGUAGCAACUUUGUUUCCAAGAAAGGACAACUGUUACAUUGGUUUGCUGGAUUUCAGGGACAAAAGCAUGCCUUGGUCCUGGUCUGAUGUAGGGGCUCCAAUUACGGAUGAUGAAAGCGAGUUAGGGAUGCAAUAGCAAUGGAGGAGAGUAGCUCCGUAUGCGUGGUGAAUGAAUACGAGGACUUGGGGUUCAUGGAUUUGAGGAGGGCCGCUGGAAGUGUGAGAUGGAGUUCAAGGAGCCGGCUGAUGAAGGGGAAAAUGCCCGAUGAACCAUGCUAUCCAAAACUGGCGUUGCACGAAGGACAGCUAUUUUCAUCGAUGAACGAUAGCAUCUCAGUGUUCUGUGGUCAAGAUUGGGUGUUAACAUCAAGGCUUCGACGAACUUAUGGCGGUUCAAUUUGUGAUUUUUCCAUAGGUGGUGAUCGGCUUUUUGCCCUGCAUAGCGAGGAAAAUGUGUUUGAUAUAUGGGAGACUCCAUCUCCGCCUAUCAUAUGAUCAUAGUACGUUAGUUUUGCUGUUCAACUUCUUCUUAGUCACCUUCUUCUGAAUGUUACUGUUUGUUUUCUCUCUUAUACGCUAUUGACAACCGGGCUGGCGUCUUUGAUAGCAGAGAGGCCUAAAGCUUUUGUUUGGUGCUUGAAAGUUAGAGAAGAUAAGGUUGAGCCUUAUCUAAUUGUGAGAUUGUACAGAAUUUUCUCAUAAUGACAUAGACAUCAUAUGAUGAGACAGGUUGCUUAACAACCAUGCUUUCAAAAUCGGCUUGCUUCUGGAAGUCUGAACUCGAGCAAAUUGUAUGAAAUUGGUUAAUUUCUUGACCUUUCCUGGGAGUUUGGGACCACCGCAGUCCUUAUCUCUCUCAAGAGCCCCUUAUCAGCAAUCUUUUUUUGACCAUUGCUUUUGCAAAGAUGGUUCUUUAGUUGUUAGGCCUGCCAUCCCACUUAUCCAUCUCAGUAAGAUUCCACGUUCUUUACAGAGACAAAGGAGAUGAAAGUUGCUAUAUUUGCAUGUUGGGAGCAGUUGAACUAACUACUAAACCUAAGUGGCUCUAGUUAUUUAUGAAGCUGGUGAUCUCGAGAAGUCGAGCCUGUGCGAGAUCUUGCCAUGGUUUUCUGUGAAGUAUCAAGAAAAGCCGAGUCUUGCCACCUAGUCUUCUCCAUUAAUGCACUCUAAAGCCAUGUCCAUUGUUCCAGCGUCUCUUUCCAGAUACUCCAAAUUAAUAAUACUAAUUCAACAGCAGUUAGUCCAUUUCAAUGCAAUGUACUUCAUUAAUAUAGUUUCGAAACUGAUAAGAAAGGAGCAAUCCCAAUUUGAUGGGACCACAGAAGGAUAAACAAAACAUGUAUUCUGCUGACCACUGCCGGCACUCCUCAGGAUUUCACGGCAGAUUUAGAUAAACAAGAGCUUAAAGCAAAGGGUAUUUGAAAAUUUUAUAUGAAUCCAUCCAUUAGUGAACAAUGAUAAACGGUCUUUAUUUUACGACAUACAGGUAAAUGUGAGAAACCUAGUGUGUACCUAGGGCAGAUACAAGAACAUUAAACUUGUCUAUUAGGUAUCAAAAUCCCCUUCCCCAACAAAAAGAAGAAAGCAAAAGGGUGAAAAAAGAACAAAAUAAAACAUGGAAAUCAGACUGGAACAUUCCCUAAGCUGCCAUAUGGAAAGAAAUCCUAACUUCAGCGACAACACUUAGUAAGCUCGCAAAAGAGAUGCCAUCACAAAGAAAGUCCAAUUAGUAGGGAGACCAAGUCUUGUGUUUAUUGCAUAUAAAAAUGGAACUAUUUCUUGAGAAUCUAAAAUCUUUAAAUUCAAUGUAUGCACCAUUAGGAAGGUUCCUUCGUUCUAAACUUGAUUGAAAAAAAUUAUUUCCAGAGAUGCAAGUACAGCAGGAAUAAGACAGAACCUUCCUGACUGGAAGCAAAUAACAAUAUUUAGUGAUAAAUAGGCAGUGGACCCGCGAAGCACACCAAUUAAUUAAGCAUAAUCUGGCAUUACUUUCUUAAGGAACUUGAUUGGCUGGGACUCUUCAGGGGCGAUUUCAUCAAAGGCGAUGUAGUUUUGCUCCUUAUUAUAAACGUGACACAUUGUCAAUAUGGUCUUCAUUAAUCUCCAGUUCCAUGCAGCUUCAUUCAGAUACUGUUGCAUCAUGGAGAACAUGGAGAAUACAUAUAAAGAAGCUGAAGAACAUCUUAUAGGCAUGUACUUAUAAUAAGGAGGAGGAGGGCUUGUGGAAAUCACAUGCUGUCCUUGAGGACCCUCCAGACCCCCUCCAGUUAUGUUCAACUAAAAAUUUGAGAAUUCCCUUGUGAGGUAAAAUGGAAAGUAUUGUUUUCGUCGUGGCUGCUGUAUCAUGGAAAGCACUUAUAGAAUCCAUACCUUGCCCCAGUUCUCCUGCAAAGACUGAUGGGCUGCCGCAAGUUGUAGCUUGGUAUCCGUGAAGAAAUGUGAUGGGGAAUAUGAACAUUGAUAUUAUGACAAAGGAUUUCUAUCCUGUCAAAGAAACAAAAGGACACAUAAAUCCUCUGCAAUGACAAGAAAUGAAAUCAAAACAUUCCUCCAGGUGAUACAAUAUAGUUAAUUCAGGAUCAAAUUCCUAAUUAUGUGUUUCGACUAAACUCCCACCAUAAUUUAUGUUUAAAAAGCAUCAGCUAAACAUGUGGUUGUCAUUUACAAAAUAGUUUCAGCAUAGCAUUUCGGCACUCCUGGUUUAUGGUUACAUCUUCAACAAAUUAGUCAAGUGAGGUGGGAAUACAAGCCAUAAACACUUUUCAAGGCAUGAGGAUAUGGAUCAAAAGCUCUUCGUCAAUCAGUAGACAAUUUCAUAAAUAACAAUUCUCUUGAAUUACAUGCAUAAUCAACACAAAUAUCUAAGCAGGUGCAGCAAUGUAAUCACCAUGUUGCCAAUACAAAGAAUCACAAAGGAUAUAUUUCUUUUACCAUUUAGGAUAAUCACAGUGCACUGUCCCAUUAAGCUGGGCCUGAGCUGCAUUCCACUCAUCUGAGUCUUUGAAAGGUAUAUGAGGAGCUGUGUGAUGCACCAUUGUGAAAGUGCUCAUCUGCAAGUUUUGAUGACACAAAUUCAAAGUGCUAUAAAUAUCAAACAUAAGGGUGGAAAGCACCAGGUUCUCUGUUAGAGAGAAGACAAAUGAAAUGUAGGAUUUUAUUUUUGUCUAGCCAAAAUCCAGAACUUUGAUGCAAAGUUAAGGAUACUGAAGUCUCAUCUCCUCUGGUUGACGUGAACCUGAAGGAUUCUGUCAAGUUAAAAUAAUAUUUCAUGGUGAAUUUUAAGCAACAUAUAAAAAUUAGAUGAUAUUCACAGUGCUUGGAAGGUCAGGGAUUCCUUGAACAACAUCCAGUAUAAAUAACUUCAAAAGGGUAAGAAGAAAGUCAACAAGAUUGUCUAUGGACACAACGGGCCAGUAUUACAGCGUCUCUACCAUGACUACCUGAUGCAAAUUUGUUUUCUAAAGAAAGAAAUGUUCAUAAUACUGGCUUUCCAUAUCUUUAAGUUAUAGAUUCCAAUUAAAUUUUCACCUGUAAACCAUAUACCGGGUAAUCUAGUAACCACUGUUCAAAAUGGUGCCUAAAACCAAAAAAGAGGUGAGAAAGUAAGUUACCCAAAAGUGAUAACCCAACCAUGGCAUUAACCAAAAAUUAAUCCAUCCAAUGAUCCCUGUCUUGUAUAUUAUCAGCGGCCAUCCAACAGCCAUAAAAGCAAAUACACAAGCCAAGCUUAUCUUCACCCUGUGCACUUCACUUGGUCUGAACUUCUUCAAGUCAAAGUGCCAGAUUAACCUAAAUAAUAGUAUUUGACACAUAUGCACAAACAUCAAAUUUGCUUCUAAAAAGAAAGAAUGGAAAAAAUGGAUAAGGUCCUAAGUUUCAAAACAUAUUAAAUCUCUAGCCGUCAAGUACCAGUGAGCUAUAGACAUCCAAGGUCGAAAUGGUCCAUAUCCGUAUAUGAUUGCUUUCCUUAAGACUGGGCUUGAGUCAAAUUCUUCUUUUGCAACAGGAUGCCAAGCUGUAUCUUCUUGCAGCCUGGGAUGAAAGCAGAAGAGGCAAUAGAGGUAAAGAAGAAUAGCAGAAAAUCUAUAAAUGAGAACUCAAAUGCCCAUAAACAAGCUCAACUUCCCCAGAAAAAAGAAGAAACAAAGAAACAAUAACCAAGAAACAAGAGGAAUAGGCAAUGGUGUAGAUAUACUUUAUCUAUAUGCAUAUCUUACUGAAAUAUGUAAUUUACUCUGUGCAUGUGGAUUGCAGAAAGAAUUAAGAAAAUUUUACUUUCUGUGGUAGAUAUAGAACCAGGGUAGUUACUUUACUGUCUGCAUAUGACCAGAUACCGAGGUUUCAAUUAAGGUUGUAGAAGAAAACAAAUAUCUCUAAAGGACAUAUAGAUUCUUCCAGGCAUCUAGUUCAAAUGGAAAAAACAGCCCGUGAGCGAACUGAAGUAUGGAUUCAUUACCCAAAUACUGAAGAUUUUUCCUUCAAGUUGCAUGUCCAUUUACAGAUUUCUCGAAAAACUAAUGGUAGAGCCAUAGAGUCUUCCUAAAAUCUAAUGUUGAAAAAGUCCACUAACCACCUUACAAUGACAAAAUUGCUGAAGUUUAGCUUUGUCCUACUCUCUGCAAUGACCUAAAACAAUCUAUCCAUACACUUGACCAGCACUCCCUUAUACUCCUACAGCUCAGAGGCAAGAAAUACUGGACUAAAAGACUACCUUAAAACAGAACGAAAUUCAUGUUGACAACGGACACUCAAAAGUUAAAAGAAAAUGAAAUUUCAGUCUUAAGUUGCAAAGCUUAUGCAGGUGCACAUGGGUAGCAUUUCUGUUAAGUCUGUGUGUGCGCGCAUUAAUUGUUGACCUCAGUAAAAAUAGCAUAUCUAAAAGAAGAUAUGUGAGAACAAAGAAAUUGAUUAGUUCAGUCCAAAGUGCAUAGCUUCAGCAUAUGACAUAUAUAUGGGCAGCAAAGGGGGGAAAACAUGCAAUGUGCACAACAAUCAGUACUCAGAAAACACUCUUGUAUCAAAGUAGUCUUUGUCCAGCCAUCAAGAUAUAUUUAGCUUCUUCAAAAUAUAAAGAAACAAAUUCCGAAAUACGCUAAGUGGCUAGACAAAGACGCUGAAAUUCUUACAAGGAUGUCGGUUAAUUGAUCCUUUCAGAGUUAUAAGUAUGAGCAAAAUAAAAUUGAACUUAGAGGCAAAAUAAACAAUUCACAGGAAUCUCAUACAGACAUGUUUGUUUUUGCAUGAUGCCUAUCAUGCUUAAAACGCCAUGGCUCGUAUGGGUAAAUCAGUGGCAAGAAGGCCAGAGUUCCAAUGAUAUCUUCCACUAGCUUGUUCUUCGAGAAUGAUUUGUGCGCACAAUCAUGUCCUAUAACAAAGAACUUCACAAUACAAGAUAAGAAAGAAAAUAAUGCAAAAAAGUUGGUUUUGUGUACCAUGAAUGAAAAUAAAUAAAAAAGCUUCUGCUAUUCUGAAAUAACUUGACAGGAAGGAAAACUUGACAUGAAAUCAAUUUGAUAAUGCUCUUGGAUUUGAGGUCCCCCGGGGCCCGGGGGGAGGGGGAUGGUAAGAAAUUUUCAUCAAAUUGUUAUUUUCCUUCCUUUCAAACUGUUAAAAUAUGGAAAUAAUAAUGAUAAAUAUACAUGCAGAACUAACCCCAGUAACUGCAGUUCCUGUCCAAGCCCAAGCCAGGGGAAGUAGAUACCAUGGUGUUUUAGCAAUCAUGAAGAGUCCCAAGGCAUAGGAUGUGCAGAUAUCAAGACAGACUUCCAUGCUUUUACAUCAUCUAUCUCAAAUACCUAAAAGUAAAAUUUAAUGGGAAGAUUAUCACUGUUUUUUCUUGGUAGUGUUACUGGAGCCCAAAACUGUAAAAUUUUCACAGAACACAUACUACCAAUUUAGAGCUCAACUCAAUUUUCACAAAUGCUUGGAUCCUUGCAUUCAUCCAGAGUGGUGGAGCCACAUAAAAUAAGUUCAAACCUAGGUCAUUAAGUAAGUUGGAGUAACAUCCUUAAGCCUUAACAACAUCUAUGCCCAAGGCAAAUAGUGCUAUGCUGCCAUAUUGGCAGGCAUAGUUGUUUAAACAAGAUGCAUUGUGCUAUUCUGUCAUUUACAGCCAACUUCCAGCAUCUUCUUCUGCAUUUUUUUUCACCUGCAGAGAGAGGGGGGGCAGUGGCUAGAGGAGGAGCCAAUUAGUCAAGUUUUUGUUCAUUAACUAUUUGAUAUUGUAUUGCGUUCUCACUCAUGUCUUGGUUGGAAUUGAUAUAGAUCCUAAAGUGAAGCUAAAAUACUGUAAAAGACAAAAGUACAGACUGAAGUUGCAUAAAAGUGCUCUCAGAAUAUGCUCCUUCACUGUUUCAAAUAUUCAAAGUUGAAUAACUCCAACAUAUUACAUAUUUCCUAAUCAGAUCAAAGAUCAUAUUCACAUCCUAAAAAACAUUCAGCAAUGAGAGAAACAACAUCCAGUGCAACUAUCCUGAAGGAGAAUAAUUUCAUUCCUUAUUAGGAAUCAACAAGCCAAGUUAAACCAAAAAGUUGAGCUUAAAAAUUUGGUUCUACGAAUAGCAAAUCAAUGGAAAUCUCACUGAACAUAUAGAACUCUUCUGAACAUCAGAAAAACUAUCACCUUUUUUGGGAGGGUUUCAAUAAUAUCUUUCAGAGUGACAUUAUCUGGAAGUGGCUCUCCAAUCUGUUGAAAACCAUAUCUUUCAGAUAAUUGUUUCCUAUGCUCUCUUCUGUCUGCCGGAGAUGGAGCUAUUGGGACUGCCACAGCUUGUACAACCCUACUGUGUCUCAAAGAAAUUAAACAUCUUUUCUGGUUGUUUCUUCCACGAAAUAUAUCUUCCCACUUCAAAUUAAAUGUGCCUGCUCAGCAUGAUAAAAACUGUUAUACAAUUGACUAGAAAAGUGGAUGAAGCAUACCACACCUAAAAUAUCAUUAUUAUCAAUAGCCACUUACAGCAAAUAAACAGAAGUUUCAGCUAUUACUGAAGGUCACGUAAUAGGAAAGCACAGCAACUUAUAGAGUUUUCAUAUCAUUGAACACAACUUACAUCAAGUACCAUGGCCUAUAUCUACAUGCACAUUGCUCUGUAACAAUUAAGAACGUGUAUGUUUAUCAGACGAGAUAUCUAGUAGUGAGAUUGCAUCCAUGUAGAGUAAUAAGAUGGAUUCCUUCAAUUACUAAAGAAAGUAAAUUAGCGAUCGAGGAGUCACGACAUAAUUUGGCCCCCUAUUCUCUCAUUCAUUCACACAGGCUUCGCUAUAACUAUUACUUCAUUAUCAGUAAAGAGAAAGCAUUCCAAACCAAAUAGAAUAGGAUCACCAACUUAUAGUCUUCAACACCAUUAUCCAAACCACCCCCAUGCAGGCAUCACUGAACAUUUGUAAACAGAAAAGCAUUGAGAAUCUCAAACCAGCUAUGAGACCCCGUGAUCCGACCUACGCCUCAAAGGCCACAGCCAGAAUUGCUUUCCCUUUCAUUUUUUCCUUUUGUCAUUCUCAAUACCUCAAUAUUCAUCAUCCAACAAUUUCAUCCUGUUAGGCCAUUGAAUCAUUUCUAAAAAUAGCUGUGUGGACUAAUAAAUCUCACUCUGACAGUUCCCAAUUUUAAAUAAUAUUUCAAUCGCAACAUUGAACUCCCAUCUAAAAAAUGUAAUACACUGUGGCUUAAUGAAUUAACAAUUAAAUAAGCACUUCUCUCAAGCCACAUCCUUCCCUCCUUGAGUGCUGCUAAAAAAAACCUCAUCUUGAUUCACAAGAACUCAAUUGACAAGAAUCACAAAGUUUAUAUUUACCAGGACAAGUAAGUGGGGACAAUUUAUGGUUCUGAAUUGGCCUCCUUUGUUGACCCUAAUUAUAGAAAAAGCAAAAUAAAACCCAUACAUUAGUGUAUCAACAACUAAAAAAACUAUUGAACACGCAACAGGAAAAGAGAAUAUUGACCACAAGAAGGAAGCUGGAGCCUGCAAGUCUGCAAGCCAUGAAGACUAGUGGAAACUGCUGGGUUUCUCUAGUUCAAGAAACCCAGUAGCCCUCCUAAUCCAACUGCUUGUUUGCAACCCUUUACCCCUUUAUCAAUGUCCAAGUGGUCUGAAGAAGAUAAAGGGGUAACAGGGAGAGGGAAGACGACUGCAAUUGGAGCUUGACACAGACCAAAAAAGGGUCCCAAAAAAAGGGAGUGGCAGUUUAUAUCAAAGUUCAAAACUAGGAUGAGGUUUGUGCUGUCGGUAGCUCGUUCUUGUGGUACAUGUGCAAGAAGACGCAAAAUCUCAAGUUGCCCGUUGUGGACAGAAUUGCCCGCCACAGCAACAGGUUAGGGUCAACGACUCAAUUGGCUGCAUGUCUUUCUCAUUUUUGUUUAGGAAUUGAAAUUCAAGAUAGAAGGCAUGACUUUUUUGUUUGGUUAAAAUAAUUGUUUUCCCUAUUAAACACGUUUUUGUUUAUAGUACUGAAAAAAGUUUUGAUGCUUUGGGAUGUUGUGGAAUUUUUUGUCAAACAUGGCGAUUUGCAGCGAUGGGUACUCUAGAAUUUCGACUAUCACCCUCGAAAUCAAAUUAAUACAAAAUCUUGGUCAUUAAUGUCAGACCACAUCAUAUAUUUAUACUCAUGGAUUGUGAGUGUCAAUAGAAAAUUUUCAGUUAAAACUGAGAUGAUUAUUUCGUCUUUAUAGCAUUUUUUGGCACAGUUAAAAUCUCAUUAUUCAUAAUUAUGACAAUUGAUAUACUCGGACAGUUUCAAAAUGGCGGCAUUGUAUCAUACAUUAGUCAUAACUCAUACGCCAUUGGAAGAAAUGAAUAUGGGCAUCCGCAUUUACCUAUAAUGCUCUGCUUAUUGGCAAUCAUAUGUAACUAAUGUAAACGUUUAGUUCAGUGUAAUUGUAAAGCAAGAAAGACUUUUUACCUUUUUAAGAGGAAAAAAGAAGUUACGCAUAUAUUUUCUCACACCUUUUCUUUAUACAUAUGUAUAUAUAUGUUGUACUCUUUAUGUUGUGUUCGAGAACUGUUUGUUCCAUGCGAAAAUAAUUUUAAAAGAAGAUGCACUCUGUUUUCUCUACCUAAUAAAUUAUUACUUACCAUCUUGAGGAAAAUAAGUAGAUUUGAGGCUCUGGAUUAAGGUAAUUUUUUUUACACUAAUUAAUGCCUAACUUUCACUCAAGCUAUCAUAUAUACAUACAUACAUAUUAAUAAUUAUUAUCCUCUCUUACAGUUAUAUAUGUUUCUUAAUUAAUAAGGAGGCUUUUUCUAAGGCAUUCGUUAGUCAAACCCAGACCCCUCUUUUAAGUAUUUAAGAAUCAAUUUUGUUUCGUGUAAAAUAUUUACAGAAUAUGUAAGGGACUAUGCCAAUAACACCUUUGUAAAAUUUUAGUGGUCUUAUGCUAAUUAGUCAAAAGAAAAAAUUAAGUAUUAAUCUCUCUAAAACUCUUGAAAAUUUGGCUUCCUGCCUAAUAAACUAAUAAGUUGCAGUUAAAUUCCUAACCGUUAGAUUAAACAGUCAAAUUUUUCCCACUUACUGUUAGAAUCUAAACGCAGCACAAACAACUAUUAACAUAUUAAGUACACAACAAUUUAAUAAAAACAAAUCACAAGUAUGAAACAUAAAGGAUACACAAUAUUUAACGUGAUUCGUCUCCGCCAUCAAACCUACGUUCACGGAGAGAAAUCCAUUCUUUAUUAAGAGAGAAAAAUCCUAUACAAGAAUAUAAGUUAAACUCAAAUCCAACCCCUAUAUACUAUUUCUCAUCUCCAAGAACCCUCUCUCACGAUCUAUAUAUAAAGUUACAUAUCGUCGCUUGUGUGUCCUUUUGUGUGUCUUUUGUAUAAUAUGUCAAUCCACAUAUGUAUAGUAUUAUCUGGUCAAAUUUAAAUAACAACAAGAAAUUAGUGCUAAUUUCUAAACUUAUACUUAUAGAAAAUAACUUCUAAAUCCUAAACAAAAUAAGAAAUUUUUGGCUACUAUUUCAAGUAACUAAUACCAAUUAAAAAACUAGUUACUUCCACAUAAAACAUGAAAUCUAACUAAAAGAAAUUAAAUCAAUUUCCUAACACUUACUUCUCACCACUAGAUUGGAUUCAUUUUAAGAAAGAUUACUGAAGAGGCUCGCCGAACUUCUUCUACCUUUUCUCUGUGUUAGAUUAUUUUAGGCUAAAUUAGUGACAACUUGACUUUCGGUACACCUGAAGAGCUUUCAGCCUGCUGCUGUACAUGCUAUUCCUCCAGCUCUAUCUACUGGAGUAAGCAAUGAUGGUGAUGCAAAAUAAUGGUAAGAUUAAAGCACAAAAAAAUAGUGAUAUUUUUGAAAUUUGUAUUAUGGUUUUUUAACUUAAAAAAUUCUUUAACAAUAGUGGACUAAUGAAAAAAGGGACAUUUAAAACUUUUGGCUAUUCAAAAAGUUGGAUUGUGAUCUAAAUCCAUUGCCAUUUUUUCAAAAAAGAAAAAUCAUUGCUACUUCAGAGAAAAUAUGGAGUUGUAUUGAUUAAUGGGAGACUAUAUAAUAUAUAGGGUUAAUUAUACCUGGCAAUUGGGCGGGUUGGGGGGUUUGGGUCGGGUUAAUAUUGGAUUUUCAUUUAAAUGGGUUACACCCAACAUACCCAACUUUAGAUUGGGUUAAUUUUAGAUUGGGUCAUAUUGGGUUAUCUCAAACCUAUGACCUAAAUAUGACCCAAUAUAUUAAUGAAUAUAUUUUGAUAUAUAAACUCUCUCAAAUAUAUUUUCACAUACAAAAAAAAAAUUUUAAGUGGGUGUCCAACUCAAAUACCCAAAUCGCCCAAAAAAAGAUUUUAUGCUAAUAUUUUCACAAAGAAAGUAUGGUAAUUCUAGAUUUAUGUAGUUUUUACAUAUUGAGAAUACAGUUUAUAAAAACAAAAAUAUUUUAGCAUGAAUGAGUUAUGUGGUAGUUAUUAAGCAUCGAGGACACAAGUAGUUUAAGUUAACAUUAAUGUCUCAAAAUUAAUUUCAAAUUUAAUAAUGUUCAAAUUCUUCAUACUGAACAUUUUGAUGAUGAUAAUAUAAAUGAAAAAAAGUCACAUUGUAGCUAAAUAUCUAACUCAUAAAUGCAAAUUAAUUUUUUUUGUCACAAUAAAUCUGGCAACUAUUCUAACACAUCUGGCGUUGUCCAUAUCUAGGGUAAUACCCUAUUAAGUAUGUAACCAAGGAAUUAAAAAUAUGCCAAGUAAAAAAAUUUUAACUUGCUUGGCGAAUUAUGUUAUAAUCACAAAAGAUGUUUAUAGCAAAAAAUAAUAAGAAAAAGUCUAUAGUUGAUGCUUUUGAGUAACUAUUCACCAUUUUAAAAUUGUGUUGAUUAUUCACUUGAUUCAAUUAGCAAAAGUUGGGUAAUGGGUGCCCAACACAAAUACCCAAACCGUCCAAAUAUAUCUGGACUUUUAUUACCCAACCCAAAAUUGACCCAAUACCCAACUUACCCAACCCAACCUCUCAAAUUAGUGGUGGAUUGAGUGGGUUGUUGGAUUUUGGGUAUAAUUGCCAGGUCUAGGGUUAAUUAUAGUUGGCACCUUUGAACUUGACCCUUUAUAAUAUUUUGCCCCCUUGAACUUUAAAUAUGUGCACUUUACUCUCUUCAUUGACUAGUCAAAUAUUAAUGAUGAAUUCAAGAAGAGGGAUCAUGUGUUGGUUAAACUUUACCAAUACGGGCAUGUUCGUGGUGUGUACAAGAGUCUAAUGCGAUGAGAUGAAGGACCGUUCACUAUAUUCAAAAAGGUGGAAAACAUGACGUACAAGGUAUUCGAAAUACUAUCUCAACUCCACCUGAUCUUUCAUGUCAAUUUGGUCAAACCAUUUUAUUAAAAUCCACAUGAUCCAUCAAAAAACAUGUCGACGAAAGCACUCGCGGCAUGAGGGACAAGUACGAUAAAGUUGCUGAAUAAAUCGUGGCCGACUAUAUUACUCGAUACAAGAGUUGAGCAUUAUCAAAGAAGUACUUGAUGCGAUGGCGUAGGCUAUUAAAAUUGGAAAUACUCUAGGAAUCGGCUGAAAAGUUGUGGUAAUUCAAGAGCUUAUACAGGCAUAUGAAAUUAGUUAAGGCAUCGAGGUGAUAUCUUGUUCGAGUGACGGAGGAUGACAAGGAUUUCAUUCUAUCCAUGCACGAUCGUGCCUGUCCGGUCAGCCAUGCAUUAUUGUAUAUAAUGUCCUAAUAGAAAAAUCAGAACCAUUAGUAGACCCAUACCUCAAUCCUCCAAAUAAGUGGCAAACCAUGGAGCCUUACCUAAGACAUGGACGCUACAUCAAAUAUUGUUAGAAGUAUGUAACAAGGUCUAGAGACUUCCGAAACGUUCUCUGUUGUUUAAGAGUCUUGUAGAAUGAUUUAGAAUUUGUACAUAAGAGUUGCCUUGUAUAAAAAGUGCUAGAGAGGGUUUAGUGUAGAAUUCUUUAAAAACUUGUAUAACUUUCUUGACUUGCCUAUAAAUAGGCAAAACUCCUUCAUUUGUAACCAUCUUGUGCAAAUGUUUAUAAUUAUAAUAUAAGUAUUCCUUAACCUCCAAUGUUUUUCUUCUUUGCUCUCUACCUUAGUUUCCGUAUAUUUCCACACACUUAGAUGUAAGGGUGAACCAACAAACCGUUUAUAGUUUAGGUUUUGAACGAUCACUAAUUUCGCAGGGCGUGUUAAUUUAUAGGAAUUUAAAUAACUUGUGACAAUUGGUAUUAUACUUUUAAUCGGAAUAUGAAACAUCUUAUUAGAAAAAACACAAAAUCAAAUAAUUUAAAAAAUUAAAAAAUAAAAGAUGGUAUAAUACCAAAGAAUUGAAAAAUUAUAUUGUGAAAAAAAAAAUUUAAAAAUUCCUAAAACAUCUACAAAAGUUUUUCAUCGCUUAUUUUUUUCCUUUAAAUUGUAAACGGAUUGGUUUUGAUAAUUUUUAUUUACCUUGCAGAUCACAAGAUUUUCACAAGUUAAUAAGAUGCUAUUUGAUAAUUUUAUGCCACAUUCGUACCUUGUUUUGUAUUUUGUUUGAAUUCUAUGUUUUAAAAAAUCUAAAAAUUCUCUAAAUAUGUUUUUCAAUAUAUUUUUAUCUCAUAUAAAACACAUUAAAAAGUAUUAUAAUAAAAAUAUAAGCAAAUGAUUUUCAUUCCAAAUGUACUAAUUAAUUUUAUUUUAUUAAAAAUAUGUAUUGCUAUUAGCAUUGAGAUAAUUACAUUGAAUUGCUUAGACUUUUUGUUUUUGUGAAUUAUCUCAUUUAUUUUUAGUGCUAAAAUAUCGAAAUACGUAGUGUAAUUUUGUUUAGAUACAUUUAACAACUAAUAAAGAACUAAAUAUUUAUUAUGUUACAAUUAUGAUGUGUAUUUUAGAAUUAGUUAGGGAUAUUUUGAUCUUGAAAAAUAUAACUAUUUAUAGCCCGGUAAAAAAGUUGAUCACAAGGGAUAAAAUGUAUAUAUUUGGAGGUUAGGGGGGAAAGUGUUAUGAGAGCCCAAACUCAGGGCACAAAGUGUAAUUAACCUAAAAUGCAUAAUUGGGAGACUAUAUAAAAUACAUGACAAAAAGUGAAAUUUUGGAGGAAAUGAAAAUUUAAGAAUUCUAGGUGGGGAACACAAACUUUUAGUACACUCUUUUUACUCCCUCUACCUUAAAAACAUUUUUCUUUCUCCUUCCAAACUUUUGAGGGGUUUAAAACCCUACAACACCGAAUAUCUCAAUAACAAAGAGUUUCUUCAAAGAUCUCUUUCUUUUCAAAUCACAAGGUAGAAUGUUGUUAUCUAUAACAAUUCAUCAGAAAAUUUGGAAGGUUUUUUACAUGAUGGGUUGUGUUGGUUGGUGUUGAAUGAGGAGAAAAAAAAUCCUAUGUCCCAUCUUUCAAAUGUCAAACAAAGAUGUCUUUGAUAAAAUAGCUAGGGUUGCUAUGGGGAACUUUCGCGGAGCAGAUUAUUUUCUCCAAAUUUAUGGGCUGCGAUGGAAAAUAAUCCCGAUCGCUACUUCAUUAUUACUCAAAAGGUGAACUGCACCUUUGAGGGCUAUUUCUAGACUCACUGAUAUGAUUUGUCACAAUGAUAAUGGGUUUGUUGUGAAGGAUGUCACUGACAUGAUAAGGUAAAGAAAGAAUUAGAGUUUAUAUAUUUAUUAAGUGUAAUUUUUUAAUGGUAUAUUACGAUUAGAGAAUUUCCAUUUGACUCAAAUGAAAAAAUAGGGAAUUAAUUUUGAAAAUAAUAUAAUUAUCAAAAUUAUUUCCCAAUGUAAUACUUUUUUCAAAACUAUUCUUCGAUUUGAUCACAAGGAGUAUUAAAUUAAGGAAUAGUUUUAGAAAAGUGUUAUACUGAGAAAUAGUUUUGAUUAUAACAUUAUUUUGGAAAAUAACUUUAAAAAUAGGAACAUAUAUAUUGUUGGAUAUAUGAUUUAUCAAACUCUUGGUUAAAUUUUUUUUUUAAUGUAAACUUUCAUGAAGAUAGAAUGUACAAAGGAAUUAAAUCCAGAUACAUUGUAAAAAUACUCUAUACUUGUGCAAAGAAUUCAUCUAAAGCAACUAUAAGAAUUUCCAAAUUCCAUCACUAAAUCCUAGUUUUCUUUGUUUCGUGGGAUUUUCUUUCAUCUAGCAAUUGUACUCAUCAUAACCUCCAAAAUAGUUUACAAGUCUAGUAGCAUCUGCAUGGAUUUGUUGGAAUAUGCUCUGGUCCAUGCUUUCCACAACUAGUAUACUGUAAUAGCAAGAGUAAGUCUUCGCACUUGAUCAGGAAAGGAGUUGGACUUCUAGUGAGAACACACCUGUUGCAGCUCUUAUUGCCAUGGAAAUGGUGCUCUUCGAACCAAGCAUUGCUUUAGUAGUUUCUGCCACACUAUUUCAGAAAUUGGGCAUUCAAAAACAAAUGAUCCUUUGUUUCCACAAAACCUUUAAUGCAAUUCACAUGCAUCAGAUACCAUGUUCAAACUCCAGGCCUUCAUUCUAUCUUUAGUUCAGCUCUUUUGACAAAGCAACCAAACAAUGAAAGAGUAACGUGGCACAUAGCCCUUGCCCUAUACUAAUUGAUACCACAUAACACGAGCUCUAAGAUUUUGAACUAGUUUUGUAGCAGGCUGCACAAUAUAUUUUCCUGAUGCACUAGCCAUUCAGUAUACCUCAUCUUUAGCGUCUAGAUAGGGUAAAAACAGAGCAGGUGUUUCAGUUUUUAGUUUCCGAACUUCACUAGUCAUUCUCCUACCUUUUGGCCAUUUCAACUCUACUCCUUUUUAUAAACUCUGCAACAGUUACAUUCUUUGACAUUCCCAAAUUGAACAAAAGAUUUUCAGAAAAAUACUAAUAGAGGGGACCAACAGUUUGUCUGUUGUCAGACCAAAAACUUCUAUUUUUUCCAUCCCAAUCAGAUUUUUAAUAUAUGCUUGGCUAAUACUUCGAAGCUUUAGAAUUUUCCAUCUAUACAUAUUCCCUUUCCACCAUGAUUCGAGAGCGUAUCAAGUUAGAAGUGAAAAUGUGGCGCACUUGAGAUUUACCCAAAAAAAAACUUUCAACCCAAAUAAAGAAAGACAAAAGAUUAACAAGAGGAGGAAAUUGUUAACUACCGAAUCAGGAUCAGUACAAAGGCCAAAAAAAAGAGAUAUAAAGGUCCUAAGAGACCUGGAUAGUUCUAAUAGCGCAUUACAUUGAUGAUUUACAGCAUAUUGUAUACUACCUCUAGCCACUAUGCUCAUUCCUCAAGAGAUUUUUUUGUCUAGGUGGUUUUUUUAUUUAUUUAUUUUUUUAGGGGCUGGAGGUUUAUUUUAGCUUGCAAUUCCUGAAACAAUAGCAUCAAAGAUCUAGGACUCCCAAGUCUAUAGAUAACCAUCCAAGGAAUAUAAAUACAAAUACACAAGUUCAAAACCCAAAGAAAUGGCAAAUGCCAUCAGCAGGUUCACAAGUAAUCACAACAAAUUCCCAUAUUACAGGCAUAGAAGUAAAAUAGCAAAACUCACAAAGCAUGGAAGUAAAAAAAAAAAAAAAACACUGCACUUGAGAUAAACAUAAUGCUUCAAAGCUUUCAAAUCUUUAGCCUUAUGCGUUUUGGCACAAAAUAUCAAGUGAACUUCCAUACAAAGAGAAGAAGAAAACCAUUUUGACACAUGACACUAUUUACCUCAAUCAUCGAAGUGCUGUAGCAUAACAAGUGCACAGAAGUUAUGGAAUCUUUGUUAACUUACAAUUUGAAGGAAUCGAUGGGAUACCGAGUAAAGUCAUUCUCUAUUGCAUCACAAGUCGAUGUACUUACUAGUCUAUAACUCAGAGCUCGAUCUGUCCUUGUUUCUGAAAGCAGCUUGAAAAUGACAAUUGUCAUAUAAUCACUGCGAAUAUUUAUUUAUUCCUCAAACAGCAUUACAGCAAAGUAAUCAUCUCCUAAAUCAACAAGAUCAACAGCAACUCCAUAUGGCAUGUCGUCCAAAAAAAUGGCAUUUUUAUAGCUUUCUUCUCAUCAAAAAUUUGAAAAGCAGUGAUCGGAGGAUGGAGAGCAGGUAUAAUGCACAACAAGAUAUUCUUUAUAGAGGAUAGCUUUUUUCUCAAAAGGAAAUGGAGGACCGCAACCACGUAUGGGUGGUAGAUGAAUUUUGACAUCUUUAAGUAUGAAAUCAGAAAAUAAAUCACAAGUCUCCCAUUUCUUACCCUUAGUAUCAUGAACACACGAGUAUUGCCUAGAUAAAACCAACAACUUUGCACCAAACACUACAUAUGCGUAAAAGCCCAUAAACUUAUAGGAAAACCUAUUUUUUUAAAGGAAAUGAGAAGACUCCAAGGAACCCAUCUAUCCACCAAAGGACGGUAAACCUCAAAGUUGAUAUCAAUUACAUCAGCUCCAAAGUGGGGUAGGGGCCCAGAUAGAACAUAGAUGAGACCAUCAAUUUUUGCUAUAAGGGGUAAAUACUUUCCACCGUGCCUUGGGCACUUAUUCUCCGCUCGAGAGUUUUCUAGAGGAGUUGAGAGAGAGAUGCAAUUGAACUCUCAGGGCAGCUUACCUGGGUAAAACAAGUAACUUUUUCCUCAUCAGCUUUCACACCACCAACAGCGUAGACCAAAUCAUCUACCUAAAGGAAACUCAUGCUAUGAUAAUGUGGAGUGCAUGCAUCAGAUGACUCCUCUAUCUAACACCAGACAAACUUCUUUUUUGGUUUAAGCAGCUUGCUUCUUGAUGAAUAGCCAAUCAGUUUCCCAAUUGGAAAAGACUCAAAGAGUAAAACAUUGGAUCAGCAACACCAUCCAGUUGCAUGAAACACACCACGAGGUGUCUUGUCGUUCUUCUUUCAUACUUUCUAGAAAAAGGUUCGGAGAAAAGUCUCUCAAUUCUCCCCCUCUCUGUUGUUUGCGACAUGCUUAAUCUAAGCAAAAGAAAUCAAUUUAGCAAUAGAAGAAUGAAUGACGCAACAGCUAAAUUGAAGCUGCACCAAAGAAUAACAGUGAACCAAAGACCAAAAAAUGAAUAAUAUAAUUUGUUCUUUCAUCUUUUGCAUUAGAUCAACCCAAAUAUCAACCUAAAAAGAAAAUUGAAUGUAAUCUGCAUUGAACAAAGAUGCUCACAGAGGAGAGCCAACAGUUGCACAAGUCUAUGAAAAUCCAGAUGAAAUUACUCUCCUUAACUCUAAUAACUCCCUCUUGGACGAAAAUAUCAUUUACUAUCAUUUAUCAGUUGUGAUUUGUAAGAUAAGGAUCUUAAAGUCCAGUACGAUAACAAAUUAAAAGGGAAAAAAAUAAUCAAAAAGAGAACUACAAUCAAAAUAACAAUCAAUGAAAGAACAUAAAAACAAAGGGAUACUCUUUGGUCUUCUUAGAACUACAAUCAAAAUAACAAUCAAUGAAAGAAUAUAAAAACAAAGAGAUACUCUUUGGUCUUCUUCAUCAGGCCAACCUAGAAUUCAAUCUAAAAUAAAUAAUAACAAUUAUAAUAAAUAUAUAGAACAGAAUAAAGGAGACUAUAAAAUCAAUAAUGGCAAUUACAUUUUUAGAAGCUUAUUCAAAAAAAAGGGACAAGGUUAUCUAUUAAUAACAAGUAUCCAUGCUUGUGCCAACACAAAUUGACUUAACUGAUAAAAACAGAUUAUAGUGGCAUGUGUUAGAAUGCUGAAUCUCGAAUCCCGCUGCUGAUGUGAAAGGCAAUUUUGUUUAAAUCUUGAAUUGGGUGCCGACAUAAGAGUUGUGUUAGUAAAGAGGUACAUGAGAGUUGUGUUGGUGAAGAAGUGUGUUUGAAUGCUAAAUCCCAAAUCCUCCUGCCGAUGUAAAAGUUAUACUGGUGAGAGCUGUGUUGGUGGAUGAUAUAUAAAAAUCUCUAAAUGAACUAUGUCUAAAUAGCCUAGGGUUUUGGGGACAUGACCUGAUUAUGACUUAUAAUGGUGAUAGGAGUUGAAUUUACCCAAAAAUUUUUUUAAAUCCAGAGGGUAUAACCUAGGAUUCAAACUCAUCCAAAUUUUUUUUAGUUCCUGGGUGUGAUUUGACUAUGAUUCAUAAUGGUGACAGGAAUCAAAACCACCUAAACUUUUUUGUGAAAAAAAAUUAAUUAAUUAUCCAUGCUUACCGUCUCGAGCCUAGUCAUGCUUGAUGUUGGAUAGGAGGACUAUGAAGUUUGAACCUUUUUUUUUCGAAACUAGGACUAUGAAGUAUGAACUUAAAGCUUGGUCAAUUGACAUGAGUAAUGCACCACUAUAAAGUAGGUAGAUACUAGUCUGGCAUUGUUAGAUUGAAGUAGGAAAAACUAACUCGAUUAUUGCUUUCCCAAUCUAGAUCAACUCGGCUAUUAUUUGAUUAGUGUAGGGACUAUUGCUCCUAUGUAAUGCAACGUAUUCUUGUGCAAAUAAUUUUUACCGAAUAAUGUCUUUACAGCUAAACUUGUGUUAUGGCCUGUUAAUUUUUCCAAUGAUUAUAAUCAACAGAAGGCAACGGAGGCAAAAAAGCAAGAAAAUCACAUUCCCUGUGAAGCUGGAAGAACUAAAUUUUUCUGCCUUGAUGACUGAUUUUAAUGCUUAUGAUUCCAACCACCAUACUGGACACAAAAAAUGCACCACCCAAAAUGCUAUUAGGGCCAAUAUUCUUGGUAUUUCCAUUUCCUUCCAAGAGACAGAAGAGUUGCAUCAGCAAUAGUUCGGGAAAGCUUUAAACAUCUUGAUAAGCCCUCUAGUGAGGUUCAAAGCCCUCUAGUGAGGUUCAAAGGCAAGUGCUAGCAGUAUCACCAAGGAGAUAGAAAAGCAAUACUAGCCAAAUAGCAAGCAAAUUGUAACCAAGACCUAUGCUGAAUAUGUAGUAAAACAGCUCCAGAUAGGAAAUGUCGCCUUGUGGUUGACAUCCCUAGUGGGAUUUUACAUAUAAGCACUGUUCAAACUUGGUAUUGCACUCUUUGUGCCCUUCACAACCAUCAUCUUCAUUCAACAAAAAGAUUUGGUAGUUAUUUAAAAAAGGUUUUUUUUCCCUGAUGAAGUUGUUUAGGAAAUUUGAGUCUGAUAUUGAUGCAUAAGAUCAGAAAAAGGAAGAUUACAUUGAGAGAUACAAUAAAGCGACUAGCUUUAUGCAUGAAGAGGAAUAAUCCCAUAAUUAAGCAACUAUAGGGAGAGAAAAAUAGAAAGAAAGAGAGAGUUGUGUAGGAGAGAAAAUUAAAAAAAGGUUUGGUGAAGAAUCGAGAAUCCUAAUCCUUGUAUAGGCAACAUGAUUGAACAACUAAUAUCGUAACAGAUUUUUUGAGGAAUAAAUAAAGACUUAAAAAGAGUCAUUAUACAACAAUUUUGUUUAGUGAUUAUAUUAGGAUCACACCUGAAAUUGACUUGGGCCAAAUUAACUGUAAAAUGCUUUCUAUUUAUAAGAGAAAAAUGUCAUCUUCGAAGCUGGCAAUUCCAAUUACAAGUUCCCAAGCAUCACAAAAGGGGAAAAUGUAGAGAAGUAAUUAGUGAUGAAACAAACAUCUUGCAAUAAGCUAUUCACAGGAAGUUUCAGUAUUAAACUCAAUUUAAGAAGGUGAAAAUGCGGAGAAGUAAUUAGUGAUGAAACAAACAUCUUGCAAUUAGCUAUUCAAAAGAAGUUUCGGUAUUAAAUUCAAUUUAAGAAUGUGAGGUAAUGGAAAAAGGCAUCCUUAACAAAACCAUUUCCUGGCCUGAUUAAUUGUCAAAGCUUCAACACAAAUUAUAGCCCAUAGAGUACUUAUAUUCAAGAUCUUUAUAGUGUACUUGGUCAAUUUCAGCAUGCAAGUUGGAAGAAACUAUAGAUUAUGCACACUAGAAUUUUUUGCAUGUAUAUAUUUUAACCAUUAUUUACCAAAGGACAAUGAAAAUUAUCAUCGAAGAAACAAAUACAAUAAAGAAAUGUUUAGUAACUAAAAAUAAGAUUAAAGGAAGAUAAGAUAGGUGUCCUAGUUGGUCAAUUAUUUAACCAAGAAGCAAAAUAUGGGCAAUCUAUUUCUGUUUCGUAUCUGCAUAAUUGUGAACAAUCUCAAUAAAAAAGUUAGAGUCUAUUCAAAACAAUCUCAAGUUGCUAUGUUUGGCAAUCUUGGAUGAGCCACACGCUUGCGCGCAAUAUAACUAGGCAAGCUAAGGAAAGAUUUGUGAUCAAUUUCAACCACCUCUGAUCUUCAUAUGUUGUCCUUUACAUUUACAAUUAUUGGGAUCUAUUGGUGCUGGUGCUGGAAAAGUUUAACCGAGAAGCUAAAAAUCAAACAAACAAAAAGACAUAGCAUGAUAGUUCCUAAACUCAUCCUCCAACCCCCCUUCCAAACUUGCCCUGCCAAGGGAUAAACAAUCAAUUUUUUGCCACCUAUUUACCACCAUUGGAUCCAUUUCAAGAAAGAUUACUGAACAACUCUUCUUCCAGCUUGGCUUUUGGUAGACUUAAGGAGCCUUUAGCUCACUGUCGUUCAUGCUAUUCUCCUGCUCUGUCUAUUCAACAAGAGAUUUUUUACCCCUAAAAGUUCUAACCUUUUGAUGUGUACAAUUUUACUUCCACAAUUUCUUAUUCUUUGAUCAAUUCAGGGAAAAAAAAGUAAUCAUUUUUAUUACAAUAAAGAAGAAAAAUAGGAGUUGAUAGUUGUUUUUUAGUAAGAAUUAUAGUGUUUUUUUUGUUGGGGGGAAUGGGCGCUAAGAUUAGAGAUAAGAAGAAGAGAUCAGUACAAACAAACAUAAACUUUCCUCUGCAUUUUUGACAAAAGCCAAAAAAAAGGAAAAAGGCGUUAUUUUCUUUUUGCAUUCUUUUGAUAAGUGUUUUCGCCAUCAAUUACAAUUAUCUUUUAUUAGUAACAAUGCAUUUCAAAUUCUUCAACCCCUGUGCUUUGGCAUGAAAUACCAAGUGAACUUCCACAAACACGCAAAAGAAGAAAACCAUUUUGACACAUGGCGCCAUCUACCUCAGUCAUCGGAGUGCUGCACGAUAUUAGGUGUGCGCAAGUUGUGAAAUUUUUGUUGACUUACAAUUUGAAGGAAUAGAUGGGAUAAGGGCUAUUAAAUGAACCGAACUGUUCGUUAGCUCGGUUCGUUUCGACUAGUUCGUAUUCAUGAAAGACUCGUUCGAAACCUUAAACGAACCGAGUUCGAACGAAUUUUUUUGUUCGAUUAAUAAUUGAGCGAAUACAAGCAUAUUCGUGAGUUUUAACGAACGUUCACGAACAUGAGUAUGUUCGCGAGUUUUAACAAACGUUCUCGAACAUGGACAUAAUUAUCAUUUGAUAAAUUUUAGAGUUAAUUUUAUGGUUGGACUUUUAUAUUUGGAGGGCAAAUUACUUCGUUUUAUUUGUUGUUUUAAUGUUAAAGUUAUAUAGUUAAUGAAUAAUAGGAUUUAGUCACUUAGUUGCCUUAAUUGUUUUUGAGAAUAAUUAAUGAUUUGCAUGGCAUAUUUAAGGCUUAAAAUAAUUUGGAUUCAAGCAUUUCGAGUAUGUUCGCGAACGGCUCGUUUAUAUUAAAGGAGCCGAACACGAACUCAAACUCGAACACGAAUUUUGCUUAAAGAGCUGAACACGAACACAUGUUUGGAGUUCGAAAAUUAAUGAACGAACACAAACGUUGUUCGAAUCGCUUAAUGAACAGAGGUCAAACAUGAGAUACUCGGUUCGAUUCGGUUCGUUUACAGCUCUAGAUGGAAUACACAGUAAAGCCAUUCUCGGUUGCAUUACAAUCCAAUGUACUUACCAGUGUACAACUCAAAUCUCCGUCUCCCUCUUUUUCUGAACGCAGCUUCAAUGUGACAAUUGUCAGAUCCUUGGCACGUUCAUUCGUUACUUUUUCAAAAAGCAUUACAGCAAAGUAAUCAUCUCCUAAAUCAACAAGAUCAAUAGCAACUCUACAUGGCAUGCCGUCGAAAAGAAGUGGCAUUUUUACUUCUUUCUUCUCAUCAAAAAUCUAAAAGGCAUUUACAGGAGGAUGGAGGGUAGGUAUAAUGCACAAUAAGAUAUUGUCUUUAUAUAGGACGCUUUUUUUCUCAAAAGGAAAUAGAGGACUGCAACCAUUUAGGUGUCGCACAUAAUGUUUGACAGGUUCAAGCAUGAAAUUAGAAAAUAACUCGCAAGCCUCCGAUUUCCCAAGCACAGUGUCAAAAGCACACAAGUAUUCCCAAAUUGAAACACACAACUUUGCACUAAUCACUACAUAUGCAUAAAAUCCCAUAAACAUAGAGGAGUAACCAUCUUUUUCGAGAAAUGGAGGAAUCGACAGAUGAGCCCAUCCAUCCUCUAAAGGAUAAUAAACCUCAAAGCCGAUGUCAACUAUAUCAGGAGAUCAUAGUUGAGUGUAGACACCAAAUUUUGUCAUAUUUUUUCUCUAGUAUUUGACAUUUGCUUGAAAUUUUGUCUAUUUAGGGUCAUUUAUUUUUAUCCAUUUAUUUGUCUAUUUUUCUUGUUUUUGUAGAUUUGUUUUUUGUUAAAAAAAAAGAGGAGAAGAGAAGAUUUUACACUCUCUAAUCAUCUUUCCCUAUCAAAACCUGGAAAAAUCCAUCAUUUUAUCUCAUGGUUCUUUCUUGUCAUUUGGUGAAGAAACCAUCAUUUUUCUUUGACCAACCUAACUCCCUAAUUUCCUCCACUCUCGGUUCCCUUAUUUUUCCUUCAAGAAGGGAAGACAAAAACAAAAAAAGGCACCCCCCUCUCAAUCUUCCUUCUCGGCCAUUUUUUUCUCUCAACUCAUGACAUUUCCUCUAGACAAACACAUAAAAAAAAAUCUCUCUCGCCCUCUUGGCUCUAUCCCUCCCUUUUCUCAAUUAAGACAACACACCCACACACAACUUAAACACAACAAAGCAAGCAACAAAGGAUUAACGCUUGGGAGUUUCCUUCAAAAAUUUGACCGAGAAGCUCUUGCUUAGAUUGAGGUAUUUUCCAAUUUUCAUUAAUCAUGUUAAAUCCAUAUUUUAUUGUUUAGUUUUUCUUGUUGUUGCGGUCUUUUAUUGUUGUUGUUGUAUUGUUGAAAAUUUGGAAAAUGGCAUAAACUAGAUUAAGGAAAAGGAAAUAAUUUUUGUGUAUGCAUGCUAAAUGUUUAAUAAAAUGACAAAAUUAAAAACAAAUCAAGUUAGCGAAUUUUUGUGCAUAGUUUCGUUAAAAUGAAUGACCAUUAGCUAGUACAUGGCUUGGAAAGAUGUUUGAUUGUUCAAAGUUUAAGUUUAGACCUCAAAAGUAAGGAAUGGGUUUUUGAAAAAUUAGGGGCUAUUUUGCCUUAAUUUGGCCUUUUGUUGUUGUUUUCUUGUCAAAUUAAGAUCAUAGUUGUAUUGCAAAAAUUAUAAGGAGCGUUGUAAUAUAAACUUUAUGAUUUUUGGUGGAAGUUUGAGUAUUUUAGAGAAAUAAAAACUAGGCUGUCUUUUUGUAGAUCGUUCGUGCAUUAUAUUCAUCUUUUGAGUGACAUUCAUUACAUCUUCAUGCACAUUUUUAUUUUAGAAUCUUUUCUCAUUUGCAUGGUAUUUUCUAUUAUAUUAUCCCCUACCCUCCAUAUGUAUUAAUCAUAUCAUUUAGGAUUGCAUCUCAUUUAAGAAAUUAUAAAAUAAAUUAAUUCAUUUGAGUAUUUUAGAGAAAUAAAAACUAGGCUGUCUUUUUGUAGAUCGUUCAUGCAUUAUAUUCAUCUUUUGCGUGACAUUCAUUACAUCUUCAUGCAUAUUUUUAUUUUAGACUCUUUUCUCAUUUGCAUGAUAUUUCCUAUUACAUUAUCCCCUACGCUCCAUAUGUAUUAAUCAUAUUAUUUAGGAUUGCAUCUCAUUUAAGAAAUUAUAAAAUAAGUUAAUUCAUUUGUUUGUCUAGAUUAGGAAAAUUACUCUUUGAAUAUGGGAAAUGGGUGAUUAUAACUUUUUAGUUUAAAUACGCCGUUAAUCCCUGUGUAAAAAAAUUAUGUCACGAGAUUUUGCCUCCCGUACCUAUUAUGUUGCAUUUCUUUUUUCUUGAUCACUCAUAUCUAUAUAUAUAAUUUAAUUCUCUUUUCUUCAAUUUUAUUUUUGCAUACUCGUGACUCCUUUUCAAGGGAUUAUUUUGACUUUCGUAAUUAAUGCGAUUGAUGUCAAUUAAACCCUUAAAUGAACAUUUUGCCCAUUUUGAUAUUUUUUAUAAAUUUAGAUUUGUAUUUAUAUAGAAAACUUCCAAAUUUGAUAAAUUUAAGGGUUAGAUUAGGAAAAUUUUCAUUAAACCUCGCAACUAGUUUAGACUAAGUUGAAAGAGUGCCUUAUGUUUGAGUCGAUCGAACAUUUGCCUUCCCUAUCUUCAAUCGUAACUCCCGAACUUAUUUUUCUCUUAUUUUUCAAGACCUAGAGUUGUCGUAAAGGGUUUUAUUUUAUUUUAUUUAUACUAAUUCUAUUAAAAAAAAUUUUGGGUGACUUGGCACACCCAAACUUAAUACCAAGUAGCGACUACUAUUUUUUCUUAAAAACCCUUUUAAACUAAAUUUUGGACCGAAAUUGUCGCAUUCUUUGAAGUCCCAUUUUAGGCAUUUUUUCACUUAUUUUUAAAUAAAAAUCACAUUUUUUGUAAAUAUGAUUUUCAUCGCGAAAAAUGAGGCGCGACAUUGGGCAGAGGUCCAGAUUGAACAUAGAUGAGAUCAUCAAUUUCCACUAUAAGGGCGAAAUACUUUGCCCUGUGCAAUGGUUGCUUAUUCUCCGCUUGAGAGUUUUUUAGAUGAGUUGAGAGAGAGAUGUGACUGAACUCUCGCGGACAGGUUGCAUGUGGCUCUCUUCCUCAUUGCCCUUCGCACCGCCAACUGCAUAGACCAAAUCUAUAACCUGAACGAAACUCGUACCAAAAUAAUUUGGGUUACAUGCAUCAGAUGCAUCCUUUGUCUCACGCCAGACAAACUUCUCUUCUGGUUUAAGUGGUUUGCCCCCUGAUGAAUGGCGAAUCAAUUUCCCAAUUGAAAAGGACUCAAAAGAGUAAAACAUUGGAUCAGCAACAACAUCCAUUUGCGUGAAGCACACCACAUGGCAUUCCCUCGUUCCUUUCUCACCCUUUCCAAAUAAACAACCAAAGGGAAAUCUCCUUCUCUUCUCUGUCUCUGUUGCUCGUGACAUGCUUACUCUGAGCAAAAGAAAUACAUGUUUAUUGAUACAUGGUAAAUUUUAGAGGGUAUUAGUUUAGCAAUAGAAGAAUGAAGAUGACGUAACAAAAUAGAACUGCAAUCAAAAUAACCGUCAAUGAAAGAACAUAAAAAUAAAGUUAUACUCCAUGGAUUUCUUCAUCAGGCCAACCCCUGAUUUCAAUCAAAAAUAAACAAUGAUAAUUAUAAUAAAAUAAAACAGAAUAACGGAGAAAACUUUGCUUGUAAAAGCUCAAAUAGAAAGACAGAAAGGCCAAAAAGAGGGGAGAGAAAAAACGGCGUCAACGAAAGAACAAAGCGAAUAACAACUUAUAAACAUUCAUCGUUUGUUCUUUGUUCUUCUGCAACAGAAGUUUAUUAGCAUUCCUUCUCAGUUUUGACGCCCUAAUUUUGGGAUUGCGACGAUGGUUUAUUGAAAACUAGUUUGCUAGUAGCAUUUUAAUAAAAGUACAAUAAGCUCGUAAUAUUCACCAAACACUUCAAAAAUAUUUUACUAUUUAGAAGUGUUUUUUUUAAUCAAAAUCACCGCAACAAAAAAUGGGACCUAAAUCAUUUUUAUUUUAAGUGACCUAAUCCACCUCUAUAAUCUCGUUUUUAUUUAAGAUUUGAAAUUGGGCCUCUAAAACCAAUUCUUGUGUUUGGGCAUUGUAUGUGUUUGCAUGUAUGUAAUAUAAAAAAGGCUUAAGCAAUAUUACAAGGGAUAACUUAAGAUUGAGUAACAAAUUAUAUUUGUAAUCCAAAAACCUCCAAAUUGUCUCCAAUAAUCAAUUGGUCAAAUAUGUAGGGUUUUUUUAAAAUGUGGGUGUGAAAGUACAGUCAUAACCUCAUAUGCGUAAUGUUUUUCAUAAUUUUGAAAGUAAUGUUUUUUACCUCAUGUGGGUUUUUUUUUUUUGUAUUAGGUUGUUAUAUUUUUUCUAGAAAUAAUUUUCUUGUAACCAGGAAAUGAUGAUAUAACUGCAUAUGUAAAUAAUUAUUGAAUUUACAGAAACUAUUUUUACUACAUCAAUUUUUAGUUACUUAUGAUAAUUUAUGCCGUUUAAAUAUUUUUUACAACAAAAAAUAUAAUUUAUAUAUUUGGACACAAAAAAUUAUUAUUAAGAAAAAGAAAGAAAAACAAAAGUGAAAUGCUUUAUGUAAUUUCCAUUUUUCGUGAUUGAGAAUUAUUUAUGAAAAUGAAAUAUACAUACAUAUAUAUAUGUACAUGAUUAGUGUUAUUCAACAGUCCCACUUCACACAUUUGAUUAGAUGCCUAAGUGAUUAUCGUCAGGAUAAAAAUAACAAUUAAAACCACUAACACACCCAUAAAUAUCAUAUUAGUAUAAAAUAAACUCCAAUACAACUUAUGAAAUCUACCACGUGUGUAGCUAGAAGAUAUUAUUUGUAUAACACAGCUUAGACAAAAUUCGAUUGAUAGUGCAUCACAUAAAAUACAUAUAGUUAUAUUGUAAAAACUUAGUAACAAUUUUUUAUCAUAAUAAAGGAAAUUUUAACAUAUAUAUAUAUAUAUACAUAUUUCUCUGUUUGUUACUUCUUAGUGAUUUGUGUUUCAAAUAUCUAUUGAUAUUUUCUUAUGAAAUUUUUUUUACUAUAUGAUUUAUAAUAAGAAACUAAAAUAUUUAUUUAGUAAGAGCAAUUUCUAAUAUUUCAGUUAUUAAAUUUGCAUUUAUACCAUCAUUUUCUGCACGCUACAACAUUCUUGAAUCGAAAAUUAUUACAACACCAUUUCUAAAGGACAAAAUUAUCAAAAUAUUAUGUACCGAGGGCAAUAUCUUUUUAGACUUUUCUUAUAUAGAAAAGUCAACUCAUGUGUUUGAUCAUUUGUUCACAAGGGGCAAUUUGUGAAUUUCGAGAUUAGGGGUAAUUCGAUAUUCACCUCACAUUAGAAGGGUAAUUUGUAAUUAAGUCUACAAUAAACUCAUUUUGGGAGAGAGAAUAUAAUCUCAUCCCAAAAAUUUACCCUUUUUUAUUGUCUUACUCUUUAGUACAAAAAAAAAAACCAAAGUAAAGCAUGAAAGUUUAAUUUUGAUAUUUGAAAGUUUAUUUGAGAUUUUUUGCAAGUUGCAAAUUUUUAUAUUCUUUAUUAUAAGUGUGUUUUGAGCUAAAUUAAGAAGUAUUAUAAAUAGUUUACAGUUUUUUAAAUUUCCAAUUUUUGUCCAAGUUGACGGCUUGAAAACUUACAAAAAUGUACAAAAUCUUGAAAAUUAUAUAUAAACUUAUGUGUGUUGUUUCCAGAUUUCAUUAUUGUAAUAUAUUUCAAUUUAUUUUUGUGAGUAUUUAUAAUUUCAAAUAUUUGAAUAUUUCCUAUCCAAACCUAAGACAAAAGAACUAUCAAACAUCCAUUUGGCCACGUUAUCAACUUUAAAUUUCUGUUAAAUAACUAUAUCGACCAAUUUUACGAAAUUUUAAAAAUAAUAUUUGUGUGUUACAACAAUUAAGAGAUCAUAAGAAGGGGACAAAUUUGGAGUGAAACUAUUUUUUCUUCUUCAAAAUGAGUUUUUAAUGUUGUAUUUUGAAAUGGAUUGCAAACGUUACAGAAACUUAAUGUAUGGGCGACAAAUGAGAUUUUUCAAAAAUUGAAGUACCAAGUGAUAUUGUUAGAACCCUUAAAGAGGUAGAUGAAAUUAUCCCUUUUGCAUUGGGAUUAGACUUGUCACCGGUACAAAAGAGCAGCAGGGCAGAUGCAAUUCCUAGUGAUGCAGCAAUUACAUAAACCAAAAGCCAUGAUAUUUGAUAGUGAAGGUUCCAUAUUACUGCAAAUAGGAUGGGGCUACUGCAGUUGACAUAACUGCAAUUGGUUUGGACCAUCUCUCUUCAGAAAUCAUUCAACCUAGUGCUCAGUGCGUAUCCAAUGUGUGUGCAAUCAAAAAAUACAUAAUGUUUAUGGUCAUAUAUUUUAAAUAAAAUUUUUAUUAUUGGAGCAAACUUUAAUCUUUUAAAUAUUUUUCAUAAAAUAAUAAUAACCGUGCACUCAAAAAAUACAUAAUAUUUAUGGUCAUAUAUUUUAAAUAAAAUUUUAUUACUGGAGCAAACUUUAAUCUUUUAAAUAUUUUCAUAAAUAAUUUUAUAUGUAGUUAUAAUAAUUAGGGAUAGUUAUGUUUAAAAAGUAUGCUUAAAUAGUUAUAGAUAGUUAAAGUAAAAAUAGUUCUUAAAAGGGCAAAAAUGAAAAUUCAUAAAGUGACAAUAAAUAUUAACUUCAAACUCCUUCCUCAACCUUUAUAGAUUGUUAAUUUCCUACGCAAGUCGAGGCAAUUCUAGUAUGCACAUAUUUUUCUGAAUUAGCACCUUAUGUAUCUUUCGGCUUCAACCAAGUUGCGCAUUAUCCUCAGUUCUUCCAGGUGGGAGAAUCAUCAUCUGCAAAUUCCAACCAAGGCAGAUUCUACUUCUUUUUCCCCUUUUAUAAGAAUUUCCGAUGCAAAAAUGGAAUCAACAUAGAUAAAAUACAGAGCAAGGAAAAAAGAGCACCCACAAGUUGAUUUUCCAAUGAUUAUAAUCAGCAGAAGGCAACAGAGGCAUAAAAGCAAGAAAAAAACAUUCCUUGUGAAGCAGGAAGAACUAAUUUUUCUGCCUUGUUGACUUCCAACCACCGCACUGGAUAAAAAAAAAAAAAAAAGAGUGCACCUCCCAAAAUGCUAUUCAGCCAAUAUCAUUCGUAUUUCCAUCUCCAUGAAAGAAAUUAUGCUAGCAAAAUUGCCCGAUGCGCCAUCUCUAAGAGACAGUAAGAGUUACAGCAGCAAUAGUUAGGAAAGCUUCAAAUGUCUUGAUGAGCCCUCCAGUGAGGUUCAAAAGUAAGUGCUAGCAGUAUCACCAAGGAGAUAGAAAAGCAAUACUAGCCAAAUAGCAAGCAAAGUGUAACCAAGACCUAUGCUGAAUGUGCAGUAAAACAGCUCCAGAUAGGAAAUGUAGCCUUGUGGUUGACAUCCCUGGUGGAUUUCACGUAUAAGCCCUGUUCAAACUUGGUAUUGCACUCUUGAAACCUUCACAACCAUCAUCUUCAUUCAACAAGAAGAUUUGGCAGUUAUUUAAGAAAAGGUUCUUUUCCCUGAUGAAGUUGUUUAGGAAAUUUUGAUUUUGAAGAAUUGAGAUUGAUACUGAUGCAUAAGAUGAGAAGGGGUAGGAAAUUUGAGUUUGAAGACUUGAGAUUGAUACUGAUGCAUAAGAUGAGAAAGAGGAAGAUUACAUUCAGAGAGACAAUAAGACACCUGGCUUUGUGCAUGUAGAGGAAUAAUCCCUUGGUGAAGCAACUAUAGGUAGAGGAAAAUAGAAAGAAAGAGAGGGUUCUGCGUGGGAGAGAAAAUUAAUAAGGUUUGGUGUUGAAAGAAUUGAGAAUCCUAGCAAAUUCCCUGUUAUAGGGAACAUGAUUGAAUAAUUAGUAUCAUAACGGAGUCAAUCUGGAUUAGUGAUUAUACUAGGAUCACAUCUGAAAUUGACUCGGGUCAAAUAACUGUAAAAUGCUUCCCAUUUAUAACUAAGAAAAUGUCAUCUUUGGAGCUGGCAAUUCCAAUUACAAGUUUCCAAACAUCACAAAAAGGGGAAAAGGAAGAGAAGUAGAAACAAACAUCUUGCAAUCAGUUGCUCACAUGAAGUUUCAAUAUUCAAUUCAAUUUAAGAAGGUGAGUUAAUAGAAAAAGGCAUCCUGAACAAAAACCAUUGUUUGGCCUAAUCAGUUUUCAAGCUUCUGCACGAAUUAUAUUUCAAGAUCUUUAUAGUGUACCUGAUCAAUAUCAGCAUUCAGGUUGUAAGAAACUAUAGAUUAUGUAACUAAAAUUAAGACUAAAGGAAGAUGAGAUGUGCAGCCUAGUUGGUGCCGGGGAAAUUUUAACCAAGAAGCUAAAAAUCGAAGAAACAAACAAAAAAACAAAUCAAAGAUUGGAUUAAGUUUCACCGCUCCAGCUCAGUCCGCUUGGGUGCAGCAACGGCUAACUGUUUUAAAGGGUAAAAUGGUAAUUUCGACACAAUAAAAAGUUCCCAUCAACUAACCCAUUAGUAGUAACAACAUGAAUUAUAAGUUCUGUCUGCUGAAUUAUCAAAAAAAAAAAAAAAAAAAAAAAGUUCUGUCUGCUGAUUUGUCGUUUUCGUUCUUUUUCUACGUGGGUGGUAAUACGGCAAUACACGUCGUCGUUUGAGUGCUGACGUGUCCCCUCCUUCCCACCCUGGAGUCGGGUCGUUUCGUGAAUAACUAAAUCCGGUAUGAUCCCUCACGCAGCUUUCUUUCUUCAGCUUCCAUUUUCAGAAGAAACACUGAAAUUACUCAAAAACAAUAACGAAAUCCGUAAAAGCUAACCAAAAAAAUCGCAUUUUCAAAAUUUUCACGCUUGCGGGGGAGAAAAGUAAUCGAGAAUCCCUGUCAUUUUCCUCCAAUUUCGAUUACGUAUACGCAUACGCGUACGUAAAUGUACGUGCAUAUCUGUACAGAGACGAUCAUUCGGUAAUUGAAAGGUGUAUUUAUUAUAGUAUAAAUUAUUUUGGAGAAGUGAAAAAUGGCACUGUUGCGGAAAUUGUUUUAUCGGAAGCCGCCCGAUGGACUCCUGGAGAUCUCCGAGCGUGUUUACGGUUUGUUCUGCGAUAUCUAUCAUCGUAUAUUUUGUAAUUCUGGUGUUUUGAGCUGAAUAUUUGUUGCUUGGUUGUAUUGUAUGGAUUGUGUCAAAUUAACUGUACGAGUGUACGUUAAUUUUGAAAUUUUGGUGAUUUGAAGUUCAGUAACGUCGUUGAAAUGUGAACUAAUUUUGAUUGUAUUAAUAAAUACAUACCAUGUUAGGAUUUUUUUUCAAGGAUUAAUGUCGAAUUGGAAGGUAAUGCAUUGGUUGGAGUUGUUUUGAUUAGCAUUACAGCAAUGAAAGUUCAACUGAGAUAGUGGAAUGCAAUUUGAUUUCAUGUUUCUUGAGUAAAUGCAGUUUGCAUUUGUAAGGUUUUUUCUGUUAAAUUUCCAUAAAUGAGUUGUUGAUGACGUCGUCGUGGUCUCGAAGCACUGUGUAAGGAGUUAGUUUGCUGGUUAUAUGGGGAAAGAAGGACUAAUUCCUCUAGGUGUUAGUCAAAAUCAUAGUGGUCGAUGUUAGUCUUUAGGUGGUCUAGAGCCUGUUUCUGAUUAAUGAAAAUCUCUUGGAAACCUUGACAGUGUGUUGCUUUUUGCAAGGUUUUAAAAUGCUAAAGAUGUUGACAGUAGCGCCUCCCUUGCAGCUUCUCCAAAUCAGCUUUCUUAAGCUUCAAAUAACUUAUUCAUUGUCUGCAACUAAGUCAGGCCCUUAGAAUUGGUCCGACUGAGCAAGCGUUAUGCACGUGCAGCAAUGGCAACAGGUGUACAGAAUAAGAUUAGGUGCAUACCUGAAGGACGUUGAUGUCCAUUUCCAUAACUCUCUUGAAAUGUUUUCAAGAUGGUUUUGACAAUGGAAUUCCGAGAACAUGUGCAAAUAGAGACAUUUUAAUUACACGGAACAAAUUUUAACACUCCGAGGAGAGCUGCGUGUACUCAUUUAGUUUUUCUACACAAAGAAGGAAUCUAUAAGGUCUUCUCUUGUUUUGAAAUAAAUAAAUGUUUUUGCAGAAAGUUUCUAUAUGAAGGAAUCGAUGAAGAUGGAAAUUAAAAUAGUCACACGUUGUACUGAUCAUUAUCUGCUUUAUUUCUGUUUUGGUGGAUAUUUUCUUGAAAUAAAUUGUAAGUAGAAAAAACUUGAAUCACCUUCAAUCACUUUUUCCUUGUUUGCUUUUUCUCCUUUUCUCCAUUAGCAUCAAAUUCAUCUACCUGGAGUGUUAAAAUUGUCACAGCUUUUUUAAAUAUAAUUUUUAAGCAUUUCUUCAAAAGAUGCUUUUCAGGAAUUUUUAGGAAUAUAUUUGGCAAGCCAUGUCUGAAAUUAGAGAAUGCUGCUGGAAAUGUGAUCCAUUUUUCUUUUGCAAAGCUGUAGUACUGAUAGAACAUGUAUGUCAUGUCCUUUCAAGACAAGAUGGUAGCAGAAAAUAUUGAGGUGAUCUGUCCUGUUUGGGAGUGUUUUCAAUUGCUUCAUGGGUUACAUUUACCACAACCUUUUAGUGACCAAUCAGUAGCUUAGAAACAUUGAGGCUUUUUUAAGUGAUUCAGGUUGAAUGUCUUAUGGAAGAGUUGUUCCAGUCCUGAUACUUGGGACAAAAAUAUUUUCAGUUUGAGGGAGGUGUGGAAUUGUCAUUUUGCGUAUUUGUGACUUUAUUUUGAUUUUAGUUGGCCAUGAGCUUCGCCAAUUGAAUUCAUGGUGGAUUCUGUGUUGCAUCUUGCAAUGAAAAAUGCUAACAACUGAUUGUUAGGGACCUGUAGCCUUGAUGUCAAGAUGUUUAUCUGCAAGCUGUGAGGCUUUGAAGAAAAUGUUCUUUUGAAAUGGUAUCUAUCAGGAAUAAACUUUGUUCAGAAAAUUUGAGGUGCAUCUGUGCCAGUGGCAGAGGCAGGUCAGGAGGGACUGUCACCCCUCUAACUUCCGAGAGAUUUUAUCAUAAUUUAUACAAUUGUAUAGAAUUUUUUAUUUAGAUACUUAUUUUGCACAAGAAUUUUCUUAAAUUUUCUCUCUCCCUCUUCUGCAAUUAGAUUAGAUUUCUUUCUUCUCUUUAGAUGUAGUUUGAUCAAUGUUUAUAAUUCUUUGUUUGGUGCAUUGCCCGUAGAGGAUCUUUUCUUGUUUUUAUGAUACGCAGCAUUGUACCUGGUGCAAUUCUUGUACUUUUUUUCUCCUUUGGGCCUGUGGAAAAAAUGCUUCAUUUGAUUCCAUCAGUUUUCCUUUGCAACUGCUGUAUUGUAAGAUAACAUGUGUACAGCAUUUCUUUCUCCAAAUCACCCCUCCCUUUGGUGAGAUCCUGGUUCGAGAACCGAUGUUUACUGCUUCUUCUAACAAAGAACUUACAUGUAAAUCUGUAAAAUGUUAAAGAAAAAGAUGAUUACUUGGUUGUUUACAAGUGAUGAACUAUUUCCCUGGUACAAUUAGCUUUGUAAGAGUAUUCAUUGUGAUUGGUCUUCUCUUUGCUGUAAAACAAGAAAGUCCUAAUUUUAUUAUUGAUUAGGACCAACUAUUUCUAAUGUUGUCUCUGUAGUAUUUGAUUGCUGUUUUACAACUGAUGUUUGGGAUGAAGAAAACUACAAAGGCUAUGUAGGAGGCGUCAUUAGUCAACUCCGGGAUCAGUUUCCUGAUGCCUCAAUCUUGGUUUUCAAUUUUCGUGACGCUGAGUGGCAGAGCCGGAUUGCAAAUGCUUUGUCUGAAUAUGAUAUGACCAUAAUGGAUUAUCCUCGUCAGUAUGAGGGUUGCCCAUUACUCCCCAUGGAGGUGAUCCAUCAUUUUUGAGAUCUAGUGAAAGCUGGCUUUCACUUGGGCAAAAUCUGCUUGUAAUGCACUGUGAACGUGGUGGUUGGCCAGUUUUAGCUUUCAUGUUGGCAGCGUUGUUGAUAUAUAGGAAACAAUACAGUGGGGAGCAGAAAACACUGGACAUGGUUUAUAAGCAGGCUCCACGGGAACUGCUUCACUUGCUUGCACCGUUGAAUCCAAUUCCUUCUCAGUUAAGGUACUUGCAGUAUGUUUCAAGGAGGAAUCUAGUAUCACAGUGGCCGCCACUGGAUAGGGCACUUGCUUUGGAUUGUGUCAUUAUCAGAAUGAUACCUAAUUUUGAUGGAGAGGGUGGUUUUCGACCAAUAUUUCGUAUUUACGGUCAGGACCCCUCUCUUGUUGCUGAUCGCUCCAAAGAUUUUAUUCUCAACUCCAAAGAGGAGUAAAGCUGUUAGGCAUUACAAACAGGUAAAUUAUUAUGACUUAUGCCUUGGUUAUACAUUUUUCGAUGUGCAAAUCAUCGCUAUUCUUAGGGAAAUUGUAUGUUGUUCACUUUAUUGGCUCAGAUGUUCAUCAGUUUGGACAGAGUCCAGAGUGUGUCACCUUCGUUUGCAUAUUUUAUGGUGAUUCUGGCAUUCAUUCAUCAGUUUGAACUCAAGAGUCUAGUAGUGAAGGAUCAGUAUUACUGUUGCUCUUGCUGUCCUAAACAAAGAAGUGAGAUGUUUUAAGACUGAGAGUUGGCCGUUUUACUUCAAACACAUCCUUGUGCAAGACAGUGGUUCUUGGAUCACACAGUAUGUCUUCCAGUUUCAGGAGUGAUAACCAACAUUCUCUUUUAGCAUCAUGGUAGUAUUGGGGGAUUUUUUUUUCCUUCCGUUUUUUUUGGGGGGUUGGGGAGGGAUCACUAGACUGGUUUUAGUUUUUUGCUACUUGGACAAGACUUGCUGAAGGCCAUCAGGCCAUCACCUUCUCCAGUUUGGGUUGCAUUCCAAACUCUGCCUGUUGAAAAGUAUUUAAGUCCAGUUGAAACCAAGGAACCUAAGCACAAAUGUUUGACUUGGUGAAACCUAAUUUGUCGAAUUGUUGUAUUUGUUGGGCAGCCACUGGGGCUCUCAUCAACCAAAAUGGUACAAGUUAACAGAAGUUGAAUAAUAUAAGGAUGAGGCAGCUUCUUUGGUCUGUUAGAAUAGACUCUUAGAUGGGCAGAAUGCAACUUCUCAGCUAUUAGAACUAGAGAAGAUAUAAUCUUAAAUGACUUUUGAGACUACAUUUCUCAAUUGCUAUCCUGGACGGUGGCUAGGGUCUUGACAACCAAGUACUUUUUUUUUUUUUUCUUAUCCAUUUUAUUCAGAACUGGCAAUAUACAUGUAUUAUUGCUGAAGCCGUAACCUUUAUUGUACCACUAGAACUUGUCAGUUAAUUUUCUCGAUUUUCCUUUUUUAAAAAUCCAAAGAAGCAUCAAUAUGAAAUAUUGCUAUAGCAAAUAAUUUUGAAAGUAUCAUUGCCUGAAAUACAAGAACAACUUCCUGGAAUAAACAUAUAUCUUCUUAUAUUAUGAGGAGCUGUUUUGUCUUGGGUAAUUUCAAUCUCGAUUUUUGAUAGUUUAAACCUAUAAGUUGGAGGAAUGCCUUUUCUGACUCUUACUUCUGGGAAUUGGAUCUAGAUCCUGGGAAUGUGAGGAUGAAUAGCCAUUAAUAAUAACAUGAAAUGACCAAGCUUUGAGGACGCUAAGGACUUCCUAUGAACUAAGGGUUAACUCUUGAUGUUUUCUUAUUUCAUCUAUAAUGAGUUUAUGUUCACUAAAUUAGUUUACAAAAGCUCUGUAUUGAUUUUGGAUAGUAGAGACCUGAGAUUUACGCUACAACAUAUUUUCUACUUGAACAGGUUAUGUUGUUCCAAUUUUCUAUUUAUACUUUAUAUGUUGUAUUUUGUUGGACUAGGCUUUUGAUCAUAACAUAUGAACAUUAUUGCAUGUUUGUAGGCAGAAUGUGAGUUGGUUAAGAUUGAUAUAAACUGCUGUAUCCAAGGUGAUGUUGUCCUGGAGUGUAUUAGCUUGUACGAUGACAUGCAACGUGAAAAGAUGAUUUUCCGAGCUAUGUUUAACACUGCCUUUAUCAGAUCAAAUAUUUUAAUGCUUAAUCGCGAUGAAAUUGACAUAUUGUGGGAUGCCAAGGAUCUGUUUCCAAAAGAUUUCAGGGCAGAGGUAUGUUACUUUGCUUGUGAUUAAAUGUGGUUUUCUUCAGUAGGAGGCAUCAUCACAUUAAUGACCUUGUAAUGAAGGUCCUUUUCUCGGAGAUGGAUGCAGCAACUUCCGUAGUUCCAGGGAAUAUGUCCUGUUUUGAAGAGAAAGACGGCCUUCCAGUGGAGGCAUUUGCAAAAGUUAAUGAGAUCUUUAGCAGUGUGGAUUGGCUGAUUCCAAAGGCAGAGGCUGCACUCAGUGUGAUUCACCAAGUGGCUGCAUCAAAUGUUGUCCAAGAAAAGUUGGCUGCUGAUGCUCUCCAUACUAUGGGAAGCGGCACAUCCCCAAAAGAAAUGGCAGCUGAAAAGCUUCAGGAGAAAGAAAACUCUGCAGCUUUAGAGGAAAUUGUUAAGAUUUCCACGUACUUGAUGUCCAAGGAGCAGUCUGGCUCCUCUACCGGUUCUCUCUUGGAUGUAGAUGUGAAUAAACACACAGUAGGAUCGCAAUCUGUACAGAGUGGUAUAGUGACUGCAAAAUUGCCACAUCCGGUUGCUCCGUCUGAAUCUUGUAUGAUCACUGCUGAAAAGUCUAGUCUUACAUAUUCACAUGCAGACGUUAUGCCUACAGCUUCACCUCUCUUGCCAGCUUAUCAGCAAAAACAUACUUCAGAAACCACACCUGCAGAAGUAUCAUCCCAAAAUGAACCUUGCAUAUCUCCACAGGAAAUUGGUGAGAAAAAAAUAGUCCCAAUUUUCUCUGCAACUGAGCCUGAACCUCAUACAAUUACUCCUUCAACUAAACCUGUUCCUUCACCUCAACCUCUAAAGGAUGCAAUUAUUGAUUCUCCAUCCCCUCCUCCAUUGCCCCCACACCCUACCACACCUCCUUUGAUGGAUAAAAUAACCAGACCUCCUCCACCUCCACCACUUCCCAUUGUUUCAUCUAUAUCAGCAGAAGUAGCUAGUAGUAGGGCUCCCCCACCACCACCCCCACCGCCAACUACUUCUUUGAAUGAAAAUGCAACUAGCAGUACUGGAACAUGCCAAGUAGCUUCUCUAUCCCAUCAGGUUUCAACUGAUUCUUCUUUUGUUACUUCACCCAGAAGAACUGGACCACCACCUCCCCCACCAACCCCUCUACUCCCACUGCCUUUUACUGCAUCAACCAUAGCAGAAAAAGCAACUAAUAGCAGGGCUUCUUCACCACCACCUCCUCCACCAUCACCACCUAUAAAUGCUACAUUGAUUGUACAUGCAACUAGUGCUACCAAAGCAGCGCCACUACUUCCUCCACUGCCUCAGCUUUCGACUGCUUCUUUUCCAGAGACUUUGCCUAGAAGAACUGGGCCACCCUCACCACCUUCUGCACCUGAUACUGCUGCUUCUUUAACAGAAAGUGGGGUUGGUAGAACUGGGCCACCUCCCCCUCCUCCUCCUCCAGCAACACCCUCAUCUUCUAGAGAUGGAAUGCCUCAAGUUCCAUCCCUCCAACUCCACCUCCUCCUCCAGCCCCUCCCUUGAAGGAGAUUUCAACUCCUAUAGGUGGCCCACCUCCACCACCACCUCCUCCAGCAAUGCCCUCAUCUUCUAGAGAUGGAAUGCCUCAAGUUCCAUCCCCUCCAACUCCACCUCCUCCUCCUCCAGUCCCUCCCUUGAAGGAGAUUUCAACUCCUAUAGGUGGCCCACCUCCACCACCACCUCCUCCUUUAGUCUCUGGCCUUCUGCAGGACAUACAAAUUUAUCAGUGAGGCCCCCACCACCCCCUCCUCCGACGAUGGCUGCCUCAGCCAAGGAUAGCUCCUCUUUGAUUCCAUCAGCGCCUCCUCCUCCGCUCCCUUCUAAUGGGAAUCUUAAAGGAGGUUUUGGGCCAACUCAUUCUGUUUCAACGGCUACUGGUAGCAGUGGUAGUUUGUCACCAUCUCCUCCUCCUCCUUCUGCUCCUCUGCCUGGUAAAGGAAGAAACUUAUUAUCACGUACCAUACCAUCAAAAAGCAAUCAGACCAAAAAAUUGAAGCCUCUGCAUUGGCUGAAAUUAACAAGAGCUGUGCAAGGUAGCUUGUGGGCUGAGUCACAGAAAUCUGGUGACACUGCCAAGUAUGUUGCAGUUUGCACAAAUGACAUGGGAAGUGAUUCGUUGAUUUUGUAUUUCUGGGCCUUCAAUUUUGUAAUCUUUUGUGUGUGUUGAUUAGGGCUCCAGCGAUUGAUAUUUCCGAACUUGAAUCACUCUUCUCAGCUGCAGUUCCAAGCUCAGACCAAGGGGCAGGAAAGCAAAUUCGCGGGCAUCACUGGGGCAAAAACCAGAGAAAGUGCAACUGGUAUUUAUCUUCUCUUUGAGGUUAAGUGUGUUUUCUCAUAAUUUUUUACCGCUUGUCUCAGGCUAUUGCCAUACAUUACUGUGUUGUGGUCAUGUCUAGGAAUUCAGAUAAGCUCUGGUGUAAUGUGCACUUUUAAAAAUGGUAUAAAUUUAAUGUGUUUUGAUUGCCCAUGACAUACUGGAUACAUUCCUAAAUUUUCAAAGGUAACUCAUUUACAGAACAGCUCCAACAUACACUCAAGGGCAAUCGGCUGUGGACAUGUUUCCAUCAAUUUGUUAAAUCGUAAAGCUUGAGUAAUUGGAACUUUUGGCUUUUUAAUCUUAAAGAUACUUCCAUUGCUGGCAGUGCAUUGUGUCCAUAUACCUAUUCAAUUGUGGCAUUUAAUAUUGUAGUCGUCCAGGAGAUGGCAGAAAGUAAUACCUUUCUGCGGUCCUUAAGGUAGGCUGGAAGAAUCAGUAAAAAGCACUGCUGACAUAACACGCUUCUGUGGAGAAAAGAUACUAAGUUAUUGAAUUCUUGGCACUUGGUAAUAUAAAAGGAGUUUAUGAAUUUCUAAUUUUGCAGAUUGAUCAUAGGCGUGCAUAUAAUUGUGAGAUCAUGCUGUCAAAGAUAAAGAUACCAUUGCCCGACUUAUUGGUAAGUUUCCUGUGGUAUUGUUACUUCUCAGAAUGGUUCUGUCUAAGAUUUUCACUUACUCUGGAACUUUAUGAUAUUUUUACCCUUAAGAGGAUUUACUUUUACACCAAUAUUUUGGAUUUUAUAUAGCUUUAGGUCCAUGAUAGUUCUUUUUUUUUUUUUUUUUGGUGUUCAGUGAUAAAUAAUAAAAAAUUGAUUGAUGCGAAGAUAUCUGAUAGCCUAGCUAUUGUAGUUUCUGCAUUGUUAUCUUAUAUAGCUUCCCUUGUGAAAACAUUCGUUACCAAUAGUCUUGCUGUCUAGUUUGCUACAUCUUGCAUUUUUGCAGGAAAGCAUGGCCAAUGGGUUUGAACUAUAUGCUGGCCUUUAUUUUUGCAUUACUAAGAAAGUAAAUUUUUUUUAUACAUAAAUGGCAUCUUUUAUUGAUAGGCAAAGAAUGUACACAAGCAUUCUAACAAAGUCAAAUUUAUUAGACCCAUUUUAUCGAAUGAAGUUUAUGAUAUUGUUAGGACUUAUUCUCAAGAAUUUGUGACUUGGUAAAAUGGUGUUGAUACAAAUAUUUGGUUUUACUCAAGUGAUGAUAUUACAUCUUUAAGUCUUCAUUCCUGAGGGAUUCUCAAGAUUUAGUGAGUUGUCUUACUUAUUUGUAUCUGUACCUUGCUUACAACCGCUUCUCUACCUAAGUGCUAGCAAGACACUUCAAGCAUGCUGUGUCCAUCUUGGGUAGUCUUACAUCUGCCUUUUCUGUUUAAACAUAUUCACAUAAGAACUAGUUUAGGCCUUAAAAGUCUUAUAACAAAUUAUCGUCCUCCUCUCUGUUUUAUUUUCUUCCUUUGCCUUUACUACCAGACCUCUCCUCUCUCAGAUUCAGUUGCACUCUUUUCCAAAAUUGUUUUGUUAAUUAUGUUUCUGAAAAUUAUAUCAUAAAAUAUUGAAUUACCUACAGAGUUCAGUGCUUGCCUUGGAAGAUUCAGCACUGGAUGACGAUCAGGUUGAAAACCUGAUAAAAUUUUGCCCAACAAAAGAGGAAAUGGAACUGCUAAAGGUAAUACUCAUGUUAGCUUAUUAUGAUAUCUGUUUUCUCUGGGAGUUUACAGAGUGUGGGAGCUGUACCCAGGUGAAAAUGACUAGUACAGAUUAAGUCAUCUUUCUACUCUUCCUUGUCUAACAUGUAAGUAUUUUUCCAUUUAAUUUUUUUCAGGGUUAUAAAGGAGAGAAAGAUAAGUUAGGAAAAUGUGAACAGGUUUCUUUAAUUUUGGUUAUCCACUUUAAAUUAUUUUCUUUCUAUCAAGACGGAAUAAAUUUGCCGUUCUGUUUGGCCAGCUCAACUGAGUUAAAAAUGGUAUUAUUUGCGUUCUUUUCAGUUCUUCUUGGAGUUGAUGCAAGUACCACGAAUAGAAUCUAAGCUCAGAGUUUUCUCUUUUAAGAUUCAGUUCCACUCCCAGGUUUGGAAACAAUACAUAUGUUGAUUUGGCCUUUACAAUUAAUGGGCUUGUGUCUUAUAACUUUAUGCUUUGUCUUGUCAUUUACAGGUUUCUGAGCUACAGAAGAAUCUAAAUAUUGUAAAUUCAGCAGCUGAUCAGGCAAUAUUUUGCACAUGCUGAUUAUGUCUCUUUAUUCAGUUGUUCAGUUGCAAUCAAUAUCUUAUUCAUAUAUCUUAAACUAUAUUCAUCAGAUCAGGAGUUCAGUCAAAUUGAAGAGAAUCAUGCAAACAAUUCUUUCAUUGGGAAAUGCAUUGAACCAGGGAACUGCAAGGGGUAUGUACUUCAUAGUUGGUCAGAGAAGGAUUUCAUUUAUCUUUUCCAGUGGCGGAUUCACACUAGGGGCACAUGCCCCCACUGCCUCCUUGAAAAUUGUAUAACUAUAGUAUUCAUGAUAUUUGAUUUUUGCCACCACUAGGUUAUUGUUAAGUGAAAAUUAACAUAUAAUAGUUUGGUAACUUAAUGGAAAUGGUAGGUAGAAAUCCAAGAACCUCUUGCUUCAAUUAUCUAGUUUCCUUGUAACUUCUUGUACUUUGUUAAUUAUAAGAUAAAAAAGUUGUAUGGACUUUCAAUAAAACAAAAAUCUUAAUUUGCCUAGAAGUAGUUGAGUUAUUUGUUUUGCCUCCUGAUCUCCUUUUAACCCAUAAAAAGCAAGUGUUAUUUAUUUUCUUUCCAACUCUUCUCCUUUGAUCACCUCCUUUGUCCCGCCUUCAUCCCAACAAACACAAAACGUUGAAAACUUAUCUCAAGCAAUUGUAAUAGGUUAUAUGUAAUUUAUGAAGGAAAACAAUUAUUCUAUUAGUGAAUUCCAAUGUGUCAUUUUAUGUUAUAUUACUCAUACAAUUUUUGUAACUUUUCUUUUGGAGAUAGUUGUAUUAUUUUUACUUAUUAUGUGAAUAUUUUUGUCAUUCUUAUUUUUAGGGAAAAAGAACAAUAAACAUCUUCUAUGUUGUCUUUGUCCCACUGAAACUUAUGCUUGGCUCCACCACUUCUUCUUUAUCAUGAAAUCUAAGUACAUAUAAAUAGAGGAUCGAGGAUUUCUGCCAGUGCAAGAUAUUGACCUCCAAUCAAUUGUUGUAUAUUUGUAUUUUCGCAUAAGUGAUUAUGUCUUAGGUUACAACCUCUACCCUUUACUUGUAUGUAGUUUUCAUGUUUUCUUUUGGUAGCUUUCCUUUUUUUUGACGUUGUAGUGCCUCUUAAGGAAAAGUAUUUUGUGCAAAGAUCAACCAAAAUUAUCAUAAUUUCUGCUGUUGGCUAUGCUUUCAAGAAAUUCGUGAUGUAAUUGAUUGAAUGCCUCUCAAGUCCAGCCACACAGGUCUUCUCAGGGCAUUCUUUAAAUUUUUGGCUCAUGUUCAUUAGAUCACAUAAUCUUUUUUUGCCUCUAAGACCUGUAAUCACCUGAUAUGUGGAUUUGAAUUUUAAUUCAAUUGUACAUUUUACUAAGCACUUGUUGUAUGAGUUUGUUCUUGUACAGUUAUUUUUAUAAACAGCAGAUGCAGCUCAAUUUCACAGCUGAAAGUGCUUCGAAGGCCAAGGAAAAUAUUUGUAGUUUAAAAUAUUGCUUAUGGUAACUAAUUGAAUUUUAAUCGUAAGAAAGCUGUACAUGGAUUCUUGAAUAUUUCAAUAUUUAAUUUCCACUGUCUUCUUUUAUUGGCUCCUUAUAUUCUCAUUUUCAUCUCAUGAAACAUUGCUUAUGAGUUUUGGAUGUUAAUGCUUUUUUCUUUCUGGCAUCAUGAGUUUGCUGUCUGAUUACCUUGAUGCUUUUGUGAUAGGCUCUGCAGUCGGGUUCAGAUUAGACAGCCUUCUUAAACUUACCGAUACACGCGCUCGAAAUAACAAGAUGACACUAAUGCAUUACCUUUGCAAGGUGCAGAUCACGAUUUCAUGACUAGUCUCUAAUGCUUAUGGUAUUGGUAUAUGUAUAUGCAUGUUGUGCUUUUUGAGCACUUCUGCUGUGCAUUUGUGUUGCCAAUACGUGAAUGUAUUGUAUUAAUUUGAAUGGUGCCUACGGUGAAGAUCUCGUGUAUCCGUUUAAAAUGUUUAUUUCAAGAAAUUUGAGAUUUCAUCAUUGUUUCGUUGCUGGAGAUAAUGACUCAUGCUUUAUUGCUGUUUAUGCAAAUGCUUACCUCUUUGAUGGAGAAACUCAAAAAGUUACAUUCUUUGCCCUCUUGUUGGUGUGGUUUUUCCUCAUCACUACCUUGCAGUCCAACCUUUUGCAAUUUCCACAAAGGACAGUCUGUUGCCAUUGGAGUUUGUGCAAUCCCUGUUGAUUAGUUGUAUUCUUUAUGUUUCUGUGACCACCUGCUUGUCUCUAACGUUGUGCUAUUAGACCAAUGUUGUCUAGAGUAUCUGAGACAGCCCUUGCUUGAGCCAGUGGUUGUCCAUAUGAUAAUACAUAUUUUCUAAAUAUUUGACUGCUAUUCUCCACUGUAAUUAUUUUUUAAUUAAAUUUUCACAUGCUAAGCAUCACGAGUUUAUCCUGUUUACUGUGAUGUAUUGAUAUCAAUUAACCUUCAAACUGCUUUCUGUAAUACCUGCAUACAAACACUGCAGCCAUUGUGCAAUGUAGUAGCUAAUCUUAGGAAAUCACAGGUCCAUGCUGCAGCAAUGUUAUGACCGUAAAGCCAAGCCUAACCUUUGGUUUGUCAAGUAAACACAAUUGUUAUUUUAUUUGUCAAACUUAUUCAUCAUUUGACGAUGACUUUUUGUUUUUCCUUCUGAACUUCGUCUGUGUCUGUUACUACAAAUUACUAGUUGUUUGCUUUAAAGUUACUGAUGCUGUUGACUUUUGAGCUCUGACCAAUAAAAUUUUCAUUGACAUUUUUCUUGUUCAUUGUUUGAUUACAAUUUUUUGUUAAAUAUUUCAUUAGGUGCUUGCUGAUAAACUGCCAGAACUUCUGGAUUUUUCCAAAGAUCUAUCUAGCUUGGAACCUGCUUCAAAGGUAUACAUUUAUUGUAGUAAUAAUAAUUACCCAACCAGCAUAGGUGGUGUCUGCUGAUUGGACUUUUCAGUUUCAUUUAGAAUCUGUUAUUGAGUUAUAUAUGGUAUCCAGGUCCAAUUGAAAAUUUUGGCAGAGGAGAUGCAAGCUAUUAGCAAAGGACUUGAAAAGGUCAUACAGGAGUUGUCCAUGUCUGAAAAUGAUGGGACUGUGUCUGAAAAUUUUUGCAAGGUAUCAUUUGAGCUCCUAUUUACAUACAAAUUCUCAACAUUCUUUUCGGAUCACAAAAAUUUGCUUCAACUGCCCACUGCUUUAUCACACGUCUUUGAAGUCCUGGAAAUAGCUUAAUGUUGUGUACACUGUUGAGCAUAUCCAACUACAACUGGCAAACUUGUUAGGCCAGUUCUUCUCUCCUGUGCUACUGUUGAGUCACAGUAAGCAUCAAAAGCUUUGCUGUUAUUGGUGACUGCAAAAUAAUUUAAGUUGAUUUUGCAUAUGCAAGGAAUAGACAAAUCUUAGAUAAGAAAUAGGAAUGUUUGUAUCUGAUAAUUAAGCAUCUCUAAGGUGGAAGGCUGGACUCAAUUUAGCAUUUAAACGGAAGAGGUCUAUUGACAUCUCCUCUUUUAUUGGUGCCAUGGAAAAGAAUAAAACAUGUCAAUUUAAAUUAAUUGUGCACUCCAUUACGUCACCUCUGCUGAGUUUUGAUGUUGUGAGAGUUGAUCCCAAUAUUCUUGACCAUUUCCUUGAAAAUGUUUUGUCUUCAGUCAGUGUUGCGCAGACAAUCAGCUGUCUUCUAGGAUGGAAAUUGUGGUUUAUCACGAUUUCACCUGUUGAGACAUUCACUAGAUAACAUAUGCUAGCACAUAUACAACUGGUAUACGUUAGCCUUCUAAGUCUUGAAGUUUACCUCCGAGUCUAGUAUUGUGACUUUCCAGUUGGUAUUUGUUCAAGUGGAUCAUUUGAGUUGUACUCAUCCAUUUAUUGCAUGUUUAAACUGAUCUGAGAGCUUGUGCCAUCCCUUCCUUUUGUUUUGACUUGGCAUUGACAUUAAUCUUUUUCAUUCCUUUUCCUGGCUAUGGAAUAAUUAAUGAUACUCUGGCAAAAUGAAAUAGUUUAUUCAACAAGAGGUUUCUAAUUUGUAACUUAGUUUCUUUAAUUUGGAAAUCUUUAAGGAUGUUCUCAAUGAUUAUGUAGGCCUUCACAAAUAAGAUUGGAGACUGUUUGUUUUGGAGUUAUGGAUUAGUAUUUAUCUAAUUCAAUGUCUAAGAAGGAGAGAGUGCAUGGACUUCAUUUAGCUUAACAGCAGAAGAAAACAGCCCAAUGUUUGAGGACCAAAAGAAGCAUAGAACUAAAGUUUCUUGAAUGUACUGUGGAUUAUAAAGAAAGAAUAGGAAAAGGUGCUGAUGAGGAGUGGGGGAACUUUCCAUAAUAAUAAGAAUUUAUCCUGGAAAGUGGGUAGGCUAAUGACCUGGAUGAAGAGAGGAUUAUUUUCCAUAAUAAAGAUAAGAAUAGUAUCCUGGAGUACGGGAAGGCAAAUGACCUGGAUGGAUUUUUUAAACCUUGGCUUCAUCCUGGAAACCUUGUCUUAUCUGGUUACAGAAAACAAAAAAUCAAACAUGUAUUAAAUGUGAUUUGAGCCUUUGGAUUGCUGGCAGAUUCAGGUUGUAUAUUCCCCACUUAGUAGUUUUCUUGGGCUGAGUGUGGAGGUUGUGGGUAGGGGUUUAGUGUCGCAGUUAAUAACUCCUAUUUUGUCUAACAAUAUAGCUGGGUGUUGUCAGGGGUUUCCUACAUAAUUGCAUGAAAAAAUUUCAAAUAAUGAUGGAAUUAAGCUUUGGGAAUGGAUGAAGGAGGUGAAAAGUGAUUGUGUUUCUUUCCUUGGGUUAUAUAGGCUAACUGGGCAAUUACUGGAGACGAGAUGCUGCCUCAGCUUUUGGGAUAUGGGGACUUCGAUAGUUUAUAAACGAGAAGCAGUUAGGACUUACCUUAAUUGAUGAACUCUUUUCCUUGGCGGGUUGGGCUGUUGAUUUACCUGAAUGUGAAAUACUGUCCAUCGUCAAGUUUGGUACUUCAUAAAUACCUUGGACUAGCCUUGCUUGUAAACUACAGGGAUCCACAAUUGAGAGGUCAGAGAAAAACCUAGCAUGUCCGAAAAGGAUUGUUUAGUGAAAGGUGGCAAAGCUACUAGGGUAAGAAUUCCAUAAAGCAAAGUGAAGCAUUUCCUAUGCAUCCCACAGUGUUGCAAAGUAUUUUGAAUCCCAAUAAAAGCACCUAUUGGAGUGGGAGUGCGAGGUACUAGAGAUCCUCUGACUUUUCAUUGUCAAGUGGUGGAUGCUGAGACUCCGUAUGAAGAAAUGCCUCUUUGAAGGAUUGUAAUGGAGGUAACUACUAGAACAACUACUAAUGUGGAGGUUUGCAUUUAUUUCAAAUAGCGUUAGCAAUUGCCUAUUUGGACAGGUUACGAGAUGAGGGGGAAAAUGUAAUUUGUUUGAGAGAAGGCACUGGGGUGAAACUCUGUAUUGAGAGUUGUGUGGCAGGAGAAAUUCGGAUGAGUUUUUCCAACCUCUUUCUAAUUGCUCUUACAGAAGCUAGUAUUGCUAUAAUAAUCAUCAGGAAGGAGGUGGGGGUGGGGGGAGGGGGAAUAUUUGAGAUCCACAUUUUAGGCAUGUUUAUACUAUUGGGAAGUAGAAUCUGACCAGGAUCAUUAUUGUAGACCUGUAUGUUUAUCUGGUUGGAAGAGGAUGUGAUAAAUGCAGACCAACCAAAAGCCCAGGAUUUUAACACUAAAAUCUUUGCAUGAGAGGUUAGCAGCAAUAGGGCUGAAAGCUUUCCUUUAAAAACUGACUUUGGGGUAGCAAGGGCCUUCUUUUCUCUUAUCAUGGAAUGGUGGUUUGUAUAUCAAUCCUCCAGUUUCCCUUGCUUCCUCAUUCCAUCCCUUCCCUUUGACAGAAAUACUCAAAAACAAAUUGUGAAACAAAAAAGGACCAAGGCACCAAAGAAAGUUCCUUUUAUCACUUGGUCUGCAACAUAAAAUGCUAUCCAAAGUGCACAAAUCUUUAAAAAAAAAAAAAAGAACUAGUUCCAUUUAUUGGUGUCUCGUGUGGUAGAAAAAUGGGAAGACUCUAAUCUGCUUUUGCAUUGCUUAAUAGUCAUCAUUGGAAAAAUAUAUGGACAACCUGGAGGUUAGAAGGAAGAGCUUAGGAGACAUUCAGGGGUGGCAAGUGGCAGAUUAGCACUUUGGAACCAUAUUUAUUGAGCAUAUGGAACUUUUGGAGACGAGAAAAAUCUCUUUAGGCAAAUCAAGAUUACCGUGGUACUUCACUUAUUUUUUUGGUAGGUGGCCAUUACAGCUUGUAUUGAUACCUUGGAAGGAUUGUUAGACGGCACUUUAUCUGUUGCACAUUAUUUUUAGGUUAUGUUUGCCCCUUUGUCUUCCAUUCUGAUAUCUGUUUUCAUUUUGUUUUUCUUUUCAUAUCUUUGUCUGCUCAUUUCAUUACUUGUAUGGGCUUCCACUAUCAGGCCUUGAAAGAGUUCCUCUCUUUUGCUGAAGGAGAAGUGAGAUCCUUGGCUUCACUCUAUUCUGGGGUGGUAUGUCUCGUCUAGCAUCCUAAAUUUUGCUGCAGUAAUCUUUUCUAAGGUGGGCAUGAUGUUAACUUGUUCUUGUGCCUCUUUCUAUUACUUGAAUCUUUGCAGGGCAGAAAUGUUGAUGCGUUGAUUCUGUACUUUGGAGAAGAUCCAUCUCGUUGCCCAUUUGAACAAGGUGUUUGAGAUUACUUUACUAUGUAUUACUAGUUUGGUUUUAGGUCUGGAAGAUGUGGUGACUUCAGCUCUCAUAAUUUCUACAGUGUGGUUGCAUCUUUAGGAUGGCUUCCGUGGAUUUCAGGCAAAGUGUUUGGGAAUGCUUUUUAUCUUUAAGUUUGGUAAUCGGACUUAGGGGUUUUAUUACCAUACAGAUUAGAGAAACUUUCAAAGAAAAGAAACCACUGGAACCAGAGAAAGUGGAUUUAAGUUGAUGAAGUUUUGAAAUUUUAAGGUAGAAUGAGUAGAAACAUCAGUCAAUCCCCACUAAUUAGUCUUAAAAACAUCUCUGGCAGUUCUUAUUCUGCUGCUUUCCUUCUUUUCACAAUGUUACAUAUUACAUGGGCUUAAUAAUACUCUGAAUUUUGCAGUUAUUUCAACCAUUCUCAACUUUAUGAGAAUGUUCAAUCGAGCCCAUGAGGAAAAUUGCAAGCAGCUUGAGUUUGAGCGAAAGAAAGCAGAAAAGGAAGCUGCAGCUGAAAAACUUCAGUUAGAUGGUCGAGGAAAAGGAGCUGAGCACAUGAUACAUUCUCCAAUUAAGAGUUAGGUAAUCAUACAUUGGACCUUCCACUUCCACUUCCAUUCCACGUUAAGACUAUACAAUCUAGCCUAUGAUGCUUUAACGCUACAAGCUGUACCAGUCCAUUAGGCUGCUUAAGUCUCAACAUCGAAUCGUGGUGGUUAGUAGGGAAGCAAUGUGCAUUAUACCAGUCCUAGGUUUGUAGAUAGCAUGUUCUGACAGCGUUUAGAAUUUGAUAAGAGUAGGCGUGAAUCCUUAUCUUCCUAAUGGCGACUUCAGUUUCUCUGACUCCAGUGUAUUAUAUAUGAAUCCUUUUCAGCAGAAUCUGGAAAUUUACGACCUGUUUGUAGUAGGUGGGUCGUGAAUAAGUGUUUCUAGCAAAAUAAACAGAAGCCAAGAAAGAUUUCGGUAAAAAAAAAAAAAGUGGUCUGCAUUUCCUUUGUAUUAAUUAGUUAUUUCUGGUAAAUCUUUAGAUUGUUUCAGCUAAAUUAUUUGCCAAUUAUGUAUAUAUGUAGCAACUUUUAGCAGCCGUCAAGAAGAGCAACAUGUUUCCAGGUGAUUUUUUAUUCAACUGCGUGUGUUUGUUUCAGGUUCAUUUCUCUUUCGAAGUAAGGAACAUUACGUCUUCUCAUCUCUUCUUCCCUCCAUGAAUCACAAAUUAUACCAAAAACUGUCCCACACCUCCACGAUAAGAUAAGCUCUUCCUUAAAGUGAACGCAGAAUUAGCUGUGAAUUAAAGAAAGAACAAAUAAUUUAGCUCUGAAAUCUAUUAAAGUCAAUGACCCAAGAACAACAAUUACAACCAAUAGAGCAACAGCCAAACUACCCAACAAACAUCAACCCCCAAUGAGCCAAAUCAAGGCAAGAUUUUCCUUUGUUAUACCAAUGCAAACUUGAGGGAAGGGCAGAGGGAGGUUCAAAUCGCUCCCACUACUCUACUGCAGAAGGCUUCAGAAGUACUGGUGUACUGCUAGUGGUGGAUUCAAAAUCUACCUCGCUUUUGGGCUUCACCAUAAGGACAAGUCUAUGUCUAUCUCAAUUCCUAGGCUGGAAAUUCUGAUAAACCUUGCACCCGUUCCACCGUAGCAUAUUUUUGAGUCCUUGAUCUUUGUUACCGUAAUCACAAUUAUUAUUGAUGUUUUAGCUAGAGCAACGGCAUCCCCACACACCCCUUAUUUGAUAUCAAUUCACCCUCAUCACUUUAAUUUUAAUCACAUUCUCGGCCAAGCUAAUCAGCCUAAUUUUUGUUUGUAUGUAUCCGGAGCUAAGUAGAACCGUAUAAUAAUAUCAUCAUUUCUUUUUACUAAAUAGUUCAAUUUGAUUGUGAUCCAUUACUCGGAUCUUCUGUGAAUGAGCUUGCUUGCUUUCUAGGUUGGCUAAUUCAUUUUCUUCCCCUAAAGCUAAAAGGAUUGCAGAUUUCUUUUUCUUUAUUGAUUUUUUUAUAGGAUUAGGUCAAUGUAAUGUGGUAUUAGCACAGAAAACACGGUACUGCCUCAAGAUCCAAAAACCAUCCUAUGCUGUGCAGUCGUCCAUGAACGGCGUAAUAUGUCUUGUCGCAAAUCACGUGCCGUUAACGGUAUGCUUGUGGGGUCUUUUGGUUCACAGAAAUUGAGAAAUGAUUCCUCUUCAGUCCUUUGUCCAGCAACAAAAGCUACUCCGCUGAGUUAACGGGCACAAACUGCAAUCCCAAUAGGUUUAAAAUUUCCAAGUGAGCAAGUCCAAGAAUUUCUCCUAUUCUAAUUUGUAUAUUCAUCAAAAUUCAAGGGGUCAUUAUUGCUAGUACCAUGCUUUGAAUAUAGGGAUAAUUUCACAAACCUCCCCUAAGGUUUAUAAAAAUUUCAGGUAGUACUCUCCAAGUUUAAAAAAUUACACAUAUCCCCUCAUUGUCUAAAAUGACAAAAAUAACCUUCAUCCAAUGUUGAAUUUAAAGUCUCCAUGAAGAGAACUAAUGUAUUGUAAAUUAAAUUUAGUAAAUCAUUUGAAAAAAGUAAAAAAUGAAAAAAGAAGAACAAGAGUGAUAAACUUCUAUCUCGUCAUAGACACCCACAAAACCUAAACCCAAUUUUACUCCAUAUAGUAGUGAUUUUAGAGUAAAUAAAAACGUUAGUUUCCUCCACAUAUAGAUUAUUAUUGAAUUAGUUUUGUUGGGCAAGUAAGUAUUAACAUUUUUUUUGUGGACAGGAACAAAUUUACUAAAGAACUUUAUAAAAAUAUGUGAGUAAUGUUUUGAAUUUAACGUUACUGAGGAAUUUUGUUUUUCUGAAGGAUAAUCAUCUAAGGGCGUUUUAGGAUUUUUAAUGGGGAUUUUUUGCUUACAUCAGCAAAGUGAGCUUCAAAGUAUUUUCUAAGGGAGUUUUUUGUAAUUAUUUAAACCUAAGGGGUGCUAUUUGCAAUUAUCAUAAAUCUCAAGGGAGGUUUGUGAAAUUAUCCCUUGAAUACAAUGGUCAAAAUGCCUUUUAUGUGUGUGUAUAUAUAUAUCUCUUUGGCUGUUAAGAAUAACUCAAUUCUUCAUUGACCCCAAAAUGAAACCGAAGGUCUUGGAUGGGUUAUCCCUAGCCGAAUCUCUUAACAAAUUUUUCUACAUUAUUCCCCCAUCGUGUUCUCUUGUAUUGUACAAAUAUUUUGUCUAUCUAGUGGUGACGUUUUCCAUUUUGCAUGCAGGCAAUUGCAGUGGAGAAAACUUGUGUCGGUCGCAGUAGUGUUGACAGACGACAUAAAAGAAUUGAGUAAAGGCUUCAAAGGAGGCAAAUUUUUGUCGGAAUCCAAUGUCUUAGCCAUGAUUUGACAUCACAUAUUCACCGACACGAGAAAGUUCCAGUGAAUUACCACAUUUGUCAUCAAUCUGAUGCAUUAAAAGAAUUAAAAUAUGACAUACAUACAGAUUAUUAGUAUAUACAGUACACCUGUCUAGAAAAAAUUAAUCCGUAUAAAUAACUUUUUGCAUGCAUUAUUUGUCAAUACUAGUUGUAUUUAUUCUACUCAUAUAAAUUACGUAUAAUACUAAAUCAUCCCAGGUGUUCAAUUAAGUUUUGUCAUAAUUUACAUCUAUCAUAGGGGAAAAAAAAGAUUUAUAAUAUGCGCUGAUUGAAAUAGGACCGGCCCUGGUUGGGCCGCACUAUAAAUGAAUGUGACUUGGGAAAAUAAAUAUUUAAGUGAACAGUUUACUUGUCAGAAUUGGAUUCAUUUGUCUUCAUCAGAUAUGGAUCGGGGCUGGAACGGUUGCUCGGAAGGUGUAACACCAUUUACACACGAUGUAAUAUUAUCUGUACAAGGUGUAAUAAUAGAAUAAUAGCGAGUAACACUAGAACAACAUUUUUAUGGGUCCCACACGGCGUGAAAAUCGAGUUACAAGGAGUGAUCUGAGCCGCACAAAUUUUUUUGACCUAAUCAUGGCCGUGAACCUUCCGAAACGGUUGUCAGACCGUUCCAGCCCCUCCUCCAUCAAAUAUCUACACUUACAUAAGGGUCUUGUUGAUCCCCAAGUUAAACGGAUGAAAACACACAAAAUAUACUUCCUCUGCCCUGCCCAUAAAGAUUAGUUCAUCACUCACCUCAAGUGAAAUACCAUUUUGCUUGUGAUAUAAUUCUCCAUCUUCAAUUGCAUUAAGAGUAGUUUAUGGGGUGAUCUUAAAUUUUUUUUUUCUAAAAUAAUGAUGCUGAUUCUCAUGCUUCAUGAAGAUUCUCAAGAAUACUACAAUAUGGGUUCUUUUUAUGAAUGUUUUUAGCAAAUUAGGUGUGAGUGACACUCACGUUUUCUCUUCACUAAAUUAGUAUAUUCUCUUGCUAGUUUCCAGGGGGUGGGUGUAGGGGAGAAGAAUCUCUUGCAGCUGAUAGCAAGGAAAAAAAAAGGUUUAAACAAAAUAAUUGUGAACUUAAAAAAAAAUGUUUAGCCUAAUUAGACCAUGAUUAACCGGAAAAAAUAUAUAUAGAAAGGGAUGGUUUCCUCUUGUAUCUCGAGUAAAGAUUAUCUGUUUUAAGUUUCAUUGAAUGCAUCUUUUUGGCCAUCUUCAACGGUAUUGCACGCGUAAAGAUUAUCUGUUAGCACGUUAUAAAGUUUACCCAAACCUUGAAAUGUCACACAAGCUUAUUAGCAAUAAUAAUUGAUACUUUAGUUAAAUAACCUCAAUAAUUAUUAGCCAUAGUAAAACAAUGCCAUUUUUACCUGAAGUAGGACCCCAUUCAUCCCAUGAUUAAACUACCUUUUUCCCCUGUAAGGAACAUGAUUAAACAGCUACCACAGCUGUAAUUGAUUUUUCACCAAUCAAAUAAUUAUGUGUAUAGCCCAUUAUUACCACCCACAACAUUAAUUCAAGGAUUUAGCCCGAGAGAGAGAGAGAGAGAGAGAGAGAGAGAGAGAGAUCAAUACAAGUACAACGGCCCAAUUAUUCAUGGUCUCAUAGGACCUUACGAUUGAUGGCCAGCGGCUCAAUCAAACACUCGACUCGGACUCAGGUUGACCGAAUUCGAGUUACUCGACAAAGAAAAUAAGUUGAGUUCGAGUAUUGUUUUAUGCUAUUCGAGUGCUCGUCGAGUAGCUCGAAUAUUUAUUAUUAUUUAUGUAAUAUAUUAAUUAUAAUUAUGAAAUGACCAAUAAGGGUAUAUAAUUUAGAUAAAUUACACGAUAUCUUGUAUGUUUUGUAAAAUUCUUAAACGGUAAAAAGGUAAUAUUGUAAUUAUAUAAGAAUUACUUUCAAGCUCGGACGAGUUUUGGUUGAACAUUCGAACUCGUUAAAACUCGAGGUUUAAAACUGUUUUGGUAGCUAACUACUUUAGAAGUAGUUGAUUGAUAACAGUGUAAUUUGUUGCUCAAGUUUGCUUGGAACCAUUUGUAAAAGUGUAUAUUAGACUAAUUUGGUACCCGAUUCUUUGAAGGAUGAUCCAUGUGCCUAAAGGUAAAACAUCAAUAACGGUCAUUGUCUUCAUAUGUUAGAGUAGCUUGGGGGCUGGUGCUUGACUAAAUGUAACUGACGAAUUAAAGCAAAGUCCUUAAAGAAAAUAAGGGCCUUUACUAUUAUGACCUAAUUCUUGGAGAAACUGUUGGGAACACUUUAGCGGCUGUAGGUUGGACCUCUUCAAAGAAGAUGCCAAAUUCUCUUCAUCUACUCGUACUGUCAUACGCUGUACUUCAAUAUGGAACUACCACCUCCUUUGCUCUCAUGUAAGUUGCAGAUAAAAAGCUAAAACAACACUACCACCACCCAAAUUACCCAAAAGAUGACAAACAAUUGAUUCUGACGCUAAAAUUCUUCUCUCUCUCUUUUCUCAAAUCUUUUGCUAUUGACCAUGGAGCAUAAUAAUGCAUGUAGGACUUGUUCACUACUAGUAAACAACUGCAUUUUGAAUUAAUAAAAAAAAAAACAAAGAAAGAAGCCCGGAAAAAAGACCAAAUUGGUAAACUCGAAAAACCAAAAAUCUUAUUCAUCUGUUCCAAUGCGAAGCUUUGUACUUUUGAGAUGCAUAUGUAUGCAUGUGAGAUGAGUAACUUUGAGGGAGCGUCCUUUGUCGGUGCCUCUCCUGCAUCGGUUGCAGGAGUCACACAGAUCCUUUGACACAAAAGUAAGAGAAUAAAUACCUUCAAGAUCUGCUACUAAUCCUAAAUAACCUAAUCAUUCAUCCCCAACAUUAUCUCACUACAUUUUACUUUUUCACUUUUUCAGUAACACUUGCACUUAAUUUACUCACAUUCUUACGUCAAACAUGUGGCAGUACAGUAUAAACAUGUACCUAAUCUAAGCAAAAUGCCUAAAGAACAGAGGAAAAAAUGUGAAGAGGGAUGUUACUAUUGUGGUCCACUUUUUUCUUUUUCCUUUUUUAUUUACUCUCCUGAGUUCUCUGACUCCUCUCCUUCGCCCCUUCUUUUAUGUUAGUGAGUGGAAUCCCAAUGUCUUCAUGAUUUUCAUCAUACCAAUUGCCAUUUCUUGAAAUCAAAGCCUCAAUCAAUCCAUUACUUAACCAAAGGGUCCCCAGUGUACUCAUUACUGCUGUCUACCUGAGAGACGAAAGUGAUAAGAGUAGUACAAAAGAAGCAAGAAUAUGGAUGUGGGGAGAAGAAAAGGGGGUGGUGGAGCUACAUCAUCAAGAAUUGGUGUUGUGGCGGGGUCUGUUUGGGAGAGCAGAAUGAAGCUUGAUGAAGUCAAAGGUGGCAUCAAAGUUUUUAAUGGUGAGAAAAAUGGUAGUAAUGAUUCAGAAGAAAAUGAUGAAAAGGAUGGUGGGAGUAGUAAUAGAUUAGCUAUUGUUCCAGCUCAAGUGGAUAAAAAAAUGAAUUUGAGGCCAAAAACGAGUCCAGUGGGGGCUAGUGGGAAGAGGAAAACUUGGAAAUCUGACAGUUCGGAGAAGAGCCCAAUUCAGAUUGCUAGGCAAAGAUCUGAAACAAACAAGAAUCUUGAUGAACAGUUUAGAGAAUUGAGUAUGUCUGCUGAUGGAAUUAAAAGGAGCCCAGCUCAGAGCAAGAAGUCAAAAUCUGAGGCAAUUAAGGAUUUGGGUGCUUCGGUUGAUGGAAUUGAGAAAAGCCCAAUUCAGAGUAUGAAGAUAAGAUCUGCUUCUCAAAAGUUUUCUAGUGAAUCCUCUGAUGGAAAUGACAAGAAUCCAACUCAAUUGAGGAAAUUGAAAUCAGAGACCAUUAAGGCCUUGAACACUGAAAAUGCAAGUGAGAAGACUUCUGAAUUGAGGAAAGUAAAAUCAGAUUCAAUUAAGGCUGUUGAGGACUCUUCUAAUGGGAAUGUUAAUAAUUCCCUCCAGCUGGUGAAAGCAAAAACUGUAUCAAGCAAGGAUUUUGAUGAUGAUAAUGGCAAGAGUUCUAAAGUGCAGUCUGAGAAAGAAAAGGCAGUUGUUGAUGAGUCAAAUAAGAGUCCUAAAGAAGACAACAUAGUUAGAAUGGAGAAAACAAGGUCUGAUGAAGAUUGUAAGGAAGUUGAUGUUUGUGAAGAGAAGGUGAUUACAAGCAAUAUUAGCAGCAAUGCAGGACAGCAGCAGGUCAAAUCUCCACCAACAGUAGAAGACACUGACGAUUUUGACGAUGCCGAUGGUGAUGAAGAAGAUUGGGAUGAUGAGUUGGAGGAAGAGGGUGAUCAGGAAAUUGAAGUUGAGAUUGAAAAGACGAGUCUUGUUGUGAAGGAGAUCAGUGUUGCUGAGCAGAAGCCAAAGAAGGUUGUGGUAGAAGAGAAGAAAUUUCGUCAGAGCAAUGAAAGGCCAAUGUCAAUUCCAUCACUGGUGAAGAAACAGUCUCCUCCUGUUGUCAGCCAUGCCAGAGUUCAUCCAAGUCCAACAAAAAAAGACCAAGUAAGCGCAUAUUGUUCAAUUGCACACCAUUGAUCAUGAUCAGAAAUGUGACAUUCUUACCACAAAAAAUGCACUGAAAUUUCUGCUGCUGCUGUUGUUGUUCAAGUUCCAGAUGAAUUUCGGGAAGUCCUAGAACUCGUAGCAAAUUACAGAGCAUUGGUAAGAUUUAUUUUCUGGGCUGAAUUCAAUUAUAUUUAUUAGAGACUACUUGAUGGCACUUUGCAUUUCUUGCUGGUGUAUGUUUUGCAGUUGACUUGGUGAUGUGGAGGGAUGCAUCAAAAUCAGCAUUUGUCUUUGGCAUUGGAACAUUCAUCAUUAUUUCAUCUUCAUACGCUAAGGAUCUCAACAUCAGGUAAUUAAUUACUUAUCUUGCUCUUGAAGAGUGAAAAGACAUUUUAACUCUGUUUUGUUAAUAAUCUGUUUUAAAUAAAGAGCACUUGACUGAAUUUUCUUGAAUCAUGGCAACGACAGUGCAAUAUCUGUGUUAUCCUAUCUGGGAUUGAUCUAUCUUGCAGCAAUUUUCCUCUUCAGAUCACUCAUUUCCAGGUAAUUUUUUUCUUUAUUUGAAUAGAUAAAAGUGAUUACAACUGAUGGCUCUUCUCAAAAGGCUUCAUACCAUUUACUAGGGGAGCUGUCGAUUUAGAUGAUUCAAGCACGGACUAUGUUGUUGGGGAAGAGGAAGCAGUUUGGUUGGUGAAAUUGAUUCUUCCCUGUGUAAAUGAGUUUCUGUUGAAAAUCAAAGCUCUCUUCUCUGGAGAUCCUGCUACUACAAUGAAGGUAAAAUUAAUGGGUUGGGGGAUAAAAAAGCUCCUCCAGCUCAUAUGAUCUCUCCAUUUUUUUUUCUUGAAUUUUGAUGAUAUCAAAUUUUUGGGACAAUUUCAGCUUUAUGUUCGAUGGGAAUUUAUGAGUAGUAGUUGACAAUUUGUGAAUCUAUUCUGACAGAUGGCACUGCUACUGUUUGUCUUGGCACGGUGUGGCAGCUCCAUAACCAUAUGGAAAAUGGUCAAAUUGGGUGAGUUUUCCAUAACGCCAAUGCUUAUCUUUCUAGCAUGGCAUGGCUGAAGCAAGUAGAAGUAGAAGUAAUUUUCUGUACUUUGACAGACUUUAUAGAUUUCCUUUUCUGAUCAUUCCUUGUGGUGGGUUUGACUUUCUUCUGGUGGCUGACGCUUGUUUCCUGUCACAGGCUUUUUCGGAGUUUUCACAGUGCCAAAAGUCUGCUCAUCCUAUUCCACUCAAUUAACUGCUUACGGUAAAGAGCCAAAAAAAAAAAAAAAAAAAAGCCCCAUAAUAAAUCUUUUGCUCUCUCAAAUCUGAAUUUGUUUUCUUCAUCUGCACAUCACAAUUGCAUAAAAGUUAGUAGUUCAAUUCAUUCAUGUUACAUAGGAUACGUCUCUGGAGUCUUGAUUGUUUGUACCGUUACAGCAGUGCCUACCCACAAGAACCUGUCUAUCAUCUGCAAAGACCAGACAGGGUCGCCCACCAAACUACCAGCCUUCUUCUAUUUAUUAUGCAGUAGUAUUUUUCUGGGGAAGCUUUAUAAGUGCAGCAUGUUGAAUUGUUGAUCCAACUUUCUUUAGGAUUAGGUGAUUAGUUGCUGGAAACUGAAAGAAACCAAUGUUUGGAAUAUGAUGGAUCCCACAAAACAAAAGUAGUACUAAGUAUUAGGAUAUGCAUAAGGUUGCAUGAGGUCCGAUUUCAGUCCCACCAAGUUAUCAUUUUAUCACACAUACAUACAUACAUAAAAGAAAAGAAAGAAAAUCCAACCACAGCUAUGUAUGUGCCCAAAUUCAAGAAUUUGCUGACACGAAUUGCAUAUAUGUUCAUGAAGGUGUAUUUUGGAUUCGACGAUUUCGGGACGCUUGGGAAUCAUGUUCUCAUAAGAAAGCCGUGGCAUUUGCUAUCUUCACACUGGUGUGGAAUUUAUCUUCAAUUGUUGCCGAAUUUGGGCAGGUAAAAUAGUUCCUGACUUUUUACUACUGCCCCUUUUGAUCCUAAAUUUGGCGAAAAAGAAAGCCUAAAAGAAACCGAUACAAUUAUUGACUUUUUUUUUUUUUUUUUUUUCUGGGCAGUGUUCAUGUUGUUUGUAGCAUAUAGAUAUUACCAGCCAUCUUUCAUUGGAGAGGGAUGGCUACAGCGAGAAACAAGAGCUGAAGAUUCUUCUUCCGCUUCAGGACAAAGUGGAGGCCACGUCCAGCGACAACGGCAGAUGUUGAAACAGGGAAACAAAAGAGGACCUUUUAAGCAUAUGCAGGCCCAAUUGCCCAUUACACUUUUGUUUAUUAUAGUUUGAUACCACAAGAAAUAAAAAGUAUAGAUGAAAACGAAAAAAAAAAAAAAAAGUUUUAGUCUUGUGUGUCCUUAAUUUUCUGAUGUUUUAGGAAAUAAGUUUAGAUAUGUAAAAAUAAAGUAUAUAUUAAAGAAGAAAUGAAAAAAAGAAGCUUUUUUUCUAGACUCGUGUGUGCCUUACUUUAUUUAGAAAAAAAUAAGUUUACCAAUACAUAGGUGAUCAAUUUUUAUAUUUGAAAUAAGAGAUGAAUUGGGUGGUUUAGGAUGAGGGAGCGUAUGCAGGAGGGUUCGAACGUUUGAACCCUCCCACUUACAUAAAAAAAAAAAAAAGAGAUCAAAUUUUUAUUAAUAAUUACCGUGCAAAUGAAAAUAGUUGUUCAAUGUCAAAUAGAGCCAAAAUAAUAAUAGAAAAAAAGACAAAAAAUAUAUCCGUUUCGUGACGUACAUGCUUAAGAAAGUAAAACUUUUCCAAUUAAUGCCAAUCCAUGUGAGCAAACGGAUUAAUUUAUGUUGAUUGGAAAGAAUCACACAUUUUACUAAAUAUGGUGAUUAAUUUAUGUUCCUAAGAGAUUUAAAAUGACAAAAGCAAUUCAUAAAUAAAGUAUAUGUCAAAAAGGUCUAAUAAUGAAAACGCAAUUUUUCAUGAGAAAAAAAUGUUGUCUCGCUAUUUAAAUAGUGCCAAUGUGAGUAAAAGAAACUUAGAAACACCUUGAUAAAAAAUGACGUCUUAUACGAUCAACUUUUUUUCACUUUAUUGUAUCUCUAAUAAUUGUCGCACAAUUGAUGCUUGUGCAAAUUAAAAGAAAGUCUAUUUUAGUUGGAAAAUAAAUUGGUAUGCAAAUAUGAAAUAAAAAAAAGGGGAAACACAGUAGUUAUUGGUGUUUGAAAUUAAACAAUAAUUAGCGUAAGAUUGAGGGAUAAUGUAUGAGAUAAUUCGUGAUUCUAAAUUUAUAUGUCCAUUACUCUUUCUAACUUCAAAGUUUAGAAUCUAUAAAAUUUGGAUAAAGGAGAUUUUUAUAAAUACAAACAAUGACAUUUUUUUCAGCGCCAAAUUUUGGUAUAUACUUCUCACGUAUAUAUGGUGGAAGAUAUCAAACAAUAUAGAAAGAAAAUAAAAGAUUGGAAUAGUCUCUCCAUUUAUCCCCUUUCCCUUCCAAGCCAAGAACCGUUAAACAACGUCGUUUAUGGGCUUGAAAAUUGUGAAAAUGAAUUUCCUUGCCACUUGUCAAAAUCGGUUCAUUGACUUGUCGAACCCGCUUUCAUUCAUCCGGAAACCGUUCGGUCUGCCAGAAAACUAUAAAUUAGACAUGAUCAGGUUUCUAGAACUACAAUAAUAGUGCCCGAGAGUGAAGAGCCCUAAUCCCCAAAACUAUAACCCACUCCCAAUUUUCUGUUUUACGACAACAAUCGAUCAAUCAACGAUAUGAGAUUUUGAUCAAGUUCCAGGCAAGGGUUUUAUUACCUCCUCCUAAGUUAUUAAUCAAAGUUUUAAUGUGAUAUUAUCAGCUAAAAUUUGACCUCCAUUUGCUAUCCCGGUUUGUUGCAGUUGUAAUUGCUGAUUGUAUUGUUGUUAGUAGCAUUUUGUUUGGCUGAAUAGUUUUCUUCGUUAUUCGUACUUAUGCUGUUCUAGAUGAUAAAAUUGUGGUCUAGUUGUCAUUGCCAUCCUUCGCUUUUAACUGUCUGAAGUAUCUCAAGGCUUCUUCUGCUUUUUCUGACCAUAACGUGUGGAGUAUCUGUUGCUUGUAAUUUCCACGUAAAAUCCACUGCUGCACUCAUUCUUUUCACUGCUUAUGGUCUCUAAUGAGAGAUGGGUUCUGGGUGAAACACCUGAAGAGUUUGUGGGUUUUGAUUUUUUGAUUUGGCUGUUUUCCAUUUAUGUGUAUGAUGAUCGUUCAAUGUUUUGCUUACCGGUUCUUGGUUUUUGGCUAUCGUGAUGCUGGUUGACUAAUUGGUCUCUUGAGUUCUUUUUUUUUUUCUUUUCUUUUUUUUUUUUUUUGAUAAUAUAGACUGGCGUUGCAGUUUGAAAUUGUAGAUUGUUGAAAAUUUUGAUUUUUUUAAUUGAUUUGAGGUAUAUGGAUGCUUCCUUAAUUUUGUGGAAAGAAAGGGAAAAUGGUUAAUUGGGCAGCAGAGGUGGUGUUUUGAUAGCUCAAUAUCUAUGACAUUUAGGAUUUUCUUUUUUAAGUUCUUCCAGCUUUGUUAUCUGAACAUGCAAAUGAGGCAGCCGUAGAACCAGGAAAUGCAUGACCUUAAAUUAGAAAAGCUAACUCUGUGCUGUCUCACCAAUCAGUUAGUGACAUGUCUUCUGCCGUUCACACCUCCCCAGAACAAGAAUGUCUACUAUUUAUGCACUCCUUUGUCUAUUCCGUUCACUUAAAACAGAAUUUCCAUAUUUGAAUGACUAUACUUUGAUGAAAUUGGUUGUGGAAGAAAUGGUUAUUGGUCUUGAGUUGAAAUUUAUGCUCAAGAAGUUAGGCUGCAAAAUUUAGAAACAGUGGCAAAUGACCGAAGGAAUGAAUAUUUAGAAAACUUCAAUAAUCAGAGAGGGAAAAAGAUUGUGCAAAAGUUCAUUGCAUGAAUGCACAGGGGCUGCAAAAUUAUUAAUUAAUUAAGAUAGCAAAGGCAAUUUUCUUUUAUUGAAUUUACAGUGGGUUGGUUUUAAAUGGGUAGUCCCUUAAUCAGCGAAUAAAUUUUCAAAAAUAUGUUUCCUUUACAAGUUUCAGAAAUUUGCCAAAGCAUUGUUUGGCCUUGGAAGAUUAGCAGUCAUUUUCUGAGUUAGACUAGGCUACACUAACACUUUCUAAUCUUGUAUAAUGUCGGAUGAACUUCCUUUUGUUUAUUUUGAGAAACUGAUUCUAGACUUUCUUUAUUCUUUUUGUCAUCUUUUUCUGAUUUUAUUGUCUUUUUGACUGCAAAUUCUGUCCUCAAUUGCAUGAUAAGCUUUAAAAACAUUAAAAAGUGCAUUGGCAUACCAAUGGCUAGGUGCUGGAUCAUGCUGUGGGUAUGAACAUUGUUCUCUACUUCCAUUAUCGUGUAAUUUCGCCUUAAUUUAUUGUUGCUGGUUGAUUGGUAGUGUUAAUUCUUCUGUUUUGUUUUCUUUUUUCAUCAUAAAAGUGUUGGAUAAAAUUUCUGGUCUAGUAAGAGAUCUAAGAUAUAUGUUGGCUUUUGUUUGCUCAGAUGAGCUUAACAGCAGACUCACCUGUGCACUCUCCAAGCACAAGUGGCGAGGAUUUUGCUGCAUUUCUUGAUGCAGAGUUGGAUUCUGCCUCUGAUGCAUCACCUCAUCCAGAAGAAGCAGAGGAGGAAGUAGUAGAAGAAGAAGAAGCAGAAAACAAAGGUGGCGACACUGACGACUAUGACUUAGACUCUGAGAAGUGAGUAUUCUGAAGAUGUUUCUUUGUACUUGCUUGCCGUGGUUUCUGUGCCUCUUGUCUGGUUCAACUUUUGCUUUUUUUUUUAUAUUAAAGGAUUAAAAGGCGCAAGGUUGAGAUUCUUGAGAGCUCAUUAGAUGUAGAAGCUAUGACGUCCCAGGAAGUUGAGAUACAAACUUCAGGUAAUGCUUAUGAUUGUACUCUUUCUGUUCAUUUGCCGCUUAUGAUAGAUACGCAACAAUUAAUACAGUUAAUAUUUGCAUGCUAACCUCAAUAUGUAACAAGAUGAUCAGACAAGGGCUUAGUCUAAAAAUCUUUCUAGGUUGAUUGUUAGUUACAGUUUUUGUGAUCGAUGGAUACCAAUAACAUCCUGAAAGAGACCUGAACUGAAGUCUAGAAAAUAAGGAUUUACUUCAAGGGUUUGAAAAUGGGGUAAAGUACUUUUUUACACAAGGGAAGCCAGAUAUAGGAUAUUUUAUGAUUUUGGUAGAUGCAGUUGGAUUUCUUAAAUUUUCUUAGUUUAACAAAAAGGUACUCUGUUGAUUUCAAACUGGAAUUUAAGUAGCAAUGCAAGAUUGGUGGAAAGUUCACUAUGAAAUUCUGGUAACAUGAUGCUUUGUUUUCUAAAAGUCUGCUUUCUGCAGGAGCAUCUUCGGAUAAGGAUGUUUGUUCACAUCCUGGUGUGAUUGGUGGGUUAUGUAUACGGUGUGGGCUGAAGAUGGAUGAUGAGUCUGGUGUUGCAUUCAGCUACAUACACAAGGUUGCAAUCGCUUGGAAAUCUUGUUAGGAUGUAUUUUGUUGUUUUUAAAUUUGGCUGCUCAGGAUUACUUGCCUGUUUUCUAGAUUUGGCUGUUUUUGAAUCACUUAUUGUUGUUUAUAUGCUUCUGCUGUAAGUUCUUUUAGCACAUUCUAAUCGUAAGCUCUUUCUUUCCAAUUUGAAAUCUGAAGUUUCCCUGGGGUUUAAGGUUUAAUAUUAGUUUUCACUUUUGCACAGAAUGUUGGUGCAUUUAAGGAGCAAUUCCAUCUUUUUCAUCUCUCCCCGUAAGAUUUUUAUGAAUGAUGUUAACUGAUUCUUGCCUUUGAACUCUUUUUUGUCACGGAAAAAUGUAGUUCUAACCUUAAAUUUUCUGGGCUGCAUUUUUGGGCUGCAUUUUUUUACAGCUAUUUGUUGUAUUGGUUUUUUCAUAUUACACAUAGAGAAGUUUAUUGUUUUAUGUGGAGGUACUUAGGCAGGUAAUUAUGUAAUUUAUUCAACAGAAUCUAAGGCUGGCUAAUGACGAGAUUGCUCGAUUACGUGAUAAAGACUUGAAGAACCUGCUUCGCAAGAAAAAACUUUACUUGGUUCUUGAUUUAGAUCACACACUGCUGAACUCAAGUCGGUUUUUAGACCUUACAGUAGAUGAGGGUUACUUGAAGGGCUCCAGAGAUGAUCUAUCUGGUACAAUGCUCUCUUUUGUGUAGUUGCUGUUUAAUUUUUAUCAUUCUUCUGUGAUUUCUGUUACAGUUGUUUUAUGCGGAUAGUUUUCUAUUUUACAUGACAACUCUGUUGUCUGGUCUUAUAUAUUUGAUUCAUACUAUGAUAUGAAAUUCUAUGAGCAAAGGCUACAAAUCCCUUUUUCCCCCCUAGACCUCAUUUCCAUUAUCACAAAGAAAUAAAAGUAAAUUGUGACAAAAGCUUGUCACCAUCUCAGAGAGAGAGAGAGAGAGAGAGAGAGAGAGAGAGAGAGUUGCUAAUGGAAGACAUUUGGUCAGACUGACUAGUGCCGACAAGCUCUUCUCCUUUCCACAUGGUUUUGAUUAGGGUUUGUAUUAUUGAAGUUUCAUGAUGGUCUACUUUUCACAACUUAGUUCAUUGUUUUCAAAAGGAUGACUCUCAAACUGGAGGUAGCUCUAAUGACCUUGGAGGUACUUCCACUACUUGGGGAUGAUUAUUUCAGGACAUGGUUUAGUACACAUGUUCCUUGGAACGGAUAUGGGCAGUAUUUAGGUUACAAAGAACUCUAGAUUCUUCUUGGACCAAAAGAGACCAAUGCCAUCCUUUGGGACAAAUAAUCUGGUAUCUACAUUGAUUCCAUUUGGCUAAUAUGCUAUGCAGAUCCGUAUUUUUACUAUGAAUAUUGAAUUUACAGUGCAUGAGUUCUCUAUUUCUGUUUUGUAUCUUAAUCCAUUUAAUCUUGGUGUUCCUUAAUUUCUGCACUUCUGGAGACUGGAAGCAGCUUUUACUUGUAUAUUUUGGUUAAUUAUUUACUGUGCUGCUACUGGUAGUGGAAUUGUAAUAAUUAAAUUAACAUUUUUCAUUAAGUUUUUGCCAAUAUUUCUUCAAUUCUUCUUAUUUAUUAGAGAUAGAGGGUUUCAUUGUUUGCUUUGGUAUCCUUUUGGUUAACUUGUUGAUUUUCAUAAUUGUAACUAAUAUUUUGUAGCUUAACUGGUUACUUUAUUGUUCCAGAUGCUUUGAAGAACAGCUUAUACAAACUAGACUAUAUGCAUAUGAUGACCAAGUUAAGGCCCUUCGUCCAUAGUUUCUUGAAAGAAGCAAGCGACUUGUUUGAGAUGUACAUAUACACAAUGGGUGAACGUGCAUAUGCAUUGCAAAUGGCAAAAUUGCUUGACCCUGGAUGUUUAUUUCAACUCCAGAGUGAUUGCACAAGGAGAUUGCACACAGAGACACCAGAAAGGUCUUGAUAUUGUUUUGGGGCAAGAAAGUGCUGUCUUAAUACUUGAUGACACGGAAGCGGUAAUUCCAAUAAGUAGUCCUUGACAGUAUUUCAUAUUUAGUUUGUCAGAUUUUCUCCUGCCUUUUCUGGUUCUCAUUAUUUUGUGUCAAUUGUUUGCUUUUCCUCUAUUAUCAGUUUGUGAGCACUGAUGUUUUCCUUUACACACAGAUGUUUUCAAUUGGAAAUAGUCAUUUUAUAAUGGUGGGAUUGUCUGUGUGCGCGUUUUUGUGUAUGUAUGUGUGUGAGUGCAUGCAUAUAUUUGGGGAUAUUUUGGCAUCUUUUGGGUCCCCGUGUCCACAUAACAGUGGAUUUAGUUGACAGUCUGGUGCAGCUUGCUUCCUUCUUAAUGUUGUCUGGGAAGCAGAUGACAUACAUAGACAUCUAUCAUGACUAAUUGAUUUUUAAGCAAGUACUUUCAGAAGUUUGUAUAUGUCUGCAUUUGCUGCCAAGUUGACAAGAGCGUUAUUGAAUGAUCUAGGUCUGGGGAAAACACAAGGAGAAUUUGAUAUUGAUGGAAAGAUAUCAUUUUUUUGCUUCAAGUUGUCGUCAAUUUGGCUUCGGUUCAAAAUCACUCUCUGAGCGUAAAACUGAUGAAAGUGAAAGUGAAGGAGCCCUUGCUACGGUUCUUAGAGUUCUUCAGCAGAUACAUUCUACCUUUUUUGACACGGUAUGUGUUCGUCACUAUUAUUGUUUGAAUUGCUUUAACAUUUUGUUGCUCAAUUAUUCUAAUUGAAAUCUUCUUUUACAGGAACAUAGUGCAAGUCUUGUUGAUCGAGAUGUGAGGCAGGUAAUUGUGGAGGACUAGUACUGAUGGCUUUCCUCCAUAUGUUUCUGUGUUUGGGUAGGAGUUGAAGUCAUAAUCUUUUUUCGUUAGCCUAUGCACUGGUUCCCUAAUGAGUAUUAUUAUGGUACCUUAUCUGUAUUGUCAUUGAAUUCGCUUUUAUGGAAUUUCAUGUUUUCACUUGAGCUUUCUUUCUAAGCACGCAAUUUAUUUUGCCAAACUGUUACUGGGUUUUGAACAAAUAAACCUGCAUUCCAAGCUGUCAGAAAAUUUUCAAACAUUAGAUUAGUGAAAUUAUGUUUGUAUGGGUCCAUCUUCUGCAAAAAUUUUGCUUUGCUACGAAGAAUUUGUACCACAACCCAUGAUAAAGGAUUCUGGUGACUUUGGAGUUUUAAGUUUUUCAUUCUCCAGUUUAGAUUGGUUUCAUCUUUCUUAUUCAUGAAUUCUAUGAUGUUGACUUGUGAUGUUUAAUAUUAUUUAGAAAGAAGUGUGAUAUAUUUUCUCUUUAUAUCUAUGGCAGGUGCUAAUAACAGUUAGGAAGGAAGUUUUGAAGGGUUGCAAGGUUGUAUUUACUCGCGUUUUCCCCACACAGUUUCAGGGUGAAAAUCAUCACCUAUGGAAAAUGGCAGAGCGGUUGGGAGCUAUAUGUUCAUCUGAAGUUGACCCGUCAGUAACACAUGUCGUCUCUUUGGAUCCGGGAACAGAGAAAUCCAUUUGGGCAGUGCAGGAGGGAAAAUAUUUGGUCCAUCCAAGGUGGAUUGAAGCUGCGAACUAUUUGUGGAAAAACAACCUGAAGAGAGCUAUCCUGUUAGUAAUCCAAAGAACCAGUGAUCCAAAUUCUCCUUGAGCUAACCCAUAGUUGAUUUUUCGUGAAUCUUAGUACAUAGAGUUGAAGUCAAUAAGAUUUUGGGGCUAAUGCCUUAAUUCUUGCCUGACUCUGUUGUUCUCAAAUUAGUAUAGGGUACAAGGUUUGUUUUAGUUCAACGAAUUUAGAGGGCGUCAAUUUGCAUUCCUAGGUAUGACUACAUGAUGAGGUUGUUGUAUUUUAAUAGGUUGAAAGUGAGGGGCAGCAAAUUUUAUCCUUAGAUCGGAAAUGUAAAUAGCAGUUAAAACUGGAUUGAAGGUGAUACAAUCGACUGUGAUGUGAGCAAAGAACACGACAAAACUGAUGACCCAUUGAGGGUUCAUGCUGCAAUUGUAGGGUUCGAAUAUUACUUGGUAAAUUUGAAGUAGUCUGAAACCAGUUUGAAGAAUGGCAAGGUUUAGAGGAGUUUAGAUCACAGUGUCCUUUAUGCCUUUUUAUUUCAAUGCAUAUUGACUGACACAGUGUCUGGUUUUGUGGGGUUCAUGUUUACUUCCAGGUUUUAUAUAUACCUCUGGGGUGAUGGAGGACCAUAUAUAGACAUAUGAACAAUCAGCUCUGUUAAUGCAGAAAGCAGCUUCGUUCCCUUUGCAUGAUCUUUUCAUUUGUAGAUUUUACUCGGAUUCCAAAAUUGUUGAUCUUCUUUAGUUAUUUUUUGGGGACGAUUGUAAGAUCAAGGGGUGUUCAUGAGUUAAACUAUAUUUCUGUUGCUUCCAAAGCAAAUUCCUUUACAGGUCUUUCCGUUUCUCUGAUGUUCUAGUUGCCGUUCUAUAUCUAUGGCAUUUCUUUUGUCAGCUUAGCCAUUUGUGAUUUAAAAAACAAAAAAGUCUUCUAAGUUCACAACCAGUUAACUACAGGUUCCGAAACCCGUACUGCAAUUUGGUCAACAUAUUCUCCUUUAAGAUUUGGAGAUUCCGAAACCCGUACUACAAUUAGGGCAGCCCCUUCUCCUUUGUAACCAGUUUCCGGGCCCAAUAGUAUGGUCACAGGUAGGAAGGCUUGCUUUCUUCUGUUAUCGUCACAGGCUGGCUUACUUUUUUGUUUUGGCAAGUGAAUUGGAGGUUUUAAACCAAACCUUCUAUUUAUAAUCAUUUUCAUCUUUAUCACCCAACUCAACUCUCCGCAAAAUAUCGGGUUUGCUUGACAAAGAAAUUUUUGGCCAAGUUUGUCUGUUAUAAGUUUUUUAACAACUUUAACUAUAAUAACUUCAAAAAAUCUUUUAAAAUUUUUAAAUUAUACACUUCAAAAUAUUUAAAAAUUACACUCUUCAAAAAAAUUUUCUACAAUUUUUACAGUAAGUUACAAUAAAAUUUUAGACAAACAUCCAAAAAACUCAUUUGCUGAACGGAGCCAUCUUUUUGAGUGGCUUGUUUAAUGUCAACGAAGUAAUUAUCAUAAAUGAUCAGAGAAAUCGCCAUCUUCCGAGCUAAUAAGCUACCAUUUGAGUUAAUGGUUGUCCGCUUAAACGUCUAACCUGGAAAUCACUACCCUUUCUUUCUUUUUUGUGGGUGGGGGUCAGGAACGUUUGCAGCAUUCCUUCCGCCACGUGGAAAGAAAGUACUCUGAACACUAGAGGUCAAUUAUUUGGAGAGAAUUUCGAUUUCAUUUAUUAGGAAAAAGAGGGUGAGUAUGUAAAUGUAUAUAUAUAUAUAUAUACUUGUCGAACCUGAAUUAUUUUAUUUUAUUUUAUUUUGUUGAGAGCUUCUUCUCCCUUAUGGUUCCAUUAAGUUAUCUUUUAUUUGUCCCUUUCAAACACAUUAAAAAAAAAAAAAGAGUAAACACAUACAAUCAUAGAUAUAUAUAUAUAUAUGUCGAACGUAACAAAUUGAGCAAAAAAAAAAAAAAAAAAAAAAGAAGAAGAAACUUGUACAACUAAGGGAGGGACUCUCGUUAAAUCAGAAAGUGAUCCAGAGGAAGUAAGCUUGUAUUAACCGUUGUUUUCGUAUCUAUAAAAAAAUUUGAUUUCUUGUUUGCCCUCUAUUUAUUGGUACACACGUUCGUUUGUGAUCCAAGUGAACAUGCAUCUAUGGCGAAGUCGAGAAGCAAAGAAGGAAAAGUGGACAAGUUUUGUACGUGAAAUUCGUCCCAGAAGUUAAUUGGCCACAAAAUAUAUAGGAAAUUUAGAAUAAUGGACUAACUACUAGCACAAUAAUGCCGAAUACUAAAAAAAAAAAAAAAAAAAAACUAGCCAUCAAAAUCGAUCAGAAACCGGGAAGAAGAUUGGCAGCCGUAAAUAUAAUAUGAGGAUUAUCUGUGACGACUGUAAGUCAAUUAUGUUAUCCCAUACUGAUCUUAUCUUGAAACAGGUGAAGCAACAAACACGUACGAUCGAGUCUUAUUCAGAAACAAGUAUUGUCCCCUUCCACAAAUCAAGCAAACGAAUGCAAUAAUUGAGCUGCGCACUUUCAACCACUGUCCGUUAAAAUUGGAUUCCACAGGCUAAUUUGAUCGGGAGCAGUUUAAAUUAAAGGUUUCUUUUCAUUUCAAGAAAGCGAAAAGAAAACAAGAACAAAAAAGAAUAGAAGCUUAAUUAAUAUUCAUAGUUGAACCAAUUUGAAUACUGCUUUAAUGACAACGCUCUUGAUGUUUGUUUCCAUUCAUUGUUCUGAUACUAGUUUGAUAAGUUAAUUAAUGGGAAAAAAAAGACAAGAGAACAACCUUGCAACGGGUAUUAAUGGUGCAGCUAGCUAAGCUAAGAACGUUCGUUCACCUUUGUUUGCCUAACCAGGUUUGAGUUCUACGUACUUUUUUUUUUUUUGCCGAAGCAAAAUAAACACACACACCCAAACAAUGAACAGACACGCAGAAGUAACACCGGCCAAACGAGUAUCAGCGCAGUUUUCUACGGUAGAACAGUGGCCUACCCUGAUCUUAGAAUGAAGCAGCCUUUCUUGAACUCCUAAGAAAUAAGAGACACAGAAAGAGAGAGAGAGAGAGAGAGCACGACGCAUGCUGCUAGACUAUGAAAGUUGUACUUUAUUGAAGAACAUGCAGUGGGCGUUAUUAUCUGUCCAUAAUCAGAUAAAUGACUGGGACUAAUCGUGUCUUUAACACGUCUAGUCAUAAUUUAUCGAGUAGCAUAAAUCCAAAAGUGAUAAGAUUUUGAGAGUUGUCUUUAUGCACCAUCAUGAGAUAAUGCAGGACAGGACACUCCUCAACAUACCAUACGAGAACCAGAAAAGGAGAAGGCACGAACAUGUGACUAUAUAUUAUAUAUGUUCAAACUAGAUAUGUACCCAUAAUUGUUUGAUGACUAUUAGGAACUAAUAUAAUAUAUGUUUUAGCUUUAGGUCGAAUCAGUCAAAAUUUUGCUGCUUCUGGUUUGAGAAUCUUCAGUUAAGUUACUAACAAUUGCAGUUAAUUAGCUCGUUUGGGUUGAUUACCAACGUCAAAAUAUGCGUCUUCUUUUUUGUAUAUAUAUUUUCUUCUUUUGGAUUAAGAGACAGGAAUAUGAAAAUGGAAACACAAGAAGUCAGAAAAAAAAUGCUCUCAAUCUUUUUCUUCUGAAAUUUUAGAUGCCAACAGCAAUCUAAAUCAAGCUCUUCGUAGUAAUUUGGAUAUGAAAGUGCUAUCUGGUACUCGAACAUUGAAAUUCUUGAAGUUGCCAAAAUUGCACAAUGGGCAUAGUUGUAGCUGCUACUUUUGCAUCCUCAACGUGUCAAAUUCUUCAAUUUUGCGUACGACUACGGUGAUUAUUCAUAAUGCAUUUACUUGUCGGGAUUUUUCAGUCUUUAACUUCUUUUUUUAUUCUGUAGACAAACAAUUUCUCAAACUCAUUGUCCUACGGACUUAUUGUGAGCGUCUAUUUUGCUGCACUUUUUCUCGUACUUCCAUGUUAUUGCCCGGUAUCAUAUCAUCCACUGGGUAAACUUUUUGCACUCAGAAGUUUAUGAUAAGAUUGCGCCACUAACUUGGAGAACGUUCUUGAACAUCAAAUUUAACCUCCUACGUACCCCAAAGCAGAAACAGAAGUUGACAAAAUGUAAUCUAUGACUCGGUGGACCAAACUGACGACCUCCAUUAGCCUCCUUUAAAUAAAGCUGAGAUAGUAAUAUGAAACACAUGCUUGAAUUAACGAAAUCUGGAAGAUUGCAUCUGCCUUUGGUGGUGGUUCUUAUCCCCAGCUAGCAGACAUCUAAUCUACUCCAUUUAAAAUGAUCAUAAGCAGCCCGAUUGAUGCACGUAUUCAUGCAAUAUUAGCGCUUCAUUAUUAAUGGCAUAUCUUAGCAAUACGGCCACAAAAGUCAUUUUCAAGGAUUUCUGAUUAGUCUUCUUCUUAUAAUUUAGGUGGGAUGAGCUGGUUCGAGUAUUAGAGUUCUGAAAACUCAAGAUAUAGUUUUUCAUAGAGGAGUCAAGAUUAAUUCCUCUCUCUCUCUCUCUCUGAUAAAAGAGAAGAAAAAUAUACGUAUGAUAAUAGAGUUAGAAACCUUGUACCCAUCCUAGGAUGAAGGCAGAAUUACUCGGAAAAAAAAAACCCCCUCGAUUUUUCCUAAUUUGAGCUUAUGCAAGAAGAAUAACAUUGUGCUAAAGCAAAAGUUUGUGAGAAGAUAUGUUGAACAGAGACAUAAGACGUGUCUGCAUGUAUAUACAAAUUGCGUACUGUGGCUUUGAUUUGAAUGAGACUUCGUCUUCAUGUACAAAAAAGAUUGAAGUAGCGUUUCUUUUCUUCUUUUUUUUUGGUUCAAAAAAGUUUAGUGGUUUCUGCUCGAGCAGGACACACAUAUCCUUAAGAUUAAAGGUCACUUACCAGAAUAUUCAUGUAUUACUCAUCAAUGCAGGGCUUACAUUUGCAGCGGAAUUUGCAGACAUGUACGACAUAAGAAAGACAUGUGUCCUGGUGUCUGGCUCUCGCGGACACACCUCCACGCAUAUUACAAAUUGAGUACUGUGUCUUUGAUUAAAUGAUAUUUCGUCUUCAUGUACAAAAAAGAGCCAACUAGCUAGUACGUGUUUUUUUCACACACACAAAAAAAAAAAAAAAAGCUUAGUGAUUUUUGGGUGGAGCAGGACAUAUAUUUAAGAUUAAAGGUCAUUAAUUAUAACAAGAACACUUGUAUGUUAUUCACUAAUCCAGCAUUUACAUCUGCAGUGAAAUUCGAAGAUAAAGUAGGUAAUUAUUCGUGUUUAGUUACCAUCGUUUUGAUAUCAAGUUUUGUCCUGAAGCACCGACAUGUCAUUUCAGCUCCGUGCAUGUAUGUUCAGCCGAAAUUCUUGCCAUGGUUUUGGAUCGGGGCUGCUGCAACUGCACCGGCAAUCCCACCAUGCUGCCGCCAUUAGUUGCCAAGAUCGGCCGAGGAGAGUUUGGACUCGAAUGCUUCCUAGUUCCUAUGAUUAAUUAUAGUUCUUCUAGUUUGGAUUGGGGCAGCUGCUCGCUCAGCAGGUGAACAAUCAAUAAUUAAUUGUGUAUUUAGUUUUAGAAGGGAGAUGUAACGUUGUUAUUAGCACUUCUAAAAGAGUUUUUAGCACUCCAUCCUCUGUGUCUGUAAAAGCUUGCAUAGAUACAGAAAUUGCUAGAGGGUUUUUUUAAGAGCGUUAAUAUCAUUUUUCUUUAAAAAAACGUGCGAUAUUUCCUAUGUUUCUUUUUCAAGAUUUUUCAGCUUAAAGGGUGAAGUAAAUUUUCGAUGAAGGCAUUAAUUAAUUAAUGACGUUAAAAGGGAAUUUCUAGAAAUUUAGGAUGUGCAAGUGUGAGUGAGGCAAACUAAUUAAACAGGAUUAGAAACUCAGCUGUCCUUUUAUUUUCAAUUUCCUAUAAUUGAGGAGGGUAACAAUUGCUAACCCCCAGCCUUAAAGCUCGCUUCUCUCCUCUCCUCUCCUCUCCUGGAUAUAUAAGUGUACCUUAAAAGAUACCAGGCUUAAUUAAUUGAGCAUUUUGCGUUACACAUAACGCAAAAAUCUAGCUUGUAUCUUUCAAUAUAAAACUCAGAUGCAUGCAAAUUACAAUAUUCUAAAAGACAGGAAAAUAAUUCUCAAAAGAAGAAGAAGAAGGGAGGAAGAAAAAAAGAAAGGCAGUAAUAAAUAUUUGUUCUCUCUCUUCCCUGUUUGAUGGCAAUUAUUGUCACUCACUAAUUAUUAUCCGGAGAUCAAAUAUUUGCCAUCAUCUCAUCUUCAAUUAUUAUCCGGCAUAAUUACUUAGGUUCCACUGCCAAGAAAUUUGUGUACUCCCUCCCUCCGUCCCACUUCGAUAGUUCCGUUUCUUUUUUCACAUAGUUUAAGAAAAAGUAGUUAACUUUGUUGGAAAAAUAAAUUUAGAUUGCUAUUUUUCUAAAAUACCCUCACAUUAAAUAUGGUACAACUUUAUGGGAACUUGAAUUGAUGGUAAAAAAAAGAAUCAACUCUCAUUAAAUGGGAUAGGUUUAUAGUAACAACUACUUACAUUGAAUGAGGGUAUUUUAGAAAAAUUAAAAUACAAAUACAUUUUUCAAUUGGAAAGUGGACUACAAUUUGGGACAGAUGAAAAAGGAAUACAGGACUGUUAAAGUGGGACGAAGGGAGUAUUAUAUAUAUAUAUAUAUAUAUAUAUAUAUAUAUAUAUAUAUGUGUGUCUGGUUUGCUUUGAGCCCGUGAUUUAAGGGCUUCUAGAGAUCCUAUGGAUGUUAUUACCAAGAAAGAAAUCAGAAUUAUUGACGGAUUGAGUUGUGAUUGACAUACGCAGUACUCCUAUCGAUCGAUAGCUGCUUUUGUUUAAUAUAUAUAUAAGAGACUAAUAAAGAGUUGUAUCUGCUUUGGUCACAGGGCAGAUGGCCUCGUUUCGGUCUCCAAUAUCAGACUCGUCCCUUUCGAAAUGACUUGUGGAAUUAUAGCCAAUGUCACCUCAUAAUCGGAAAUUAACACAAAGUACGUGGAUCAUUUUAUUCCCCUUUUCCGAAUCCAUCCAUUUCAAUGCAUUUUCCAAAUCCUCGUACUCAAUACUCCUAUUGUUUUACGUCCAACCCUGGCCAUGACAUGCAUAAAAAAGCAUGCUAUAAUUAAGCCUGCAAACCUCAUAUAAUUCUAAUAAAGUUAUUUUCUUCUUUCUUUUUUCUCUUUAUUACCAAAAUGGAAUUAAAGAAAGAAAAAUCUGUUAAUAAGCUCCGGCCGGAGAGGUCAUGGGGCAAGAUGGUCUGUAGGUUGCAAGGAAAGAAUGGCUUUUUAGUUGAAGAUUAUAUUGAAGAGGGAACCACGUACGGCAAGGCUUUUAUAUUUUAAAUUGAAAUGUAACAUCGAAAAAGUCUUAACAUCUACCAAAUAUUUGGCCCUUUGGCAGGGGAACAAUUAUAUGCAAAUAGUAUAUAAAAAUUUGAGACAAUAAUUAAGACUUCAAUUAAAUGAGAAAAAUAUAAUUCUACUAUCUAAAAAAAAAUUCCAAUUAGAACUUCUUAAUGAGACCCCAAACUAUAGUUGGUAUGCAUCAUUUUCUAACGACUGUAGAUUUCCAAAAAAAAAAAUGUUAAUCAUAUUUGGAGAAACAAUUUGCAUAUAGAGCAUACAAUGAAUUUUUGUAGGUAAAAUCAAGAGCAUUUCUUGCUGCUUGAUUGCGUCUAACAUGGCUUGGUAAUGACAUCACUAAACAGGAUCAUGACUCAUUAACAGGUGAGGCGAUAGGGAAACCUGUCAAUCAUAAACAUCUCUGUGCAUGGGAUGAGAAAUUGAGCCUUACUCCCUCUUUAUAUAUAUAUAAGAAAUAUUCACCAUUAAUAAGAUUGUUGGAAAUCAUUCAACACGAUUUGUUUAACAAAAUCAGAAGGAAUGUUCCAUAUAGAGUCUCCACAGUUGGCAGAUUUUGGAAAAGAAGCUAGAUUGCGUGCUAACUUGUUUUCCUCCCUUGUAGGGGUGGCAAUUCCUGACACGAUCCGAAAACACGACACGAAUCUAACACGAAAUUAAUGAAUUUGGGUUGAGGUUUCGGGAGUUCGGGUCAGAAUUGGGUCAAACCCGAAAAGAAAACAGGUCAAUUUCGGGUCAACCCGUGGUGACCUGAUAUGAUCCGAUGUGACCCGUUUACAAAUUAAAACUAAUUUAAUAAACAUAAAAAUUAUUUUAUUUAACUAAACUAAAUCAUUCUUUUUUUCCAAAGGCAUUAAUUACUUAAUCCUAAAUGAAUUUAUUUAACUUGUGUGAAGUUAAAAUUAUUAUAUUUGGACAAAUAAUAUAUUAUGUUAUUUUUUACUUUUAUGCUGUUUUAAUUUAUUUUAUAUUUGGUUUGGGAUAAAACACUUUUAUAGUGUUUAAUUUAUUUAGAUUUGGUUUGAAAUUAUUUAUUUAAAUUUUUAUUACUUGAUGAUGUAAUUAAUUUUGUGAUAAAUUAAUAAAUUAAAAUUAAGUUUCGGAUCAUUUCGGAUCGACCCGUCAACCCGAAAUUUUCGGGUUCGUGUCAGGUACCCUGACCCGUUUCGAAUUGACGGGUCGGAUUCGGGUCAACAGGUUCUUUGUUAUACUUAGGCCUCAACCCGACCCGCGCAACCCGAUUGACACCCCUACUCCCUUGGGAAUCCAACUUACAUUGACACAAUUUGGGUCUAGCAAAGACGUAUGAAUAUCAUCAAUUAUAAUGCCUAUAUCAGAAAAAACAUCGCCUCUAUAUCUCUAAGAAGCCGGAUAAUCGAUGAUGCAUCAUCCCCUUCACGAACGAAAUUCAGAAUCAUAAAAAAUUUGGCCAAGGAAACUGCUAGAGAAUUGCUUUGCCAAAUCAGCAAGAAAAUUACCAUUAUGAUCUCGGAUUGCCACUCCAAUACCAAAGAUAUUGUUAUGCGACGAAAUAUUGCCAUCAAAAUUGAUCUUAUAAUGAUGCACUGGAGGAUCUAAGUAAUGAAUAUCAUGAUUUUGGGACUGUAUAGAACAAGAGCCAUUAAUUGUUAGCUUUCUUGAAAUCCCGUUGUAACAAAUCUCAUAACCUUAUUCCCUCUUCAUUAGCAACGAGAAAUGGAGGUCUCUAAGAAGCAGAACGGGAUCAAAUUACAAUUUGGAAAUCACAACUUCAACUGGAGAUCAAACAAGAGCUAACUAGUUCCCAUGCUACUUGCAAAAUAUACUUGCAAACGUUCAAGAAUGCUCAGCACAAUGACAUACUUGCAAAAUAUAUAUAUCAAAAACUGAGAAAUGAUCAUCCACGAAUUUAAGAACAAGAUUUCAAAUCCUUAAAAAUCUUUUUCCUCUAGUGUAUGACUACUCUGGCAAAAUGUAGCCAUACAUCUUCCGACUUCUUGAACCUCGAUUGCAAUUUGCAAUUACUUGGAUAAGACAUAGUUGUUGAGGAUUUAUCCAAAUUCUACGAUCGAGUGAAUUAUAUGCAGAACUUCCAACACCCCCAACCCCCCCCCCCUCCCCGAAAAAAAAACCCAACCAGGGAAAAAAAAAAAGAAGAGGAAAAACCUAAAAAACCCAUGAGUCACCAAUUUCCCAAAUUCGUUGGUGAUCCGCAUCAUUCUCAGCUACCCUAAUUACCUCAUCUGUUGAGCAAUCCGUGGUUUUCAAGCAAUAACUAUGAUAGAAACUUCCCUCAAAAAGAAAACAGCAAGAAAUCAUGAUGGCAACCAAACACAUCAAUACAAAGUCCCAAACCUCCUGAUGCAUUCACCAAUUAAAUUAUUGAGAUGCGGACAACAUUUAUGUGGCUAAUUACUCGGCAAAAGACGUAUCUAAAUCAGGUUUAAUGUCCAGAAAAGGUACCUUAUCUUCAUGUGGACCAAAGUGCCAAGAAAAUAUUCAGUUCACAUGACAUAUAGUAAUGUACCAGCAGUCUAUACAUCGUAUCAUUUUUUAUCACUUUGCAGCUUAUCUUGUCUAUAUAACAUCAUGUAUGUUGACAGUAUGUUAGAACAAUAGCUUAAUAUUAAUCCUCGAGCAAUCAUUUUUUGUUUAAUCACUUAGAUGAAGUAAUUCAACAAAAAAUUUGCUCUUCCCUUCCCUUCCCAUCCCCCUCGUGCAAAAAACAUGCCAUCAUGAAAGGGAGUUUGUAAAAAUAAAUGCAUGCAAUGUUAACUAGAAUUUUAUACCUUACCAUUUCACUUUUCUCUCCUGUAUUUUCUCUAUGAUUCACUUUCUUCUUCUUUUGCCAAUUCAAUGUCUCUGAUCUUGCUAACACAUAGCAGUCAUAAUUCAGGGUUCAUCGUCCCCAGUCGUAAGAGAAAAAAGAAAAACCCCAAAAAGGAAACACUGAGCACAAUUAGCGCUUGUUCUUUUGUAUCUAUAAUGGUUGGUUACUUGUUUUUUCUGCAGCAAGCCGACAAGCACAGACAUUAACCUAACUGCCUUUUUGUGAUAUGCUAAAAUAAUCCAAGCUCUAAUUUGUAAUUGGAUUUUUCGUGACGUCAAGUAUUGAUAGUAGUUGCAGCAAAAGGCUGGAAAUAAUUGCAUUAUAUAUUUCCAUAAUGAAGUCUUAAAUUCCGAAAUAUCUAGGGACCCAUUACCAGGAUUUAGAUUCCAACUAGAACAAUAAUCGGACUUGCAACCAAAAUAUGGCAUUAAUGAUUUGACAUAUAAUAGAGCUCAGUCUUACGGAAUUAUGUGUGCAUAUGUCAUGUCCAGAUUCCUUUGAUUUGACCAGAAAUAUAUAGUGCGCAUCUAAGUUUUUAAAUCCUGAGAAAGUGAGGAUUUCUAUAGCUACCUGGUUUGCAAGUGUGUAUGCCAUUAAUUUCUUUAGGCAAAUGACAGAAGGUGGAGCGUCGUCAGAGAAUUAUUUUAGAGCGUGAAUGUCAUUUGUCUUUCUUUAUGUUAGCACAAAAUCUUAAUUAUUUUUUUAUAACUUGCAAAAUACAUGCCAAAUAAAGGCCAAAAUAGCUCCAGCUUCUUUCCUGCAUAAAGAUUCUUUGAUAAUGUAAUUACAGUGUUAAAGUAUGUUUGUGAAUAUCUAUUUCUCCAAAAUGCAAUUGACAUAUUCAUAUUAAUAAUCAAAUGGUAUUUAAAAGAUAAUUAUUACAUUUGAAGUCUUUAUUUGAUUAAGUUCAAUUUUAGAUCCCAAAUGAAAAGAAAAAUGGUACAAGAAAUACUUGUAGAGAAGUUAGACAUUUAUGGUUAUUUUAGUUUCCUAUUUUUACUUGGAUAACCAUUAAAGUAUCUCUAUAUUUGGGAUAGCAUAACGUUGAGUAUCAAUAUUACUUUUUAAAAGUUGUCUAAAGAUGAUUAGGUCUGAUUAGUUGGAUAACAAGAACAAUCCUAAUGAAGGACGCCUUAAAAUCUAAUGUUUCUUUAUUUCGUAUAUGGCAUAAAAAAAUGAUUAAUCUUUUUUGCACUGUUAGCGUUGGAUGAAUGGAAAAUAUGUAAAUUUUGAAUUGUAAAAAUAAAAGAUAUAUAGAAGCAUACGUAUAAACUUAAGAUCUCUUGUAAUUAUUUCUACUCUAACCAAAAUAAUUAAAUUUCUGCUAUUGUGUUAAAAGGUUGGACUAAAAGUGCUGCAACUUUCUGUGAUAUAUCUCCACUUGCAUGGCUGAUUAUGUUCCAAGGAUAAGAUUUUGAAGUUGGAAUGAAGGUUUCUUCAAUGCAUACAUAUCAUUGUCUUUUUGGAGUUGGGAAGCUUUCAUUCAAUUGAAACAGCAUAUCCACAUACUGGUCUUGUGGCCAGAAAACAAAGUAUACAGCAGAGCAUAUCAGUUUUUAUCAGAAUAGUCAAAUUUCAGCUUACUCCAACAGCCAUGGUUCUGGGGCCUGAACAGAUCACCAUCGGAUGAAGGUAGGAGAUGCAUUCAGUGUUUUAGGUAGACGAAUCUUGAUGCCCAUGUGAUAAGGUUUAUCUCAUUUUCUUAUCCUCUCUUCUUUUUUUUUGUUUUAAUAAUCUCUUGAAAUGGGUGGUAAUUGGAGAAAUCAUUCUAAGCUCUUGCAUGUAUUGGAUUAUUUUCGCCAGUACAUUAUAUUGUGGUUUUUUUUUUCUGGAAAUGAAGUAUGUUGUGGGUUUUUUUUAAUCUGAACCAUUUUUUUACCAUGCAUAAAUCACACUUAAAAUUAAAAAAAAAACUACCGUAAAUAAUUUUUUCCCUAAAUAAUCAUGAAUUCCAAUGGAUAUAUUCAAGAUUAAUCACGAUAGAAAUGGAAAUUAUGCUUAAAACAAGUUCCAUUUUAGUGUAUCAAAUCCUCUAAUUUGCUGCGAGAUUGUUCGAAAACACAAAAAGCAAAUUAUCGAAAAAAAAAAAAAGCUUUGAGGGUUUUAAUUGGUUGGAACACCAUUGACCUUUUCUUUUCUUUUCUUUUGUGCCCCAAAAGAAAAUGUUAGACAACUAAUGGACAACUUGGGGCCGUCACUUCUCAUUCGUUUCAGUUUGAGCUGCCAAUUUCUUUUUCCUCCAAAAGUUUUUUUUUUAAAAUUUCUUUCACCGAAUUUCCAAAAGAGUCUAAAUGCAUUUAAUGUUUGAGGAAACAACUCAAAAAAUUAUUUGUUUUUUCUUUCUUAGCCCAUUGAGAUGACCGGGAAGCUCGAUCGCAGAACAUUUGUUUCAUAUGCCAGUGAAGCACUUAAUAAUUAUUCACGGUACGUUGUGGAGCGCAGAAGGAGCGAAGAAAGAAGAAAUGAAGAUUAUGGCUGUGUUUGGAUUAGCUGUUUUUUGAGUUGUUUUUCAAAAACAGCACUGUAGCAUUUCGUUUUUGAAAUACAAGUCCGUUUGAAUUAGUUGUUUUUGGAGUUGUUUUUCAAAAACUAUAUGAAAAACUUUUACUGUAGAUGUUUUUUGGAUUGUUUUUAGAGGUAUUUUUAAAACAUAUUUUUGGGUAUUUUUAUAAUUUAUAAUUUUUAUAUAUAUUUAUGCAUUUAUAAUACAUUUAUAAAUAUUUAUAAAUAAAUAUAUUUAUAUAUUCGCUAAAAAAUAUAUAAAUGUAUUAUAUUAUAUAUAAUACAUAAUAUAAAUAUAUAAGUGUAUAUUAUUAUAAAUGUAUAAAUUAUAAAUGAAUAUUAUAUAAAUGUAUAAAUUACAAUUUAUAAUUUUUAUAUUUUUAUAUAAAUAUGCAUUUAUGCAUUUAUAAUAUAUUUAUAAAUAUUUAUAAAUAAAUAUAUUUAUAUAAAAAUAUAUAAAUGUAUUAUAAAUUUAUUAUAUUAUAUAUACAUAAUAUAAAUAUAUUUAUAAAUGUAUAAGUGUAUAUUAUUGUAAAUGUAUAAAUUAUAAAUGAAUAUUAUAUAAAUGGAUAAAUUAUAAAUUAUAAUUUAUAACUUUUAUAUUUUUAUAUAAAUAUACAUUUAUGCAUUUAUAAUACAUUUAUAAAUAUUUAUAAAUAAAUAUAUUUAUGUAUUUAUAUAAAAUAUAUAAAUGUAUUAUAUUAUAUAUAAUACAUAAUAUAAAUAUAUUUAUAAACGUAUAAGUCUAUAUUAUUAUAAAUGUAUAAAUUACAAAUGAAUAUUAUAUAAAUGUAUAAAUUAUAAUUUUAUUAAUAUAUAUUAGUAUUAAGUAUAAAUGUAUUAAUAUAAUUAAUAUAAAUGUACAAAUGUAUUAAUAUUAUGUAUAAAUAUAAAAUUAAUAUUAUGUAUAAAUGUACAUUUAUAUAAAUGUAUAAUAUAUAUAUAUAUAUAUAUAUAAUAUAUAAUAUAUGUUAUAUUAUAUGUAAUUUAUAUAAUAUAUAAUAUUCAUAAAAAUAUCUAUAAUAUGUAUCAAUAAAUAUAUAAAUAUUUGAAAUAUAUAAUAUACAUUAAUAUUAAUUAUAAAUAUUAUAAUUUUAUAAAUAUGGUGUUUAUAUAAUAUUUCAAUUUGUAAUAUUUAUUGUAUAUUUCAUUAUAUAAAUAUUCAUAUAAUAUAUAAUAUAUAAUUUUCAAUUUGUAUAAUAUACAUAAUAUUGUAUAUAUAUAAUAUAAUAUACAUAAUAUAAUAUAUUAUACAUAAUAUACAUUAUUACAUUAUUACAUAUUAUGUAUAUUAUAUAUUAUACAUAACAUUAUUUCUAUUCGAUUUCACUUAGAUAGUACAAAUAGCAUGUAGUAUCUUUCUAUUUGAUUUCACUUGAAUAAGCUAAUUUUAUUGUAGGUAAAAUCAAAUAAAGAUAUAUUAUAUGUUAUUCAUGCUAUUUAGGUAAAAUUAAAUAGAUAUAUAUCCAUGGAUUUCAUUUUUUUUUAAAGCUAUUUAUACACAUGAUCAAUGAGGAACAACAAAAUUCAUUUUGUGAAAUAUAAGAGACGAAAAAAUUUAUUUUGUGAAAUGUGAGGAACUAUGGAUCGGAUUAUAUGGAAUUUGAUUUGACAAAUUUACCCCUAAAAACUGAUCGUGUGCAAGGCAUGUGUCGGAUUCCGGUCAAAAACUAGUCAGAAAUCUAAGUAGGGAUCAAAUUUGAUCAAUGUGAAUUUGUAAGGAAUGUAAAAUUAUACUUUUAAAAGUGAGGAACAAAAAAGGUCAUUUUGCAAAAUGUGACAACAUUUUGAAUGAUUUUCCCAAUAGUUUCAUCGGAAUACUAUAGGCCUUGGAAUGACUAAAGCACCUUGACUAUUGACUAGAGAAAUUUUGAAAUCAUGUUAUACAUUAUUAUACACAAUAAUGUAUAUAAUAAUAUUAUACAUUAAUAAUGUAUAUAUUUAAUAUAAUGUACAUAAUAUAUUAUGUAUAAAUAUUUACACAUUUAUGUAUAUUAUAUAUUUAUGUAUAGUAUACAAUAUUAUGUAUAAUAUUAAUUUAUAUAAAUAUUUAUAUAAUAUAUAAUAUAUAUAAUUUUCAAUUUGUAUAUUUCAAUUUAUAUUAAUAUAAUAUAAUAUAUAUAUUUAUAUUAUAAUAUACAUAAUUGAAAUAUACAUAUGUAGUUGUUUUUGAUAUAAUAUUUGGAUAUGGUGUUUUUGGAGUUGUUUUGGAAAUACACAUUUACUGUAGCAUUUGGAAUAUGAAAAACAGUUUUUCAAAAACAGCUCCAAAAACAAGGGAUCCAAACACACCCUAUAUCAGUCAUUAUCACAAUGAUGUAACUCUGCCCAUUCUAGUCACAUCUGAGUGUAGGCUGAUGGUGCAAUUCAUGGUCGGUAAGCAAUCCUAAAUAUUUGAUAAUUUUGUCACAUCAGCCGUGCCACUGUAAAAAAAAAAUUAUAUCAAUCUCAUGAGUUGAUUUUCUUUCACAGGUUGGUGGCAGUGGCACCAUCAUAUUGAACCAAAUAUAAUGAUCAAGCCAUCUUUAUCAGCAGAGAUUCUUAGAACCCAUAAUUCAGAAAACAGGAAUUUUCUUAAUUUCCUGCUUGGCAGCUUAUCAUGCGAGAACUUCAUAGUUCAUUCUUGACUUUACCACAAAGUUUUCAUAUCAAAAAAAAAAAUGACUGAAGAGAGGACUUCAACUUUUCUUGAGGGUCCUAUAUACAGUACUCAAUGAUAUUGCUAAUCGGGAUUCAAGUAUGAAAUGACCCCCGAAAAAAAAUCGAUCUUUUUCUUUUCUUUUUCAUGCUUUUACUGAUAAAGUUAGAGUAAUACUAUAUGUAAGAGCUGAUUUCAGAUCAUGAACUGCUCGCUUUUGUCUUGAUUUGUUUCGAGUCCAAAAGGGGGAAAGAGUAUAGCCUUUUACAAAUAUCUUACUUGGAAGUGCGGUCAAGGUUAGUUAAAUGCUCCAUCAUAGUGCUUUUUUUUCUUUGUCAAAAGUUGGUAUUAUCAUUAAUAUUUUCAGAAAUCAAUGAUAAUACAAUUGCACUCUCGAUUUUGAUGGAUUAAGGGUCAUUUUGGUUGGAAUCAACAAUUUCAUAAACAAUUGUUGAGCUUAAAACCAAGCCAAAAAGAAGCAUUCCCACCGGCCAUCCGUGAUUUUUUUUUUGUACUUGUACAGCUUAUGGAUGCUGCUGCAGGUUUAACUCGUACAGGUCUUACCUAUUCGCACCAACGUUAGCAAGGCAGCGGCCCCUGUUGGUGUAUGGGUAAGACUAAGAUGGGCGCUGAAGAUUCCACUUGAUCUCCGCAGCCUCUCUUGGUGGGGCGCAAAGGCCAAGGGGUCGGCCCCCGACGAUCAAAUAAUAUAUACAGGUCCCGCCGCAUCAUGCAUAAUAACCUGGAACGAGGAAUAUUUAUUAUGGAGGCCGAAUUACACGACUCCUCAUGCACCUGAAGGUGAGGCCACCUAUGCGGUUGCCAGUUGCGUACAUUCUUUUCUAAACACGUCAUGAUGUAGUUGAAAUUAGUGAUGCAUGAAUAGAGUUUGGUUUUGCCAAGCAAAUGAUUAAUUUGAAAGAUACACUACUCUUUCUUCUUAAAAUCAAGAGCUGUGACGCGCAUGGAGUUUGAUAACGCAAUGAUUUAUUAACUAUAGUAUUUGUUCUUUACAUUUGUUGUAUGCGUAUAGCUUAUGUAAUUUCUGUCAUUGGUGUAGAUUGAUUUCAUUAUUAACGAAAUUUGAUGACGAAUAUAAUUUUGGUUGGUUUAAUUAUUAUCUGUUCAUGCUUACCUCGACGUUUUUCGUAAAUGCUUUGUAUUGGUAGUUAAGAGUUCAGUGCUCGUAAUCAAUCGUUUUCCAAAACGAUUAGUUUAUUUGUUAAUUGAAUAAACUAAACGAAACCAACUACAUGUUUCUUGUAGAUCUAAAUGAAUGAAUGAACAAAUAUAUAUAGAUGUUCGGGUAUAUGUUCCAUAAAGAACAGCAAUCUUUUAGCUGUAACCUCAAAUUUUAUUCAUAAAACACACAUUUUUCAUUCUUCACCAACAAGUUUUGAUGUUUUUAUUUUCAUUUAUAUCAAGUAUUAGUUGCGAAAAAUAUUCAUGUACAUAAUUAUUUUCAUUUUUAUUGUGGAGAUAGUUUUUAUUCUCAUAUUAAUAUUUUGAAGGCCAUAGGAGAGUUGUAAUGAUGAUUCUAGGUUAAAUUAGCUUACAUUGAAAAGGUAUUUGAGCAUUAAUACUUAAUUUGGGAGUAUAAAGUUGGUUGUCAAUGGGCUUUUGUGUGUGUGUGUGUUUUUUUUUUAUCGUGACAAGUGUAUUGAUACUGUAUAUGCAAUUAAUUAGGAUCUCUUGAAUGACUAGGUACUUGAUUUUAGAACUUAUGUUUGGGUAGUUAUUAGGGAUUUAGCUUCUUAAUUUAUGCAAAGUGUGGAAGAAAAUGAUUGAGUAUACUAUAUUUUUCUUUUUUAAUUUUGUACAAAGGGGUAAUUUAGGAUUUUUUGAAAGAAAAUCUAAGUUUUUGGAUCUAUAUUGUUACUAAACAGUAAAAGUAGGGGAGGUAUAUAUAAUUUUUAAAACUUGAGGGGAGUUCUUUGUAAUUGUGAGAAACCUUAGGGGAGGUUUGUAAAACUAUCCCUUUAUUUUUCUACCUCAGCAAGAGAGGCUAUCCUAUCGGGAGCUGAAUUCUUCAUCUUUUUAACAUCAGACCCUCCAAUUAGCCAGAUCAAGAACACCAAGGCGCUUCCGGUGAUAUCUAAAGCUGCAAACGAAUCGAGCUGCUCGCGAGCGGCUCGAGUCAAGCUCGAGUCGAGUUCGAUAUUAAUCGAGCUCGAACUCGAGUUCAAAAUAUUAAACUCGUUAGCUCGCGAGCCAGCUCGCGAGAUUGAGUAUAUAUAUUUUUUUAUUUUUAUUUUAUUUAAUAAUAAAAUUACGUAUAUUAUAUAUAUUUUUUUUUUUUUAUUUUCAUAGUGAAAUUACGUAUAUAUCCUUAAUAUUUUAUUAUUUAUUCAGAAAAAAAUAUUAUUUUAUUUAUUUUUUAAAAAAUAAUAAUUUUUUUUAAUUUUUUUCGAGCUCGAGCUCGAAAAUUGCCAGCUCGUCGAGCUUGAGCUCGAGCUCGAGUUUGGUAAAAUUUAGUCGAGACUCUGUUCGAUUAGCUCAAAACUUAAUUCGGCUCGACUCGUUUGCAGCCUAGUGAUAUCUUAUCUUAAUUAUAAUAAGGUUAAAACACUUACCGUUGACAUCUUGAACCUGAAUAUACAUCUCAUAGAGAUCACAACUCGAGCUGCCCACUAUGCUAAAGUUGAUAAGAAAUAAACACUCAAUUAACCACUGCAAAUUAAGCACCACAGACAAUUAUCAACGUGGUUAAAUCCAAAUUAACAGUAAUCAGGUGGAUUAAGAAUUGAAAUUUGCAGAAAACCAUAUGUUGCUUGGGGUGGCAAAAUCUGUCUUUUUCUGUGGCCGCCAAACGAAAAUAAAUGAGGUGGGCUGCCGUCUUUGACCGACAUCACCUUCCUCGUCCCACCCCAAAAAACAUUCCACAGCCGCGCAUGCUUAUUUGCUUGAUUUCUCGGCAGAUUCUGUUUUCCAAGGACAUGCAAGGAAUUCACAAUUCACUGAACCCAAAAGACAACACUGGUGUUCUUUUAUACGACUAAUAAUUAAAAAAAUUGUAAUAAUUGGCGACAGAUUCAUUGAUCUUAUCAUCUUCGAUUUGUAAAUAAGUUGGCUCGAUCCCAUUGACAGUUCUAUCCAUAAUGCAUAAAUCUAAAUCGAGAUAAACCAUGCAAGUUCUUUUUUUUUGGUUUGGUGUAAAUCUGAUCCAAUCAAUUAUGCAUCAAGAAAAAUAUGCAUGAAGCUCAAAAUCUCCACGAUGAAAGAGUUGAUGUGAUCUGAUUUAGGCCUGAAUCCUGUUUGGAACUGCUCCAACUUAGCAGAAGCCAAUUUGGAAUCUUUGGCCGGUCAGUCUAGUUGUUGAAUACACAGUUGAAAACAUGAACACUACCUCCCUCUGAAGCUUCCCGCAAACGUCGCGCUGAGGACAUUAUCAAAAUAAAAAACCAUUGGAGCAAAAGAACAAAAGGGUUCACUGCAAAGAUAACAAGAAGGACUUGUAGGUUUCUUUUAUUUUUAUGUGUGAAAACAUUUUCUUCAAUGUAAAAAGAAAUGUUAACCACCUUGUAGCCUAGUUCGAACUUAAUAAAUUAUUGAAGCUUUAGAUGAAACGGCACCAGAAAGUUCAGAAACUGGUCGGGAAUAUCUAUAUAUAUAUAUAGAGAUCUUGCUGAGCUCAUUUACAUAGGCACUGCCAAAAUCAAUCAUUCGAAAAAGAUGCUUCAUUGGAUACAUAUAUUGAUCACUAUUGUAAUUGGAGUUUUACUUAUGCACUUUCAAAAAAAAAAAAAAAAAAAAGUGAGUCAAUAAACAAACAAACCGCUAUAUAUAGCAAAAAUUCUAGAUGGUCAAAAAUUUUGUCCCCAAGCUGCAUCACCCUAAGGCGGACUAAGUUCUAUUAAUCAACUUCAAGGCUCUUCUCGAGACGAUUCCUAAUUUCUGUCCCAUUUUUUGAACCAUUUUGCUUUGCUUUCAGUUUUGUCGAAGCCAUAGAAUAAAUCCUAGAAUUACCGUUCAUACUUAAGGGCUGUAAUUAAUAUCUACGUAUCUAACAAUUGUAUUUUGUCUUUUCAUUUCAAAAUGGACCUUUCUAAUUCGUCCCAGUGGUAAGUAUUUAGGAACAUUAAAAGUAUGCAUAAAUUUAAGAGAGAAGUAUGCUUUAAUUAUUGAUCCAUAUUUUCUAUCACCUUUUCUUUUUUUUUUUAUAUAUAUUUAUGCAAUAAAUACGCAUGUGAGACAAGUUCAUUAUGAUAAAAUUAUUUGAAAAUUAUUUUUUAGUAUUUACAAAAUAUAUUUUUCAAUCACAUUUUUAUUUCACAUAGUUCACAUUAAAAUUUAAUAUAUCAAAACUUCUUUUUCCAAAUAACUAUCGAUCCAAACAAACCCUCGACGUCUAAGAAACCAUUGACUUAUCAAGGUUGUCCCAUGAGAAGUCCAAGUGACCUAGGUCAAGGUUACCCCAUGAGAAGUCUAAAUGGCCUAGGUAAUUUUAUUAAAUAAGGGACGAUAAAUGUAAAUAUGUGUAUUAAAUAAUAUAUUAGAUUAAAGUAAAAGAUAAACAUUUUUUUGCCUGUGAAUAUUUAUCUGUUGAUUUAGACAAUUUCCAUUUAAUCUUUUUUAAAUAUUACAAUUCAUAUUUUUCAUAUGUGGUGUACAUCCAAACAUGUUAAAAUAAAAAUAUCUUUAUGCUGAUAAUUUAUAAAAGAUUUAAUCUAAAUUAAAUAUAUUAAUAAUUACUAAUAUAAUCCCUUCAAAAUAUAUAUAAAUAUAUAUAUAUAUAUCCACACACAGAGUUUCAUUGGACUAUUAAGGGUUCCUAAAAGAGAAUCUUGCUUUCAGUUAAAACAAUAAGUCCAAAUUAUUUACUUCAAUGAAUUGUUGUUGUUGUAGUUUUUUCUUCAUACAAAAAAUCAUUUCAUUCAAUGAAUUUGUACUAUAGAAAUAUAUCAAAUCGAACAUGACACAGUUCAUAUAGAUACAAAUUUGAAAUCAACAGAUAUAACAAAUCUGAAAAAUCAAUACAAAUAAAAAUGAGGUCAUUGUAACCCCAUGCAUCUAUGCAUGUCUUCUAACAAUUAGAUCUGAUUAAAAAACUGGUUCAAACCCGAAAAAGAAGUUUAGAUUUGACAAUAACAAAUGGAGAAAUUAGAUCUACAAAAUCUCAAAUUUCAUAGGAAAAGAUAAAAACUGAAACAAAACUCUUACAAGGAAAAACUUUAGGAGCGAAUAAGAUUCUAAAGAACAAUUUAAGAGAAAGGAAACCGAAACUAGGAGAUUUUAUGCCGGAAGAAUCUCUCUUUAAGAUCUCUCAGUAAAAAAAACCUUAAAAGAGAUUUUAUUUCUAUAAAAGAAACUAAAAAAAAAAAUUCGAGAGAGGGCUCCCUUCCACGGAGAUCCACCAAAUGAGUUGUUUCAACUUGGAAUUUUCAUCAUCUUAGUGAUGUUUUGAAAAUCGGACCGAAUUGCCCGAUUUGACUGAUCAGAUCGUGAACCGGCUCUAAUUCACUAUUAGUGUUGAAUUAUCAUAAAAACGAUCAAAAUCGCAAAAAAUCAGAUGGACCGCUCAAUCCAGGUUGACCCGUGAACUACAAUUUUUCAUUUUUUCCAUCUUUUUACAUUAAAUGAACCUAAAGUUUUAAACAUGAAACUUAUCUAUCGAAUCUUUUGUUCUCUACCUUAAUUUCUAAAAGAGUAAUAAACUCUCUCUAUUUCUCACCCUUAAACUCAAAAAUCGUCGUGUUCUUUGUAGUUUUAUUAGAUUUAGUUUAAUUUUAGAAGUUCCAAUGCAUUUUGUUUAAUUUGAGAAUAUGGUUGUGAUUCAUGGAGGAUUUAAGAUUGUUUUCCUAACAGGUACAAUUGAGAUGAAUGUAUUUGUUUGAAUUACAAUUUUAAAUAUUUAUUUGUGUUUAAAAAUAUUUAACAUUUUAUCCAAUGAUACCUUAAAUUGGUCCAUGAGACAUUUUAUCAGAUAUGUGUGUCAUCGAACUAGAGUUGAAUCUGUCUGAACCUCCGUUCGAUCACUUUACCUGUUCAAUUAUUUUAUUAUAUCUUAGCAGACAAAAAUUUCAUGGUGUCAAUGUCUUCAAUCUUCAUUUGACAGCCGACGUUUUUCGGCCUAUCAUACCAUGAAUCCAAUGGCGCUUAUGCAUUCACAAAAAUCACCAGCCCACCGUCCUCUCUUCUGCAAUAUCAGGGGCCACACAACGUCAUUUGUGAGCAGUAAGUGCGGUUAUAACCACGUAUGCUUUAACUUCACCACAGUUCUCUGAGCCUGGAUAUUCUCACUGUCCAGCGCUGUCUUACGUGGAACUCUCAUUAUUCCUGCUGACGCCCUUUUCUACGAAUAAAUAAACCUCAAUAAUUGACUUCCUCAUUCAACGUUUGCCAUCAUACAUUCCCGAAAUUGCACAAACUUUAGACGUUGACGAUGUUGCCCCCACCUCAAUCCCACCCACAUCGUAGACGUGGCACUUCUGUAAUUGUCAUCUUUUUCUUGGACUACAAUUGCAUCAUAUUAUACUAUGUAUUACUAAUAUCAUAAUAUUUUUUUUCCUAUUCUGUGCCUUAAUAUAAAUAUUUAUGUACAUGGUGACAAGAAGGACAAAAACCACAAGAAGUUGGUUCAAAGUGUUUUACUCGCUUACCUCUGCUCGUUUACCGCAUGUGCCGCACACGUGUCUCGCCCAAUCAUUCACAUAAUCCAAACGCUUCAGUUAGUACCCUUCGACGAUCUUGACACGUAAUCCUUCCAUCAAGCGGGUCACAGCCGUCAGAUUGAAGAACCGGUGCAUAAUCUAAAAUGUCCAUUUUACCCUACAUCGACUAUAUAUUUGCCCACCUGAGGAACUAGGCAGAAAUUAGAGAAGAGAGGCGGCGAGAGAGCUCUCGUUGGUUUAGCUGGCAAGCCCUAGUGAAAGCCCUUGUUUCUUUGCCUUCCUCUACUGCCCAAGUUGCGAAUGCAGAGAGAUGAGAAUUGCUUCGCUUCUUAACCCCCAUUUGGGAGGCGGAAGGUCCCAAAAACAACCCACCGGCGGCAGGAAUUGCCACCGGAAACACGUCGAAGACGGGUGAAUCCUUUCACCCCUUCUCAGCCAGCUUAAAUAUUUUCCCAGUCCAACAAAACAGUGCAGUUCUUCAGCCUGUCAACCUAAACAAACCCUUUAGUUUUCUUGUACUAUUUUCAUUUCUUUUUCAGCAAAAUCAUUCUACAGAGCACCGAUGACAAUGGGG
RNAcentral lists this long non-coding RNA (136021 nucleotides) under Coffea arabica (coffee). RNAcentral's name for it is "long non-coding RNA (CARA_LNC004066)". Lineage: Eukaryota; Viridiplantae; Streptophyta; Magnoliopsida; Gentianales; Rubiaceae. The record is from RNAcentral.